Molecule: long non-coding RNA, 90022 nt
Filed under: Panax ginseng (ginseng)
Lineage: Eukaryota; Viridiplantae; Streptophyta; Magnoliopsida; Apiales; Araliaceae
Description: long non-coding RNA (PGIN_LNC016801)
Rfam family: Bacterial small subunit ribosomal RNA (bases 72038-72288)
Source: RNAcentral
CAGAGGGCAGGUCUGCAUGGCAAAAGAGAAGCACGUCGUCUGCGAAACAAAGAUGAGAUAGCUUACAAGCCUUUGUUCUCCAAUGGAAUUUGAAAACGGAGGAGCUAGUUUUGUCUGCAAGCAAUAAGGCAAGAAUUUCCAUAGCUAGCACAAGCAGGUAAGGUGACAAUGGGUCUCCCUGGCGGAUACCCCUUUGGCCUUUGAAAUAUCCACAAAGUGAACCAUUCACUUUAAUUGAAAACAUAGCAGUAGAGGCACAACUUUUGAUCCAGUAAACAAAUUUUGGAGGAUAUCCAAAUAGAGUAAGGGCAUCAAACUAAAAUUCCCAUCGGAUUGAGUCAAAAGCCUUUUUAAGAUCAAUCUUACUUGCACAUCUGGAAGGACAAUUUUUCCUAUGAUAAUUCCUCAUUAGUUCUUAAGACAGAAGAAUAUUAUCACCAAUUUUACGCCCAGAGUAACCGGAUCCAAUUGAUUGAUUUGAGGCAAAUUAAACACUACUUAAGAUAGUCACUUUUGGUUAGGAUCAAAAUUAAAUGGAACUAGGUAAACCAAAACAUUUUUUUGUAACUUUCUAUUUUCCUCUUAAUUUUCCCAUCUAAUCCGAGAUAUUUGAUUGAACCACUACAAGAAAAAGGCUCUCCGACGGAAUAUUCCGUCGACAAUUUAGUCGGAUUUAAAGUCCUCAACAUUUAAUCCGUCUUAACAUAACCUAAAUGAACUAGUUAGGGAGAAAAUGAUAAUAUAUUCUUGUACAUGUAGCAUAAUUAAUGUUACUUGAAUAAAAAGGUCCUGUUACUACUUGAAAUUUAGUGAAUUAUCAAUAUACAUAAACAAGAAGUACUAAUUUUUUGAAAUUUCAAAGUCACGCACAGUAGUAAAUAGGGUUAAUUGACAUGAAGAUUUUGACAUAACACCAUACUGAUUAAGUGUUACAAUCAUUGUAGUUGGUAGCAACCAUGAGUUGUUUGGUUACUUUCAAAAAUUGCCUAAAUAAUAUAAAACAAAUAUUUUUGAACGACAUUUUCAAUCAUUUUGUUUUGCUAAUUCAUUUCAAUCAUUUCAUAUAACAAUAUCAUUUCACUACAUUUAUACAGCUAGCUGAUAGUCUUGGAAUCAACAUGCAACAUAAGACUUGGAGAUUUGCUUAGACUUGGUCUUAGUUGAGUUAGGAGUUGAUUCAGUCAAAUAAAAUAAGUUAGUAGUGACUUCUAAGUAGGAGAAUUGUUAGGAGUUGUUCCAGUAGGAGUUUUUCCAGUAACAGUAAUUUAUUUGGCCUAUUUAAGAGGUCUUCUUCUUGUUGGAAAAGGGUUUGAAAUAAUAUUGAAUCCUUCUUUAUAUAAACUUCCUCUCAUCCUUUGAUAAUUCUAAAACAACACAAAUUCACAUAUCAUUUGGUAUCAGAGCCAGGUUACUCAAAACCACGGCCACCUAAAACUAAAGUAACGAUGAGUUCCGCAAUGAAGUCCAAGAGGUACUAGGCCGUCACGAGUCGAGUUUGGACCAGGUUCAUAUGACUCUUCAGAUCGUUUUAUCUGAGUUGUAAUCCUUACGUGCUGCGCAACCCAAUUCCUACCAAACCAACCAACCUUCUACCUCACUCAACCCCCCAUUAACGGCUACAAUCAUCACCUAAAACUCACCUUUCCAAACUUCAACAACGAAUAUACGUAUUUCCCUCCAAUGGUACCGGUGGUUAACCAAAUUCAAAGGACCCCUUACAUGGGAAAAAUUUACAAAGGUUGUCCUCCUCCGAUUUGGUCCAACGAAUUACGAGGAUCCUUCCGAGGCAUUAACAUGAUUGAAACAAACCUCGACCGUGGCGUCCUACCAAGAAGCAUUUGAAAAACUCUCUCAUCGUGUGGAUGACUUACCGGAAUAAUUCUUAGUUUGAUGUUUUAUUACAAGUUUGCGAGACGAUAUUUGUCUAAACGAGAAGGUCAAGCAACCUAAGACUUUAGUGGAGACCAUUGGGGUAGCUCGUUUGAUUAAGGAACAUAACACCUUAGUCAAAAAGACAAGUGUCAAUAACGCAUUCAGACCUCCAAAUGCAGCAGCCUUUCAAUGCAAUCAAACCUCUUCCGCUGCAGGACUUCUUGGCCCUCCACCAAAUCAACAACCGAAUCGAACUUCAAAUACCAUGGUUCGUCGCAUUUCUGGGCAAGAGGCGAAGGAGAGACGUGAGAAAGGACUUUACUUCUAUUGUGACGAAAGGUAUGUUCUCGAACAUCGUUGUCAGUGUCCGCAGUUCUUUAUAAUUGAGGAUUAUCUUGAUGAGCUAAAUGACGCUGACACGUGUUUUUAGGAUUGACCGAGUAUUAAGUAUUUGUUAUUAGCUUUCAGUAGUUGUUGUAUUUCAAUAAACCACUAAGCGAAGUUUGUGCUUUAGUGGAGCUAGUCUUUUUCGGUCUGUUACUUUUGUAAGGCUAUAAAGCCUAGACGCAAUUUUUAAUAAACAACAUUCACCCCAUUACUUUGUGUCUCCAAGAAAAACCAUCAUUCUGGUAUUAGAGCACUAAAAGUGAGAGGGCCUAAGAGAGAGAAUAACAACAACAGUUUUUCCCUUGAGUGAACUUAAGCACCAUGGCAGAUGAGAAAACCCUAAUGAAGAUCCCACACUUCGACGGUCACUAUGACCAUUGGAGCUAGUUAAUGGAGAACUUGAUUCGAGCAAAGGGUCUCUGGAGUUUGGUCGAAACUGGAUUUGAAGAGCCUCCUAAAGGUACUGAGCUGUCCACGGCUCAGCAGAAACAGCUCGACUAUCUAUUCCAAGCAAUAGAUAGAUCAGUGUUUGAACAAAUUUUGGAUCGCUGAACAUCCAAAAUUGUGUGGGACUCGAUGAAGAGAAAGUUUGGAGGAAGUGCUAGGGUAAAGCGUUCUCUCUUGAAUGCAUUACCGAGAGAAUUUGAGGUGCUGGCAAUGAAGAGAGAUGAAACCAUCGCUGAUUACUUCGCAAGAGAACAAGAUGAGGAACAAUAGAGAGGUAAUGCCAAACUCCAAGAUAGUCGAGAAAAUUCUGCGAACACUGACAAAAAAAUUCACCUACGUGGUGGUAUCUAUUGAAGAGUCCAAGGAUACCACUGAGAUGUCUGUCGAUGAAUUACAGUCCUCCUUAGUGCUUAAUGAGCAGAAAUUUCAGAGGGUUUCACUAGAUGAAAAAGACCAGGCGCUGAAGGUUGAAGAACGACAUGAGUUCAGAAACAGGGGACACGGGUCUCCCAGAAGAGGUUCCCUAAGAGGCAGAAGUCGAGGAAGAGGAAGAACAACCUUUAGCAAAGCAACUGUUAAAUGCUACAAAUGUCACCAGCUAGGACAUUUUCAAUAUGAAUGCCCAAAGUGGAACAAGGAAACAAAUUUUGCAGAAUUUAAAGAAGAAGAAGAUGUACUCUUGAUGGCACAAACUGACAAAAACAAGUUGGGCCUGAUGACACAAGAACUGCUUGAAGCUGAGAAGAAGGACACAUGGUUCAUAGACUCAGGAUGCUCAAAUCACAUGUGUGGUGACAAAGGUAUGUUCACUAGUUUGGAUAAAACAUUUACUCAUAAUGUCAAACUAGGGAAAAAUGCCAAGUUAAAAGUUGUUGGAAAAGGGGAGGUAAAGUUGAGAUUCAAUGGAAUUAACUAUGUGAUAGGAGAUGUUUAUUAUGUUCCUGAAUUAAAAAACAAUUUGUUAAGUGUUGGUCAACUCUUGGAAAGAAAUCUUCACAUUCUGUUCAAAAGGGAUGCAUGUAGUGUGUUUCAUCCCACACGUGGGAAGAUAGCAAAAUCCACAAUGAGAAAGAAUAGGAUGUUCACCCUGUUUGUUGAACCUUAUCCAAAAAAUGAAGCAACUAAGUGUCUCUAGACUAGCAGCUCGGAUUGUGCAGUACUCUGGCAUCAGAGGUAUGGACACCUCAUUUACAAAGGGUUGAGGACACUCAGUUACAGGAAGAUGGUAGUAGGGCUGCCAUUCAUUACCACCAGCAAGGUAACCUUUGAAGCUUGUAUAAAGGGAAAGCAGCACAAAACACCUUUUCCCAAGAGAAGUACAUGAAGGACAACAAAAAGGUUGCAACUCAUCCACUCAGACAUCUGUGGUCCAGUCAAACCAGCCUCAAACAACCAAAAGAGGUAUCUCUUGAAAUUUAUUGACAAUUAUACCAGCAAGACUUGGAUUUAUUUUUUACUAGAAAAGUCAGAGACCUUUUAUCAAUUCAAGCUAUUUAAAGCCUCGGUAGAAAAAGAAUGUGGUUUGUCAAUCAAAUGUCUUAUAAUAGAAAGGGGAGGUGAAUAUAAGUCCACAGAAUUCAAAGUGUUCUGCAAGAAAUAAGGCAUCAAGAGACAGCUUACUAUGGCUUACACUCUACAGCAAAACGGCGUGGUUGAGCGGAAAAAUCGUACGAUAAUGAACUUGGUGAGGGCCAUCCUAGCUGAUAAGAAGAUCCCCAAAACCUUCUGGCCAGAGGCAGUCCAGUGGGUCAAUCAUGUUCUCAACCGAUCACCUACACUAGCAAUAAAGGAUAAAACUCCUGAAGAAGCUUGGAGUGGAGUCAAACCUUCGAUGGAAAACUUCAGAGUAUUUGGAUGUGUGGGGCACGUACAUAUACCCAAUGCCAAGAGUGUAAGACCUAGAUUUUUUUAUAUAUAUAAAUGAAAUUGAAUUUCCUCUAUUCAUUAUCUUAAAAUAAUAAGGAGUUAAUUUGAUAUAAUAUUUUGGUUAUGGGUGAAAUGUGCAAAUUUUACAAAAUAAGCAAGUGGUUGUAAAAUAUUCAUUUUUGUCGGGAAAUAUUCGUUUGGUCGUGGAAUAUUCUUGUUGUCAGGGAAUAUUUGUACGACGGCGCAACCAUUCGUGGGCCUCAUAACAGAAUAACUGUCGGAUGAAGAAAACGACAAGUUUGAGUUUUUAUAAAUAACGACGUAGUUGUUACCGUUAACACUGUUGGAAUACCCGGUGGUUAAAAUACAAUAAUACGCGUGAUUGCACAGUAGCACACGGUAUUGCACAGUAUUUUUGAAUUAUUGAUUCUUACGUAAGAAGGCACUACUCAAUAAUUGGUACAGUAAUUACUGUUCAAUAUUUUAUUUUAUUGAUUCAAUAAUUGCUGCGUUGAUAUUUUAUAUUAUUUUUGUUUCAAUAAUUGUCUCUGCACAAUAUUUCCCAUUAUCAGAUCAAUAAUUCAUAUUAUUUGAAUAAUAUUAUUAGAUAACAUUAUUGGCAAUGUCUAGAAAGUUCUGUCUAAGGAGAGGUUUGGUCACCUAAUUGCGCGCCAGUAAGGAGAAAUCCUUAUUGGAAAGCCCCCUCUUUCCUGGGAACGGUCUGGUUGUCAUUAUUUUGAUUCUGUAAUAUUAUUUAUGAAUAAUUAUUUAUUGAUUUAUAUGAUAAGGAAAUAUUUAUUUUAUGUGGCUAUUAAUGUUGAGGUGUUUUAUCAGUAUUAUUUUUGUCGGAAUGGAAGUAUUAAAAAUCAAAUCAGUGUUCUUGAGAUAUAUUACGUGAGUUAUAAUUUUUAAUCCGACCGUUAGAUUAUUGUGAUUUUUAGAUAUGUUAUACAUAUAUAAGUUGAGUAUAUGUCCACAAAUUUUGAACCGUUAAAAAUGAACGUAUGAUUUGUUAUGAAUUUUAAGAGGUAAUUGAUUCAGAAAUCGUUGAAGUUUCUGAAUUUAUCAUUUUAGUGGAAAAUUCUAGAAUUGGUGGGCCCCACUUUUGGUUGGUGAGAAAUGUUCUCAAAUUUUAUUUCAAAUGUGGUGGGUGGAAAUAGUAGUAGAUAAAACCAUCAGGUAGCAGGUCAAGUCUGCUUCGGCGUGCUAGCAGUUUCCUAUAAAUAGGUGCUUAGGUUAGAAUUGAAAAUCACACCAGAAACAUAAGCUUUCUCUCUCUCUAUAUAUAUAUUAUCGAGCGUAUUUUUAUGAGUAUUUAGAUACUUUGAGAGUUGCUAUUUAGUGCAAGUUUCCUUCGGCUUUACAUCCGAUAUUCCGGUCAGAAGCACUGUUAUUUUGAGGUAAGAGAUGUUAUUUUUUUUCGUAAUGAUGUUAUUCUUUCAAUAUCAUUAUGCUGAAAUAUUGGUAUGGAUUUUUUUGUGAAAUUUCUACCUUUUUGUGUCAGGGUUACUAUUCACAUAUACGACACUAUUCACGAAUACGAUACUAUUCACCGUAAAAUGAAAUUUUUCCUUUUUGUCCAAGAUGUCUAUUAUGGUUACUAUCUUUGAUUGUAUCAAUAUUUUGAUCUUUAUUUUUGAAUUCUGCUUCACAAUUGGUUAUUAUGAAGUAUUAUUGAUCUUGGAUAAACUAUUAUACGAAUCCCUAAUAUUUGUCCUUCUGUCUCACUGGAUUCGUUUUCUUAAAAUAUUUUUCAUCAUCCUCAGUCUUAAAUGAUGAUAUUAUUGAAUAUAUUUGGCCUGUAGUGCAAAGAUGAAUGAUUACCUGAUGAAUAUCUUUGGCCCGUAGUGCAAAGAUGAACAGGUGUUGAGAUGAACAUGACCAACUGGUGAUACAAAUGAAUAUCUUUGGCCUGUAGUGCAAAGAUGAAUAUUUGAUUAAAGAUGUAUAUUGAUUGUUGUUACAGGGAUAAAAUAUUGAUGAUGGACUUUUAAAUCUUAGAAGAUAGUAGAACUCAUUCUCUACUUGACUCUUCUAAUGGAUUGUUGUUUCCGCUGCAGUUGUUGAUCUAAAACUUGUUGUCUAUUAUAUUUUAUCAGAUUUUUCCCUGUUGAAGACUAAUGAUAAUUUGUUGUAUAUUAUCUUAGUCAUAAUAUUCUUUACUGGGCUAGUUGAGCUCACCCUUUUCCUUUUUGUUCCAUUUUUCUUCUCAGGAGGUGAGAACAUAGCAGGAUCUAGUCGGGGUAUGGAGUGAUGGUUCUAGAAAGAUGUUUUAGCAGUCCUCACUAUUUCUGUAAAAUAGUGUUUGAAUAAUUGUAAUGAGGACUUAUUUGAGUGUGGAUAUUGUCUAGAAGACAAUAUUUGUAUUUAAACUCACAGUAUGUGUUGUCGUAUUUUGCACGACAAUUGUAUUAUUGAAGUUAUAGUUUGCUUUCUGUACCAUGUAUUUGGCGACUCAGAAUGGGUGUUGUAUACCUAUUUUGGGGGAAUCACAGUUGGUAUCAGAGCUUAGGGAUAUGAUCCCUGGCUGAGAUGUGAGACUAGAACUAGGAGGGGAGAGACGGGUAAAUCCUUCGCUAGUGUGUCCUACCUAUGCUUAUUUGUUGGUCGGUCAUGUGAUAUAUUAAUUUGUUUAAUUAACCCUUGUUUUAUGGCAGUAUUUAAGAAUGGCUGUUGAGAACAUUAACAAUGGAGUGUAUGAGACUGUGGAACAACCUUUAGUCACGAACCAGGAGAAUGUGCAACAAGAAGGCAAUAUUCCUCCUGUAAACAACACUACCGAGCAAACGAUGAAUGAUGGAAUGUUUAGGAGCUUUUUGCAGUUGAUGCAAAAUCAGACGAGGGAGACUCGUGUACAAAAUACGGGUGGAAAUGAUAGCAACGCGCGGUUCAUCACAACCAAGCAGUUUAAGGAGUUGGGACCACCAGAAUUCUGGGGAAAGCCGGAUUCGAUUAAGGCGGAGACGUGGGUCAAGUAAAUUACCAAGAUAUUCGAUGUCUUGGGAUGCACGGAGGAACAGAAGGUUCUAUUCCCCACUUUUAUAGUCCGUAAUGAGGCAGAUUACUGGUGGGAAUCUGUGAAACGUACCCAUCCACCUGUACUCAAUAUGUCUUGGGAAACGUUUUAGAAACUAUUCAAUGACAAGUACUUUCCUGAAAGUAUUCGUCAUAUGAAGGAGGUAGGGUUUAUUAGAUUGGAACAGAACAACAUGACGGUGUCCUAGUACAAGGCGAAGUUCGCAGAGUUAUCCAGGUUUUCACCUCAUUUGGUAGAGAAUGAGGAACGAAUGACGCGGAUGUUUUUGAGAGGUCUAAAACCUGAGAUUCGUCAGUAUCUUAUCUCUCACAAAUUUUCUAUGUAUUCAAAUGUUAUCAAUAGGGCACAAUUAUUAGAGCGAGAUAGUGAGAAUGUUCAACCGAGGGACCACAACCAGGGUCAUACCGGUGACAACAGUCAUCAGAGCGAUGAUAACCAGCGAGGAGGGAAAAAUACUGACAAAAGCGGUAACCACUCGGGUGGUAAUCGUGGAAAGGAUAAUAGGAGAGGUGAGUCAAGUGGAAAUUUCAAGAAGAGAAGAUUUAACGAUGACGGGAAGACGUCGGCGGCAACACCAGCACCAGUAACAAAUUCUAGGGGAGGAGAACGACCGCCAGUUAGAUGCUACAGAUGCGGAGAGGAGGGACAUAUAAGUCCAAACUGUUCACAGCCUUCCAAGGUAUGUUAUAAUUGUGGAAAGGAAGGUCACAUAUGUUAGAUCCCAAAUUUUAUGAAAUGAAAGUAUUCAAUUUUCUUAUAAUUAUUUUAUUUAGUAAAUGGUUAAAUUGAUAAAAGGUUAAAGUUAAGGGUGAUAUGUGAAAAUUUUCAAAGUAUGCAAGUUGUUAUAAAAUAUUCUUUUUAUCGGGGAAUAUCCGUAGGAUGACACAAUCAUUGGUGGACCCCACAACGGAAGUAUUAUCGUAGUAAGGAAAUGACAGAAUUAUCUUUUUAUAAAAAUAACAGUGAAAGUGUUACCGUUAAAACUGUUGAACUACUCGGUAGUAAAAGUACAGUAAUACGCGUGGUUGCAUAGUAACACACGGUAUUGAUUAUUGAUGCUUACGUGAGAAGUCACUCAGUUAUACUCAAUUAUUGUUACAGUAAUUGAUGCAUCAUAUCUCUCAUAUUAUUGAUUCAAUUAUUGUCACAGUAUCAUCUGCAUAAUAUGUUAUAUUAUUAAAUCAAUAAUUGAGACGGUAAAGUUAUUCAUAUUAUUAUUUGCAAUAUUGACAAUGUCUAGAAGUUCUGUCAAGGAGANNNNNNNNNNNNNNNNNNNNNNNNNNNNNNNNNNNNNNNNNNNNNNNNNNNNNNNNNNNNNNNNNNNNNNNNNNNNNNNNNNNNNNNNNNNNNNNNNNNNNNNNNNNNNNNNNNNNNNNNNNNNNNNNNNNNNNNNNNNNNNNNNNNNNNNNNNNNNNNNNNNNNNNNNNNNNNNNNNNNNNNNNNNNNNNNNNNNNNNNNNNNNNNNNNNNNNNNNNNNNNNNNNNNNNNNNNNNNNNNNNNNNNNNNNNNNNNNNNNNNNNNNNNNNNNNNNNNNNNNNNNNNNNNNNNNNNNNNNNNNNNNNNNNNNNNNNNNNNNNNNNNNNNNNNNNNNNNNNNNNNNNNNNNNNNNNNNNNNNNNNNNNNNNNNNNNNNNNNNNNNNNNNNNNNNNNNNNNNNNNNNNNNNNNNNNNNNNNNNNNNNNNNNNNNNNNNNNNNNNNNNNNNNNNNNNNNNNNNNNNNNNNNNNNNNNNNNNNNGAAUAUCCUGUCUGUGCGGAUUACGCAUGACCUAGUUCCAUUCUUUAUUAUUCUGUUGGAAUAACAUGUCAGUGCGGUCUAUCGCAUUCCUGGUGAAUUCUAUUGUUAUUCCAUUCUUUAUUAUUCUGUUGGAAUAUCCUGUCUGUGCGGAUUUCGCAUGACUUGGUUCCAUUCUUUAUUAUUCUGUUGGGAAUAACCUGUCUGUGCGGUCUAUCGCAUGCAUGGUGAAUUCUUCUGUUAUUCCAUUCUUUAUUAUUCUGUUGGAAUAACCUGUCUAUGUGGAUUACCACAUGCAUGGUGAAUGAUCCUUUGUAUUCAUUCCUUAUUAAAUAUAAUUGUGGAAGUGAUCUGUUUACGUGGAUUACCGCAUGGCGGGUUAAAAUCCAUUUGCAGUUUUGUAAUUUUUCGGACAUUCAAAAAAUUUUUGGAAAAAUUUGGGAGGAUAUUAUGAUAAGUUUUCUAACAUCUCCAAGUGGAAUCACUGAAAGAGGAGUUGUAGAUUGUUGUAUGGACUAUUUUUAACAAAGCACGAAAAAGUGAAAAAGGAGAAAAAGCUACUGCCCAAAUUUUUGUAAGGGCUGUUUCGGCCAGUUAAUUUGUGAGAAAACUUCUAGCCUUUUGGGACAUGGAAAUAUAUGGUAUAAAGUACCUCCUGUCCAAAAAUGAGCUCAUUCCGACUUAAAAUGAGCAAGUUAUGACUAUUUCAAUAUUUAGGUUUUUNNNNNNNNNNNNNNNNNNNNNNNNNNNNNNNNNNNNNNNNNNNNNNNNNNNNNNNNNNNNNNNNNNNNNNNNNNNNNNNNNNNNNNNNNNNNNNNNNNNNUAUAUGUUUGGACAAAGGAUAGAAAAAUAAUAAGUUGAUUUGGUAAUUUUUCAUGAAAAUGGUUUAGUUACGAACAUAUGAGUUAAAUAUGUUAUGUGAAGUUGAAAAAUUGGUAAAUUGGAUUUUAUGGCUUGAAAAUCCUAUAUAAGGUAUAUGCAGACUUUUGAUGAGGGAUUUGAUCAUUGGUGAUGAAAUCUUAUGAGUAUGGUAUUUUUGAAUGAUUAAAUGCAUUAUUUGGUAAAGUAUAAAUAAUUAAAAUAAAUUAUUUAUAAGUUUAAGAAAUGAUUAAAAUAUUGUUAUAAUAUUAAUGAUAUUAGAUUAUGAGAUUAUUAAGUGAUUGAUAAUAUUGAGAUAUUCUUGUACCCUGGAUAAAUUAUAUUAUAAAUGUUUAAUAUUUAUCCUUUAUCUCAUUUGAAUGAUUUUUUAUAUCAUUGUCAUGAUCCUCAUGCUUAUAUUGUGUUGAAAGUCAUAUGUGGCUUACGUGCAUAGAUGGACUUGGUAUGAUUAUGACCAGGGAUUAUUCUGUAUAAUCAUGACCGUAAUGUUACAAAUGAUGUGAUAAAAGUCAUCUUUGGCCCGUAGUGCAUAGAUGGACUUGGUAUGAUUAUGACUAGGGAUUAUUCGGUAUAAUCAUGACCGUAAUUGAAAACACGAAUAUCCUUGGCCCGUAGUGCAUGGAUAAUUUGUAAGACCCCAACUUAUUAUUAAUGAAAUUGAAUUUUCUCUAUUUAUUAUUUUGAAAUAGUAAGGGUUGAUUUGAUUAAUGUGGUUAGUUAUGGGUAAAAUGCGCAAAUAUUUCAAAUAAGCAAGUAGUUAUAAAAUAUUCAUUGUUGUCGGGGAAUAUUCAUUUGGUCGUGGAAUAUUCUUGCUGUCGGGGAAUAUUCGUACGGCGGCGCAGCCUUGUGUGGGCACCAUAACGGAAAGCGAUUGGAUGAAAAAAAUGACAAGUAUAAGUUGUUUAUAAAUAACGGCAUAUUUGUUACCGUCAAUAAUUGUUACAGUAAUUACUGUUCAAUAUUUUAUUUUAUUGAUUCAAUAAUUGCUACGUUGAUAUUUUAUAUUAUUGUUGUUUCAAUAAUUGUCACUACACAAUAUUUUCCAUUAUCGGAGCAAUAAUUCAUAUUAUUUGAGUAAUAUUAUUAGAUAACAUUAUAGGCAAUGUCUAAAAAGUUCUGUCUAAGGAGAGGUUUGGUCAGCUAAUUGCGCGCCAGUAAGGAAAAAUCCUUAUUGGAAAGCCCAUUCUUUCCUGGGAACGGCGUGGUUGUCGAUAUUGUGAUUCUGUAAUAUUAUUUGUGAAUAAUUAAUUAUUGAUUUAUAUGAUAAGGAAAAUAUUCAUUUUAUGUGGAUAUAGAUGGAGAAAAUUUUUAAUGUGACAAUUGUUGAAAAUUGUUAUUUUAUCUUUUUCUGAUAAAAUAAUUUAUUUAAAUAUAUUAUUAUAUUUUAAUAAUAUAAUAAUGGUGAUAUUUUUUACAAUGAAUGUGUGAUAUAUGAUUAAAUAAGGAGGAAGAGUAUUUUUGUUACACAAAAUAUUUAAAACAUGUUUUUCAUGUUUGUGGACCCCAUUUCUUGACUGAAAUUUGAUUAUAGCUUGUAAAAUCGUCCGUAUGUGAAUUUCGGUCAAUUUCUGUUUAGAAUUUAGAAAAACUUAAAACUACAAAAUUGUAGAGAAUUGAAUUUUCUAUGGAAUGGACAUAAGAUUCAAAUUUUUCUGAUAAAAGAACUAUUUAUUGUGAAUUAUUGAAGUUCCGGAAUAAUUGAUUUUUUUUUAGUUUUAAAUGGUUUUAAUAUGAAAAACAUUUUUGGUGAUGUUGGAAUUGGUUUGGCUGAUGUCUAGACCAAAAAAGUGGGCGUAGAAAUUUAAGAAAAAUAUAUUUAUAUUUUAUUAAAUUUUCUGCUUUGGUGUUUUAAGCAUUUUCCUAUAAAUAGGGUGCUUAGGUUAGAAUUGAAAAUCACACCAAAAAUAAGUUUUCUCUCUCUUUCUCUCUCUAUAUUAUCGAGCGUAUUCUUGUGAGUAUUUUGAUACUUUGAGUAUUGCUAUACGGUGCACGUUCCUUCAGCACUAUAUCCAGUAUUCUAAUCAGAAGUACUGUCUUUUCGAGGUAAGUGAUGUUAUUUUUUAAAAAAAAUGAUAUUAUUUCUUUCAAUAUCAUUAUGCCAAAAUAUUGGUAAGAUUUUUCUUGUGAAAUUCUUGUCUUUUAGUGUCGGGGUUACUAUUCACGUAUACGACACUAUUCACGAAUACGACACUAUUCACAAAAAAAUUAAAUUUUUGUUUUUCGUCCAAAAUAUCUAUUAUGGAUACUAGCUUUGAUGCAAGUCAAUCGACUAGUCAACGCGCGUCCCUGGUCAACCAAAAUUCCGUCCCAGCGCCCCGGCGUUGGAAAAUGAGCGUGCUAGAGCGCCCCGGCGCUGUAUGUUCAAAGUAUUGACCAAACUGCCAUUAUUAGCUCAAAAUUCCCCGAUUUGUCCCUUCAGCUCCCGAAUCUGCAAAAUAAACACUAUACACAGUAAAAAUGCUUCUACAAGACAUGAAAACACAACAAUUUAUGCCCAAGUAUAUCCAAUUAAUGGGUAUAUUACCCAAUCAUCAAAUACCCCCAAACUUAAAUCGUUGCUUGUCCUCAAGCAACAAAACACAAAACAACACGAACAAAUAAACAAACAUGCAAAUGAAUCUAAAACUAUCUUAUGUUCGAAAUUCCAGCAAUUAAAUAGCACACCGUAUAUCCAUAGGCCUCAGAAAAAUCACAUAAACAUUCUAAAACAUCAUGUUAAAGCAGAUCAAUAAUAUCCCAACAAUCAAUGAAUCUAAAUCUGUUAUUACUGAUAACGUGUGUGUGUGUUCAACAACCAUGCUAACCAAUGAAAAGCAAAAUAUGAAAGAUAAUAAAUUUCUUAAUAGGCAUCAUACAGUGUAAACUCGANNNNNNNNNNNNNNNNNNNNNNNNNNNNNNNNNNNNNNNNNNNNNNNNNNNNNNNNNNNNNNNNNNNNNNNNNNNNNNNNNNNNNNNNNNNNNNNNNNNNUUACUUUUUUUUUUCAAAGCUUAUACACUCCAAAUAUUUUCCCCAAACUUGAGUUUAUAUCUAAAUUCAGUAUUCACUAGCUAUUCAAAUUGUUCCUUCAUUUCACUAGCAUUCAUCCUUUAGAUGUCUAUUAUCUAUCCAUUUAAUACUUCCUUGGCCAACAUGGUCAUUUUUCAAAACGUGCUAUCCUUAUAAUAUCAGUGUCAAACAGAUAAAGAUUUAUGUCAUGUCAAGAAAAUCAUAUCACUAACUUCACAAUCCUUACUAGACUUGUUCAUGCAAUUUUAAUUUCAUCAUUGGCCCCAAAACAUACGUACUAUCAAAAGAUGGAAUUAACAUGCAUCCUAAAUGCAACAUUUAACCAACAAUAACAAUCCAAAUUAAUCACAGACUAUUAACAAUAACAAUCUACUAAUGCAAAUAGAAAUUAACUACCCCCAAACUUAUCUAGAGCGAUGUCCUCAUGUGAAAAAUAAAUCGAAAUAAAUCAGAGGACUUCCUUGACGAGCUUAUGCCUCGGGUGGAGCAUCAUCAUCCUCGCUCAUCUCUAGAUCGGAACGGAAGGGGGAAACACUGGCAGAAUUGGAACAGUGGGGAACUGGCUGAGAUUAACACCCUGGAAUAGCUGGGCGUUCAUGGCAUUCUGGGCUGCAAACUGGUCGACCAAAUAUUUGUAGAUCACAUCUUGACGUUCAGACAGGCGGACAUUUUGGGAUUCGAGGUUGUAAAACCAACCAUCAAUUUCACGUUGGACCGCUUCUAGAACCACACCGCGGUGAGCUGCUGAGGAAGGGCCAUAAGUAGGUGGAGCUUGAGGUGGUGGAGCUUGUGUAGCUUCAACUUGGGGAAUUAUGAAACCCAAUCCCCUAGGGUGGUUCUCCCCACCUGUCCAUACUUUAUACCUGCUUAUCAACUUAUGGUCCAAUACUGGCAUAGGCGUUUGAAUCAUCUCAUCUGAUUUCCAUUUCACCCCAAACUUGGCACAUAAAACACAAAUUAAAGACGGAUGGGGUAAACCUCUUGUGGUUCCUCGGCGUGACGCUCGUAGAAUGGACUGCUGGAUAUCAUGACCGACAUCUAUCUUCAAUCCUUGAAUGAUGGAAUACAGCAGAACAUCCCUCUCCUUAGUGACAUGACUCACGUGUGUGCAUGGCAUGAGUUUGGCGCAUAUAAAGGCAUACCACGCCUUUCCAUAUAAACUGAGGUUAGAGAGUUCAAAGGUCAUGCUGCCCCGUUCAUGCAAUGUGCAUGUGGUGCCCGGUUGACAAAGCUCGCGAAUUAUCUUCUCAUAGUCCGGUCCAUCACUCACAAGACUUGCAUACUCGUCGUUUAGUCCCUCUAAUGGCAGUUGAUAUCACCCGUUAAUGUCUUAUUCGCCAAUUUAAACAGUUUUGCCCCUCACAAAUAUCCCAUAAUGGUAGUGCUCGGGCACGUUGGCAUAGAACUCUUUUACAACUGCAAUCACGGCUGGAUCGGGCUGCUCGGUGAGUGUGAACCAAUUCCUCUCAGCUAUCAUGACCGCUAUGUCCCCGUCUUUGGAUUGAUCGGGCCUUAAACCUCAUUCGAGGAUGAGAGAUCGGGUAGCCAUCUUGUUGUAGCGUUCUUGUGCCUCCGCAGAGACAAACCUUCUAUUAUCAAAUUUGGGUGGAGCUGGGGCAGAACCGGAACCCUCGCCGCGUUAUCGCUUGGAAGCCAUGUAGAAAAUUCUGCAAGUAGUGGCAUAAACAUGUAUUAGUAGUGGACAUAAUUUUAGUUUGGAUAAACGUAACCAUGACACUACCCCCAAACUUUAAAAUUUAUGUGUACGUUGAGUACAGAAUUGGGGGUGUGGCAUGACACAUACUAGCAUGAAAAUGCACAAUUGCACCGAUUAGACGCAUGUAUUAUUCAACUUCGAAAAUUGGCAAAAGAAACACAUGAUUUGCCCAAAAGAUGUGUCAUUUAAAGCAAUAUGAUUCCAUGUACGCAGCAACAUGAUUUAGCCCCUCACAAUCAUGAGAUAAAUAUUUGACAGUGGACUAUUGGUAGUGGGGUGGCAAGGUGACAAGGGAAUCCAGAGUGUGGCUAUGGUGAUAUGUGCGAAUUUGAACAUGAUCUUUGACUCAGGCAAAUUAUCAAACACCUUAUAUGCAACUGAAAAAUUGCUGUAAACCACCACUAAUUUCCUAUCCAUUCAAAACCUUUAGCAUGCACUUAUCAUAUAGUCAUGAUAUCUCAAUCAAAAGUGGAACCCCAUCAACCGGUGGUUCAUAUAUAUGCCAUAUGUGAAUUUCAAAAUCAAAAGACUGAAAAUUUUCCCGAGAGAUGAAGAGAAGGGGAAUCAAAUUGACAGUUAAUUUACCAUUCUUGCACAUCAAAGAUGUGGAUCCACACAAUAUUUAAUGAAAUUUGGUACAUACCUGUGAACUAAUAUUAGUAGAUGAACAGUUCUUCGAGAAUUGAAGUUCCGAAUGGAGAUGUUCACUAGUGUUAGACAAUAAGGAUAUAUAUAUAAGUUUCAAAGAAGUUACCAUCUAAACGUUGGUGGGUGUAGUAGUGGAGACGUGAAGGAGUUGGAGGGUUGCAGUUGGAAACUGAAUAGUUGCAAUAAAAUAGGAAUCUGAUUUGUUACUUUAGCGCCGGGGAGCUAGGAUUUGUGCUACGAUGAGCGCUGGGGCGCUGACCUUCACGGUCUAAUGGUUGAGCCUAGCGCCGGGGCGCUGAAAUUAAGCAUACGUGCAGCGCCGGGGCGAUGAUGGGCAGGGUUUAAUACUGAGUUCUAGCGCCGGGGCGCUUGAUUUGCAUAGAAAACGAGCGCCGGGGCGCUGAUGGAUAGGGCUGGGGUGCUUGAAACAAGUCAAUUUGGGCGCCGGGGCGCUGAGGGCUUUCUUCAGAUCCUGAUAGACAGUCUAAUGCUCACCUUGCAGCUCACUUGGACACAAGAAAUGUAUGUAGAGUGUUAUGUUUAAAUAUAUUCUAGCAACUACAAUAAAAACAAAAGAGAUAAAUUAAAAGAACUAAUAUUGUGAAUGAAGAAAACUAGAUAGACUAAAGAUAUGAGUUACCUCCCUUUAGCGCUUGGUUUAUUGUCGUCAGCCCGACUUUUCUGAGUUGCUCACUUGGUUGCCGGAUCGGAGAGGUACAUGGUCGUAGAUUGGCGUUCGAUGGGUCCACUCCAAUAAUGUUUGAGUCGUUGACCGUUAAACUUGAAUGUUCGUUUUGAAUUUGAUUCCUCAACUUCAAUGUUUCCGUGUGGUGUGACAGAUACAACCUUGAAAGGUCCCGACCAACGAGAUUUUAGUUUCCCAGGAAAUACGCAAUCUUGAGUUGAAAAGCAAUACUUGUUGGCCCGGUUUAAAUGUCCGAUCAAUAAUUUUCUUAUCAUGACAGGCUUUGACUUUCUCCUUGUAAAGUUUUGCGUUCUCAUAAGCAUUGAACCGGAAUUCGUCCAUCUCAUUAAGUUGCAGUAACCUUUUCCCACCUGCUUCUUGUAGAUCGAAGUUAAGUUUCUGAAUGGCCCAGUGUGCACUGUGUUCUAGUUCAACCGGGAGGUGACAUGCUUUUCCGUAGACCAUUCUGUAGGGUGACAUGCCUAUAGGAUUCUUGUAAGCUAUUCGAUAUGCCCAUAGAGCAUCGUCAAGACGCAAUGACCAAUCUUUUUGUGACAGAUUGACCACCUUUUCUAGAAUUCUCUUGACCUCCCUAUUCGAGACCUCCGCUUGACCAUUGGUUUGGGGAUGAUACGCGACUGCAAUUUUAUGACGAACCCCAUACUUUAAAAGCAAUUUCGUGAACUGCUUAUUACAGAAAUGAGUUCCCUCAUCACUUAUUAUCGCCCUCGGCGUCCUAAAUUGUGUGAAGAUGUUUUUCUUUAAGAAUCGGAGGACAACGUUGGCAUCAUUCGUGGGUAAAGCUGCGGCCUCUACCCAUUUAGAAACAUAAUCGACCGCCAACAGAAUGUAUUGAUUAUUAAAGGAAGAUGGGAAAGGUCCCAUAAAGUCGAUUCCCCACACGUCGAACAGUUCAACCUCCAAAAUUAUGUUGAGUGGCAUUUCAUUACACUUGGAGAUAUUACCCACGCGUUGGCAUCGAUCAUACUUCAGCACAAAGAGGUAAGCAUCCUUGAAUAGAGAAGGCCAGAAAAAUCUCGAUUGUAACACUUUGGCUGCUGUUCGAUCACUAGAAUAAUGACCUCCGUAAUCUGAUGAAUGGCAAUGUCCUAAUAUGUUGUCCAUCUCUUCAUAUGGCACACAACGUCUAAUCAUUUGAUCCGCGCAGGCCUUAAACAGAAAUGGUUCAUCCCAAUAAAACUGCUUAACAUCGUGGAGGAAUUUCUUUCGUUGUUGUGAGUUUAAAUCCGGUGGUAACACCUUAGCAACCACGUAAUUCACGUAAUCUUCGUACCAUGGUAAUAUUGUGGUUACUCGAAGAAGCUGUUCAUCCAAAAAUUUCUCAUUGAUCAUUAUGUUGUCUUUAUUCUGAACCUCCACGUUUUCCAACCGAGAAAGAUGAUCCGCCACCUGAUUUUUCGGUACCUUUUCUAUCCCGGAUCUCCAAAUCAAAUUCUUACAGCAACAAUACCCAUUGUAUUAACCGAGGUUUGGCAUCCUUCUUCUCAAUCAGGUAUUUAAUGGCAGAAUGAUCAGUAUAAACGAUUACCUUGGUCCCAAUGAGAUAUGCUCUGAAUUUGUCGAAGGCAAACACAACUGCAAGUAAUUCUUUUUCGGUGGUUGUGUAGUUCAAUUGAGCAUCUGUCAACGUCUUGCUGGAGUAGUAGAUUGUGUGAAAAAUCUUAUCGUGACAUUGUCCCAAUACUGCUCCAACUGCAUAGUCACUACCGUCGCACAUCAAUUCAAACGGUAAAGACCAAUCGGGUGCCAAAAACUUGUUGCAACGGCGCCGUUGCAAGUUUUUGGCGUCAAUUUAUUUUUUUAUUUCUACUUUUAUUCAUGUUUUUGGCGCCGUUGUCGUGUUUUAUUCGUUUUCAUCCCCGGUAACGACGCCAAAAACUUGUUGGUCGAUUUCGCAAUCAAUGAAUGCGUGCAAGUAUAGUAGAGUAUCGUUCUCACGAGAAAUUAUUUAAUAAAAAUUACCAAAUACUAACUCUUAACCAAAUCAAUUUUAUUUAAACAACUGUGAAUUAUGAUUUUUCUAAUUAAGAAAACUAAAUUAAUCAAUUAAAACUAGAUUACUCUAAAAUUAAUUCAAAUAAAUAAAGAUUAAGACUCAACGAUGAAUUCAGAUAAAUAAAGAUUAAGACUUCAAUAUCCCCAAUUAUGAACUAUAAAUCAAUUAUCAAAUUAUCCCAAUUAUUAUGCCUACUGAAUUGUUAACAGGAUUUCUCAAAUGCAAAAGUCCUUUUCCAAGUGAUCAAUUGACUUCUAUUUAAUCCAAAUUAAUCUUGCUAUAUUCCUAUGCAAAAUAUUGAAUUAAACUCCUUCAAUUCCAAUUCCUUAUGUGUUACAUGCGGUGAACAGAUAUUUCCAUUCAAUUCACGUACCUAAUUAUUUGCCAUGCAAAUAACUAAGUCACAUGUUAUCAUUCCCAAUUCUAACCCUAGAAUUCCUCUUUCAAUUCCUUCUAGAGUAACAAGGUAAUUACUGAUCAGAUAAUUAAUCAAUAGGCUCAAGACAAGAUAAACAAUUCAAUUUGACACAAAUAAUUGGAAUACAUUGAAUAACUAAUUUAUAGACAUAAAAGGUUCAAUUGGUAGUCUUAAUAGAAGAGUUAGUUCAUAAUUAAUGAAUUAAAACCAAGAAUCCACAACUGAAUAGAUAUUAAAAGAUAAAAGUAUGAUAAGAGAAGAGAAUAGAAUCUGUUGUCAGCAAAUUUGAUGCUCCCCUCUUGCUCUUACUCUUGAUCUUCAGUGUUCUUCAAUUUACUUCAAUCUCCAAUGGCUAAUUAAGAACUAGGGUUUAUAUUCUAAUCUAAUGGAGUGUUUUAUCUAUUCUAAUCUAUUUAUUCUCCCUUUAUUUUAUGCCUUACAUCAUGUAUUUAUAGGUUACAAGUCCAAUUUUUAGCUUAGGAACAAACCCAAUCCAAUUUGGAGUCAAAAAGGUGUCAAAAUUCGCCCCAAAACGCGUCCAAGCCUCACCAAACUCUUCCCCAGUGCCCCAGCACUGGGCACGGCACUGGAACACUGCUCCCUAGUGCCCCGGCGCUGGAAAUAGCCUUGGUUUAGGCGCCGCGGCACUAGCCCCAUUUUUGGAAAUUUUCUACUCCGACGUCCUUUGGGAAAAUGGCCAUAACUUCUUCGUCUGAACUCCGAUUUUGAUGAUUCAAGAUAUUCCGAAAAGAGAAGACGUAGAUCUACAACUUUUUUUCUUUAAGUUUUUCGAAAUAAGGUUCGGAGCAAUAAUCAAAUUGGCUCUGAAGUGACUGCUGUGUAAAUGGUAAGCUGAAAACGCGAAUCUAGUCACCCCAAACGUCGAUUCAAGUAACUUUUGUCCCAAAUCCUACAAAACAACGUAAAACACGCAUGAAUAGACACAAACACUUAAAUCAACCAAAAGAUUAAGCUCAGACGCACUCAAUUAUGAGUAUAAAACUCACUUAUCAAAUACCCCCAAACUUAAACAUUUGCUUGUCCUCAAGCAAAAAUACAAAAGAACUAAAAAUAAACAACCGAACUCAACUACAUAAAUGCAUAUGCAUGAUCUACUUCCUAAUAUACCUACGAACCCAGUAAUAAAUCAGUAUGAUAUAUAGCAAUAGGCCUCAAAGAUACCAUUGGUACUCAAACAAUAUAUCCAAUCAAGUCAAAAUCCAUAACUCUAACCAAUUAGUCAAUCCAAACCAGUCAUCACCCAUGUUGUGUGUGUGUACUUGUUAACCAGUCUAACCAACCACAGUUCAAGAUAAUCACAUAACAAACUUCUUAGAAGGAAAAUUUCAGUUCCAAUUCAAAUACUUUUGUGAACAUGACAACUCUGGUUAAAACUAAGUAAUUACCAAGUCUUAGGAUAAAUAUAGGAUUUAUUUAUACUUUUAUUCAACCACGAGGGCAUAUUUUAUUCAUUUUUGCUUGGGAGUCAUUGGUCGAAAGCUCGUUAAGGUAACAUUGAAAAGUCUAAGGGAAUAAGACAAUGCAUAGUCAUGAGAAAAAAAAAUAUAAUAAGGCGGGAAAAGUGCAAAAAGCCCCCGUAUAAAAAAAAAGCAUAAAUAUUCCAUUUUGACCCCUGGACCUUGGUGAUUGUUUGAUUUCAGUUGAAUUAAGUUUAUUUGAUGAGUUCUCGAGUUUACACUGUAUGAUGCCUAUUAAGAAAUUUAUUAUCUUUCAUAUUUUGCUUUUCAUUGGUUAGCAUGGUUAUUGAACACGCACACACGAUAUCAGUAAUAACAGAUUUAGAUUCAUUGAUUGUUGGGAUAUUAUUGAUCUGCUUUAACAUGAUGUAUUAGAAUGUUUUUGUGAUUUUUCUGAGGCCUAUGGAUAUACGGUGUGCUAUUUAAUAUUAAUAAUAAUAAUAAUAUACGGUGUGAUAUACGGUGUGCUAAUUGAAAAAAAAAGUAAUAAUAAUAAAAAAAAAACCCGCGGCAUGCUUGUCUAGUUUUGUGGCCUUUGUUACUUGAGUAAGUAAGCCCGAGGGGAUUGUCUCUACACCUAGCGCCCUAAGGUCUUAAUGGCUUGGGAGUCGUUGGUUGAAAGCUCGUUAAGGUAACACUGAAAAGCCUAAGGGAAUAAGACAAUGCAUAGUCAUGAGAAAAAAAAAAGAAAAAAAUAAUAAUAAAGCGGGAAAAGUGCGAAAAGCCCCAGUUAAUAAUAAAAAAAGAGAAGCAUAAGUAUUCCAUUUUGACCGUUGAACUUUGGUAGUUGUUUGAUUUCAGCCGAAUCAAGUUUAUUUGAUGAGUUCUCGAGUUUAAACUGUAUGAUGCCUACUAAGAAAUUUAUUAUCUUUCAUAUUUUGNNNNNNNNNNNNNNNNNNNNNNNNNNNNNNNNNNNNNNNNNNNNNNNNNNNNNNNNNNNNNNNNNNNNNNNNNNNNNNNNNNNNNNNNNNNNNNNNNNNNCCCAUUAAUUGGAUAUACUUGGGCAUAAAUUGUUGUGUUUUCAUGUCUUGUAGAAGCAUUUUUACUGUGUAUAGUGUUUAUUUUGCAGAUUCGGGAGCUGAAGGGACAAAUCGGGGAAUUUUGAGCUAAUAAUGGCAGUUUGAUAAAUACUUUGAACAUACAGCGCCGGGGCGCUCUAGCACGCUCAUUUUCCAACGCCGGGGCGCGCGUUGACUAGUCGGUUGACUUGCAUUAAAGUGAUGGUUAUUUGACAAUUUGAGUUGGGAAGGGAUUGUGGUUGGACAAGGAGUAUAAAAGGGUUAUUUCCAUUGAAGUAGGGAUCUAAUCUACACAAUUGGAGGCUGAUCAAGGAGUCAAGAGGAGAAUUUGAAGAUUUUCACUUGGAGUUUUUCUUCUUCUUCAUUCUUUUCAAUUUAUGUAAUUCUUUAAGGAUGAUUUGCAAAAGAUUGUUGGUUUUAAUUUCUGUCAUGAACUAAUUUCUUUAAUUAAGAUUUCAAUUGAACCUUUUAUGGCUAUGAAUUAAUUAUUUGAUUUAUUCUAAUUAUUUGUGUUGAAGUGAAUUGUUUAUCUUGCCUUGUGCUGAUUGAUUAAUUAUUUGGCCAGUAAUUACCAUGUUACUCUAGAAGGAAUUGAAAGAGGAAUUCUAGGGUUAGAACUGGGCNNNNNNNNNNNNNNNNNNNNNNNNNNNNNNNNNNNNNNNNNNNNNNNNNNNNNNNNNNNNNNNNNNNNNNNNNNNNNNNNNNNNNNNNNNNNNNNNNNNNNNNNNNNNNNNNNNNNNNNNNNNNNNNNNNNNNNNNNNNNNNNNNNNNNNNNNNNNNNNNNNNNNNNNNNNNNNNNNNNNNNNNNNNNNNNNNNNNNNNNNNNNNNNNNNNNNNNNNNNNNNNNNNNNNNNNNNNNNNNNNNNNNNNNNNNNNNNNNNNNNNNNNNNNNNNNNNNNNNNNNNNNNNNNNNNNNNNNNNNNNNNNNNNNNNNNNNNNNNNNNNNNNNNNNNNNNNNNNNNNNNNNNNNNNNNNNNNNNNNNNNNNNNNNNNNNNNNNNNNNNNNNNNNNNNNNNNNNNNNNNNNNNNNNNNNNNNNNNNNNNNNNNNNNNNNNNNNNNNNNNNNNNNNNNNNNNNNNNNNNNNNNNNNNNNNNNNNNNNNNNNNNNNNNNNNNNNNNNNNNNNNNNNNNNNNNNNNNNNNNNNNNNNNNNNNNNNNNNNNNNNNNNNNNNNNNNNNNNNNNNNNNNNNNNNNNNNNNNNNNNNNNNNNNNNNNNNNNNNNNNNNNNNNNNNNNNNNNNNNNNNNNNNNNNNNNNNNNNNNNNNNNNNNNNNNNNNNNNNNNNNNNNNNNNNNNNNNNNNNNNNNNNNNNNNNNNNNNNNNNNNNNNNNNNNNNNNNNNNNNNNNNNNNNNNNNNNNNNNNNNNNNNNNNNNNNNNNNNNNNNNNNNNNNNNNNNNNNNNNNNNNNNNNNNNNNNNNNNNNNNGAGUACGUUCAACCGAGGGACCACAACCAGGGUCAUACCGGUGACAGCAGUCAUCGGAACAACGAUAACCAGCGGGGAAAGAAAAAUACGGACAAAAGCGGCAACCACUCUGGUGGUAAUUAUGGCCAUGAAAAUAGAAGAAGCGAGUCGGGGGGAGAUUUUCAAAAGAGGAGAUUCAACAAUGAUAAUGUGAAGACGUCAGCACCAGCAUCAACUGGUUCUAAGGGAGGAGAUCGACCACCGGUCGUAUGCUAUAAAUGCGGAAAAGAGGGACAUAUCAGCCCAAAUUGUCCACAACAGUUCAAGGUAUGCUAUAAUUGUGGAAAGGAAGGACAUAUCACUCGAGAUUGUACGGUAGCGAAACUAAGUCCAGUGGGGAUGGUGACUCAAAAAGUUGUCCCAGAAAAGUCAAAGUCAACGGUUCCUGGAAGAGCGUUUGUUGUGACUGGUCAAAAUGCGAGGAACCCAAACGAGGUGAUCACGGGUAAGCUAAUCAUAAAUUCUUGCGAAGUUUAUACAUUACUAGAUACCGGUGCUACCCAUUCAUUUAUCUCUCCUGCUUGUGCUCAACGUUUAAACUUGACUCCGGAGAAAUUAGACUUUGACUUAUCUGUGGAGACUCCGGUAGGAGAAACUUUCAUUACAUCCACUGUUUAUAAAUCUUGUUUGAUCCAAGUUGGCACCAUCACAUUACUUGUUGACCUUAUCUCUUUAAAGAUACUUGCUUUUGAUAUGAUUUAAGGGAUUGAUUGGUUAACUACUCAUCAUGCCAAAAUUGAUUAUUUUUGUAAGGUAGUUAGUUUUCAUAUUUCAAACCAACCUGUUGUACGAAUUCAAGCAACUAAACCACUAAAAUCAAUCAAUGUCAUAUCAAGUCAUAAAGCUAUUCAUUUAUUGAAAAAUGGAUGUCAAGCUUCUUAGCCCAUGUUAUGGAUUUGAAUAAAGAUACGUCAGAUUUGAAUAAUAUUCCUGUUGUUAGUAAAUUUCCUGACGUAUUUCUUGAAGAACUUCUCGGUCUACCCCCAGAACGUGAAGUUGAAUUUUUUAUUGAUCUUGAACCUGGUACAAAGCCCAUUUCUAAAACCCCAUAUCGAAUGGCUCCUAUUGAACUUCAGGAGUUAAAGGUCCAACUACAGGAGUUAUUAGACAUCGGUUUCAUUCAUCCUAGUACAUCUCCUUGGGGUGCUCCUGUUUUAUUCGUAAAGAAGAAAGAUAGGAGUAUGCGACUUUGUAUUGACUACCGGGAAUUAAACCAUGUCACUAUCAAGAAUAGGUAUCCACUACCUCGUAUUGAUGACCUGUUUGACCAGUUACAAGGAGCACAAUUCUUUUCAAAGAUCGAUCUUCAUUAUGGAUAUCAUCAGCUGAAGAUUAGAACUGAGGAUAUUCCAAAGACUGCCUUCACAACUCGGUAUGGGCAUUAUGAAUUCUUAGUCAUAUCUUUUGGAUUGACUAAUGCUCCUGCAGCUUUCAUGGAUAUGAUGAACCGAGUAUUCAAGGAAUAUUUGGAUCAGUUCGUUGUUGUCUUUAUUGAUGACAUCCUCAUAUAUUCCAAAAGUCGUGAAUAUCAUGACCACCAUUUGAAGAAGUAGCAUUCUUUGGGCACGUGGUGACAAAACAUGGAGCAUCUGUUGACCCGGUGAAGAUUGAAGCAAUACAAAGUUGGGAGCAACCAAAGACGUUGAUCGAAGUUCGUAGCUUUCUGGGCUUAGCUGGUUAUUAUCGAAGAUUCGUGGAAGGGUUUUCUCGAAUCGCUACUCCAUUAACUCAACUGACUCGGAAAGAUAUAAAAUUCGUAUGGAGCGAGGAAUGCGAGAAGAGUUUCCAAGAGCUUAAGAGGAGACUCAUUUCGGCACCUAUUCUGACAAUACCAUCUAGUUCGAAUGGAUUUGUUAUCUACAGCGAUGCUUCGGGCAAAGGGUUAGGAUGUGUUCUCAUGUAACAUGGGAAAGUCAUAGCCUAUGCCUUGCGACAACUUAAAGAAUAUGAGAGAAAUUAUCCUACUCAUGAUCUAGAGUUGGCAGCAGUCGUUUUCGCGCUAAAGAUCUGGAGGCACUAUCUAUAUGGGGAGAAAGUGGAGAUAUAUUCAGACCAUAAAAGCCUCAAAUAUUUCUUCACCCAAAAGGAACUCAACAUGCGGCAACGACGUUGGCUCGAGCUGUUGAAAGAUUAUGACCAUACCAUUCAAUACCAUCCUGAAAAAGCGAACGUGGUAGCUGAUGCGUUGAGUAGAAGAUCAUAUGUGGGAACGAGUGUGAUGUUGUCAACACAAAGGCCCAUUUUGUGUGAUUUACAAAAGAUGAAGAUAGAAUUCAAGACUCCGGGGACCCAUGCGAUGAUGUCAAGUAUACGCAUAGAACCGACUUUAAUCGAAAAAGUUAAAGUUGCUCAAGCCACAGACCCGGAGCUGAUGCGUAUCAAGAAGAAAGUACAAGAAGGUGCUAUUCCAGAAGCAAGAAUCGAUGAAGAAGGAAUACUUCGAGUCCACUCCAGACUUUGUGUUCCUAACGACUCUGAUUUAAAAUACAAGAUCAUGAUGGAGGCACACAAUACACCAUUUGCAAUCCAUCAUAAAAGUACCAAAAUGUAUCGUGAUCUUCGACAUACAUUUUGGUGGAACAAUAUAAAGAGAGAGAUUGCAAAGUUUAUCUCGAGGUGUUUAACUUGUCAACGUGUAAAGGCGGAGCAUCAAGUGCCUAAGGGUCCAUUACAACCACUUGAGAUUCCGAAAUGGAAGUGGGAACACAUUACCAUGGAUUUCAUUAUGGGUCUUCCCACUGUUUCUCAAGGCAUAAAUGCUAUUUGGGUUAUUAUUGAUAGAUUAACCAAGUUCACUCAUUUAUUGUCGAUACGGGAGACUUAUUCCCUUGAACGUCUUGCACGUAUGUAUGUAAAUGAGAUUGUGAGAUUGCAUGGCAUGCCAGUAUCCAUAGUUUCGGAUCGUGAACCAAGAUUCACUGCACGAUUUUGGGUUAGCUUGCAAAAAGCUAUGGGCACAGAUUUACAAUUCAGUUCGGCAUACCAUCCUCAAACGGACGGACAAUCAGAGAGGACUAUCCAAACUCUUGAAGAUCUAUUAAGACUCUGUGUCCUAGACUUCAAAGGGAGUUGGGAUAAGUAUUUACCAUUGGUGGAAUUCUCCUACAACAACAGUUAUCAGGCAAGUAUAGGUGUAGCUCCAUUCGAAGCAUUAUAUGGACAAAAGUGUCGCUCUCCAGUAUGUUGGGAUGAGGUAGGUGAAGCAACAUUGUUGGGACCAGAGUUGGUACGUAUUACUACAGAAAAGAUCCAAAUGAUUCGAAAAUGUAUACAAACGGCACAGGAUCGACAAAAGAGUUAUGCGGAUCUUCAUCGAAAGGACGUGGAAUUUAGUAUUGGGGAUCAUGUAUUGUUGCGAGUUGCUCCAUAGAAAGGAGUUACAAGAUUUGGGAAGAGAGGAAAGCUCAAUCCAAGAUUUAUUUGUCAAUUUCAAAUUCUUGACUGAGUAGGAAAUGUGGCCUAUAGAGUCGCGUUACCUCCAAGUAUGUCUCGUGUUCAUAAUGUUUUUCACAUAUCUGUAAGACCCCAACUUAUUAUAAAUAAAAUUGAAUUUUCCUUUAUUCAUUAUUCUAAAUUAAUAAGGGUUAAUUUGAUAUAAUUAUUUGGUUAUGGGUGAAAUGUGCAAAGUUUACAAAAUAAGCAAGUGGUUAUAAAAUAUUUAUUAUUGUCGGGGAAUAUUCGUUUGGUCGUGGAAUAUUCUUUUUGUCGGGAAUCUCCGUACGACGGCGCAGUCAUUGGUGGGCCCCAUAACNNNNNNNNNNNNNNNNNNNNNNNNNNNNNNNNNNNNNNNNNNNNNNNNNNNNNNNNNNNNNNNNNNNNNNNNNNNNNNNNNNNNNNNNNNNNNNNNNNNNNNNNNNNNNNNNNNNNNNNNNNNNNNNNNNNNNNNNNNNNNNNNNNNNNNNNNNNNNNNNNNNNNNNNNNNNNNNNNNNNNNNNNNNNNNNNNNNNNNNNNNNNNNNNNNNNNNNNNNNNNNNNNNNNNNNNNNNNNNNNNNNNNNNNNNNNNNNNNNNNNNNNNNNNNNNNNNNNNNNNNNNNNNNNNNNNNNNNNNNNNNNNNNNNNNNNNNNNNNNNNNNNNNNNNNNNNNNNNNNNNNNNNNNNNNNNNNNNNNNNNNNNNNNNNNNNNNNNNNNNNNNNNNNNNNNNNNNNNNNNNNNNNNNNNNNNNNNNNNNNNNNNNNNNNNNNNNNNNNNNNNNNNNNNNNNNNNNNNNNNNNNNNNNNNNNNNNNNNNNNNNNNNNNNNNNNNNNNNNNNNNNNNNNNNNNNNNNNNNNNNNNNNNNNNNNNNNNNNNNNNNNNNNNNNNNNNNNNNNNNNNNNNNNNNNNNNNNNNNNNNNNNNNNNNNNNNNNNNNNNNNNNNNNNNNNNNNNNNNNNNNNNNNNNNNNNNNNNNNNNNNNNNNNNNNNNNNNNNNNNNNNNNNNNNNNNNNNNNNNNNNNNNNNNNNNNNNNNNNNNNNNNNNNNNNNNNNNNNNNNNNNNNNNNNNNNNNNNNNNNNNNNNNNNNNNNNNNNNNNNNNNNNNNNNNNNNNNNNNNNNNNNNNNNNNNNNNNNNNNNNNNNNNNNNNNNNNNNNNNNNNNNNNNNNNNNNNNNNNNNNNNNNNNNNNNNNNNNNNNNNNNNNNNNNNNNNNNNNNNNNNNNNNNNNNNNNNNNNNNNNNNNNNNNNNNNNNNNNNNNNNNNNNNNNNNNNNNNNNNNNNNNNNNNNNNNNNNNNNNNNNNNNNNNNNNNNNNNNNNNNNNNNNNNNNNNNNNNNNNNNNNNNNNNNNNNNNNNNNNNNNNNNNNNNNNNNNNNNNNNNNNNNNNNNNNNNNNNNNNNNNNNNNNNNNNNNNNNNNNNNNNNNNNNNNNNNNNNNNNNNNNNNNNNNNNNNNNNNNNNNNNNNNNNNNNNNNNNNNNNNNNNNNNNNNNNNNNNNNNNNNNNNNNNNNNNNNNNNNNNNNNNNNNNNNNNNNNNNNNNNNNNNNNNNNNNNNNNNNNNNNNNNNNNNNNNNNNNNNNNNNNNNNNNNNNNNNNNNNNNNNNNNNNNNNNNNNNNNNNNNNNNNNNNNNNNNNNNNNNNNNNNNNNNNNNNNNNNNNNNNNNNNNNNNNNNNNNNNNNNNNNNNNNNNNNNNNNNNNNNNNNNNNNNNNNNNNNNNNNNNNNNNNNNNNNNNNNNNNNNNNNNNNNNNNNNNNNNNNNNNNNNNNNNNNNNNNNNNNNNNNNNNNNNNNNNNNNNNNNNNNNNNNNNNNNNNNNNNNNNNNNNNNNNNNNNNNNNNNNNNNNNNNNNNNNNNNNNNNNNNNNNNNNNNNNNNNNNNNNNNNNNNNNNNNNNNNNNNNNNNNNNNNNNNNNNNNNNNNNNNNNNNNNNNNNNNNNNNNNNNNNNNNNNNNNNNNNNNNNNNNNNNNNNNNNNNNNNNNNNNNNNNNNNNNNNNNNNNNNNNNNNNNNNNNNNNNNNNNNNNNNNNNNNNNNNNNNNNNNNNNNNNNNNNNNNNNNNNNNNNNNNNNNNNNNNNNNNNNNNNNNNNNNNNNNNNNNNNNNNNNNNNNNNNNNNNNNGAUAAAUGGAUUUAAUUAAAUAUAUGAUGUCCAAAAAUAUGAAAAAUACGAUUUAUGACUUGAGACCCUUGAGCAUGGCUUAUGCAGAUUUUUGAUGAAGUUUUGGGUCGGGUGUGAAGUGUUGUAAUGUUUAUAACAUUUUAGAAUGUUUAAUGAGUUAAUUAAGGAAAGGAAAACAAUUGAACUAAAUUGUUUAUUAAUGUGAUUAAUGACUUAAAUUAUUGUUAUAUGGCUAAUAAUAUUGGAUUAAGAUAUUAUUAGUAGUAUUUGACUGGAAUGUUAUUAAAAGGUUAAUAACCUUAGCGUAAAAUAUUAUUUCAUAAUUAAUAAUAUUCGACGGGAGAUUAAAAUAAGAGAUUUAUGUUAUUUUUUUAUAUAAUUGUUGAAUUUGGUAUUCAAUGAACUAUAUUAUGCUUGUAAUAGACUAAAAUGAGAAUUCAGGGUGCUGAAUUGGAUUUUUGAUUUGCUGAAAUGGUUUCAGUCUGCUGAAAUAUUUGGUGGUCUGCUGAAAUAGUAAUUUCAGGAUGCUAAAAUGUAAUCCGGUAUACUGAAAUGAUAUUUCAGUUUACUGAAAGGUUAUNNNNNNNNNNNNNNNNNNNNNNNNNNNNNNNNNNNNNNNNNNNNNNNNNNNNNNNNNNNNNNNNNNNNNNNNNNNNNNNNNNNNNNNNNNNNNNNNNNNNUCUAAUAUUUGACUAUGUGAUUAAGUAUUAGAUAGUAUUGUGAAAUAAGGUAUGAUAUGUUAAUUGAAAGAUCAAUCUUAUACCUGAUAGGUCCUUUCAAUAAAGAGAAUAAAUUAAAUUGCGUAGCGGUAAUCGACUAUGCAGGCAAGUUUCCUUAACUCAAACUCGAGUUAUAUUUCAAAAUAUAUGAAAGGCUAAUCACCUUCAUUACCAUAAGGUUCAGUUAAAUUGUUCAUGGUCAUUGUUGACCUUCAAACAUUAUUGAUUCAGUCAUUCAAUUAUUGACAUCUUAAUUAAUGUUCCUUCAUAAUUAUCCUGUCUGUGCGUUUACGCCUGACCUGGUUCCAUUAUUUAUUAUUCUGUUAGAAUAACAUGUCUAUGUGGAUUACUACAUGCAUGUUGAAUGAUCCUUCGUAUUCAUUCCUUAUUAAAUUGUGGAAAUGAUCUGUCUACGUGGAUUACCGCAUGGUAGGCAAAAAUCCAUUUGCAGUUUCAUAUAUUCUAUUAUACUCAGUUGGUUAAAGUUUUGACUUCUAUACUCCAUGAAAUUAGUGGAAUAUCCUUGACAUUUGCGCUUCAUCCAGUAUCUUUUCAUGGAAAUAUUCUUCUGAGCAUUCUUGAAUUUUACUCUACAAAGAAGUAUCAUGUUGACAAUUUGGACGUUAUUAGUUCCUGGAUAAAUUAAUUCGUGAACUUGUUUUAUUGAAUUCUUAUAUCAUUGUCAUCAUCCUCAUGUUUAUAUUUUUUUNNNNNNNNNNNNNNNNNNNNNNNNNNNNNNNNNNNNNNNNNNNNNNNNNNNNNNNNNNNNNNNNNNNNNNNNNNNNNNNNNNNNNNNNNNNNNNNNNNNNNNNNNNNNNNNNNNNNNNNNNNNNNNNNNNNNNNNNNNNNNNNNNNNNNNNNNNNNNNNNNNNNNNNNNNNNNNNNNNNNNNNNNNNNNNNNNNNNNNNNNNNNNNNNNNNNNNNNNNNNNNNNNNNNNNNNNNNNNNNNNNNNNNNNNNNNNNNNNNNNNNNNNNNNNNNNNNUUAUUCUGCAUUAUCUUAGUCAUAAUAUUUCUUACUGGGCUAGUUGAGCUCACUCUUUCUUUCAUUGUUCUCUUCAGGAAAUGAGAACGUAGCUGGGACUAGUCGGGGAACAGAGUGAUGGUCCUAGAUGGUGCAUUAGUAGUCCUCACUAUUCUGUGAAAUAGUGUAAUAAUAAAUGUAAUGAGGACUCCAUUGAGUGUGGAUAUUGUCUAGAUGAUAAUAGUUGUAUUAAAACUCACAGCUCAUGUUAUAUAUUUAAGUUUGUAUUUGAAUUCUGUACCAUGUAUUUGGUGACUCGAGAUGGGUGAUGUAUACCUAUUUUGGGGGCGCACAGUUGGGACUGAGACUGGAUAUCUCGGGGUUAUCUCCGAGAUUAAUCGGUCUUCUCUGGUGGAAUUUUCGGUAUUGUAACUGCAUGCCUCGGGGUUAUCUCCAAGGUUGGAACUGUUACUCCCGGAGUGUGCUCCGGGGUUGAGACUGAACUUCCGGUAGUAUCCGGACUGGAUGUGAGCUGUCUUCCAGGGUUAUCUCUGAAAGAUGAAUCUGCACUCUUGCAAAGUCAGUGACAUGUGUGAAGAAAAUUUCGAGUGUCUACACUCAUCACAGAACAUAAUAAAAUCAGAAUUGUCAAAUUCUCUACCGUGAUCAGAUCGACUAUAAAUAAUAGAGCUUCUCUGUUAAUUCUGAAUUUUCUUACACAAAGCAGAGAAAGAAUUUAUAGCUUCAUUUUUAAAUUUCAGAAAAUCAACCCAUUUAAAUCUUAAAUCAUCAACCAAAACUAGAAUGUAUACAACACCACCCAUGUUAUGUUUAGGAAUAGGUCCUAUUGAGUCCAUAUGUAACAAUUCUCGAGGUCGAGAGGUUAAAACUGUGAGUUUAGGUUUAUGAGAUGCAUGAAUUUAUUUUCCUAAUUCACAUGCUUCACAAAUAUGGUCUUUUAGGAAUUUCAGUUUUGGAAGACCGCGUACAUGUUCUUUAGAUGAAAUAUUAUUAAUUAAUUUCAUGUUGAUAUGUUCUAGUUUGCAAUGCCAAAGCCAUGGAUCAUCAUUUGCAAACACGAGACACACAUUAUCUAGGUGAGAAUAUGCAUCUAGGUCACACGUGUAUACAUUUUAAUUUUUAGGACAUAAUAGAACUAAUUUUCCAGAUUGAUCAAAUAUUGAGCAAUUAUGAGAACUAAAAGAUAUUUUAAAUCCACUCUUACAUAGUUUACUAAUAGAUAAAAGAUUAUACCUGAGUCAUGUGACUAAUUGAACGUUAGAGAUUGUUAUAUGCUUAUUUCCAACACUUCCAAUUCUAACUACUUUACCUUUAUUGUUAUCUCCAAAAGUUAUUUCACCAUAGUCUGUAGUUUGUAGAUUUUUUAGCUUUGAUUUAUCAACAGACAUAUGUCUUGAACAACCGCUAUCGAGAUACCAUUUACUUUUAUUUGAAUCAGUUGUAAGACAUACUUGUAAUAAUAAUUUUAAAAAUUGGUACCCUUUAAUAAGAAGGGUCCUUUGGGUAAGUUUUUCAUUUUGUAUAAGGAACAUUUGUAUUUUCCUUUACAAAACUGGGUUCAGGAUAAACAGUCUUAGUAGAGACAAGCAUUCUAUGAGUUACAGGAGUAUAAGAUGUAUGAUAAUAAUUUCUAUGAAAUUCUCUUCUUUUAAUAGUUGAUGCAGUGUAUGUUCCUUUGGAAACCCAAAUCAUUUUCCUUAAUAAUUUUCAUUUCAAGCAUUGCACAUAUAAAAUGAAUGGUCAUUUCUGUUACAGUAAGAACAUUUAGUAAAAUGAGAAGUAUGACUUUCUUUUUCUUUACUUUUAACAUGAUAAAGUCAUUUAUCUUUUGUUUUACUUGAUUCUCCAAUAUAUCAUAAUCCUUCUUUAUUAAAUCAACAUCUUUGUUGACUUAACAUGACAUAAAGAUUUUUUUUUCUUUUUGUAAAUUUAAGGACUAUAGUAUUUAAAUCAUCACGUUCUUUGGUUAAGUCAUUAAUUUGAUAUAUUAAAGGAUUAUGUUUUUCUAACUCUUCUUUUAGACAUGAAUUUUCAAGUUUAAGAUUUUUAAUAUCUUCAUUUAACACUUGAUCUUGUAUUGGAGUAUCUUCAUUAAUUACUAGAAGAGUUAAAAUUUUAAUUUCAAGAUUUUCAAUAGAAAUGAUAAGUGUUGAAUUUUCAAUUUCAAGAUUCUUGUUUCUUAAUUUUUCUAAUUCUUCUUUUAAUAAUAAAGAAUAUAAUAGGCAGCAAAGCCAAGCCAAUUAUAAGAAUAACAUUAUACUAUUCGUGGCAUAGCCAAACCGGUAGUAUGAUAAUAAAUUAUAAGAAUUUAAAGGCAAUUAUAAGAAUAAAAUUAUAUUAUUGGUGGCAUAGCCAAACCGGUAAUAUAAUAAUAAAUUGCAAGAAUUUAAUUUUACCGUCUUAGUUGGUUAGAGCUUCGUGCUGAUAACGUAUUAUAAAACUUUAGCAAAGUGUAGAAAGAUACUCUUAUAAUUGCAUAAAUUUAGAGAGAAUAAUUAAGAGAUAAAGAGAGAAAUCAUUCAUAGAAGUUCCCUUCUUUCCUUCAGUUUCAUUUCCUUAUAUAGGCAAGGAGAAGAGGAGAGAAAAAAGGAAAGGGGAGAGUCACGGGGGAAGAAGGGAAGGGGGAGAUCACGGGUGAAACCCUCAUGAGGAGGGAAUCACUUUAUAACAAGCUUUGAAUAAUGGAGUAAUAUGUAAGCAGAUAUAUAUCUCUCGCAUAAAAAAUAAAACAACACUUAAUAAGGGGGUGUUUGAUAAAAAUUAAAUGAAUCUGAAUCCGAAUGAGCUGAAUCUGAAUCUGAAUGAGCUGAAUCUGAAUCUGAAUGAAAAAAGAUGUUUGAUAAUUGACAUGUCUGAAACAUCUGAAUGACAAAACUUUAUUAUUUUACCCUUCUGAAAAAAUUCAAAAUUGUUGUAAAUUUAUUUAAUAUUACUUAAUAUAAUAGUUAAUAUUUUUUUAUAUUUUUUUUAAUUUUUUAAUUUUUUUUUUACUUCAUUCAGCUGCUCAUUCAGCCAUUCAGCUUAAAAAAUCUGAUUUAGCCAUUCAGCUCGUUCAUCUUACCGAUUCAGCCAUUCAAACCAAAACAAACGCACUGACCGAUUCAGCCAUUCAGAUUCAGCUUCAUUCAGUUUUAAACAAACAGUCCCUAAGAGUAGUUAAAUGCAGCCUAGUCCCCAAAAAAUGAUGGGCUACACCUUAGUCCUCAACGCCUUAUAGUUCAGCUAUGCCACGAAUUGCACUAUUGUGAUACCAUCCUAAAUUCGGACUACUGAUAUCUUAGACUACCGAUCUACGUGACUAGACCACAUUUAAGUUCAUCAUUGACACUAUAAUCUUUUGUUAUUAUAUGCUGUCAGGUGUCAAGUGAAACCAUUCGAAUUAAUUGAACAAUUUGGCUUUAUGAGCUGAACUUUAGGUGUGUAAUUGUUGUAAAUCUCUUUCAAGACUAAAUGCAUUUUUGGAAGAGAAAAAAACGGCGUACUCGACUUGUUUGGGAUGGAGGGCAACACAAUACUCCAUUAGCGAAGACAUAUCGAAGUUAAAUUUUUAUUUCAAAAUUCAACUGUUAUUGACAAGAAUGAGAACUAAGCAACCACUCCCUCAAUAUACAAUUUGUAAAGUGACAAUCUCGAAAAGCAGUCCUACAAAAUACAUGCAAACAUGAAAUAGGACAUCUCAAAAAUUUAAUAAUUUAGCAAAAAUAGAACGAAUAAAGCAUCUUCCUAUGUUCCGGGUAGAAACUAACUUGACCUUGGUGCAGCCCAUUCAACAUUGAGGAUGAGGUUGUCGUAACCAUACCCGUUGAGUUUGUUGAUGGCUCUUUCAGCAUCUUCCCUGUGCACAAAGUUGACGAAACCAAAACCUCUGCUCAUACCUGUCUUCUGGUCAAUAGCAACAUAAGUCCUCGUGACAGGGCCAAAAGUACAAAAUAGCUCGAGUAAGUCGGGCUCCCGGGUGUCCUCUGAGAGAUUUGUGACCCUGACCGAGUUCUCAUCAUUCCUGCGUCUCAUAUCAGCACCACUGCUCCUCUCUGCCCCUGCUCGCAUAUGCUGGGAGGAACAUAUGCUCCCUUGAUAGCAACUGCAUUAGUUGUGGCUUCUGAUGUAGGUGGCAGAUCAGUGAAGCUCUCACUCUGCGGAACGAGAUCCUAGUAAGGACACCUUGAAGUCCAGUGGUCUCCCUUCUUACCACAUGCCCUGCAAACCAUGAGAACAGCACCUGCUUUCCCAAUUUGAGAUAAGGGGUCUCCAGAAGACUUUGUAUCUUCAGCUUUGGUACCUAUCAGAAAUUACACCAUUAGAAGAGGAUAAUAAAGAAUGCUGUGAUGAUAAAUAUCACCGAGACCUCUUACCAGCCAACCUAGCUCUUUGAUAAAAUCCUAAUUCAAGUAUUCAAGAACCUUGCCAUAAUGACUCGGGAAUAUUCCAUAUCCACUUUUUCGUAUCCAUGUUUUGCCGCCAUAGAUUAGUCCAUACACUAUUAUUGAAUGUGAUUAUGAUUCCACAGACAUGAUAUACGUCACAGCAAUACAACAAACACGAGAGCAAUAACCAGAAAUGUAACUAGAUAGUCCCUCCAUCAAAUUUAUGUGGUCACUUGAUCACGUUGCAUGGGUGGGCACAUAGUUUAAAGAGGAAAAAAAAAAUUAAACACUGCAUUCAAUGAUUGUCUAUUUUUUAGCAUAUGGUGGGCUACACAAGCUUGUUUAUCAUUUUAUAUGUGGAUAAUACAGAUUCUUCCUGCCAAAAAGUGUAUUGAUGUUGAUUGGUGUACACGUAGAUGUAGUGAAACAUCCACAUAAACUUGGACGGAUGGAGUAUGUAUUUAUUUGGUAUGUUCCCAAUAUAGAUUGAAUUUAUAAUUUUGUAUACCUUUCGGAUUUCUCAACAAAGAAAUGUAGGCAUUAAUACUUGGACCCAAAAACAAAAUCAAGUACCAGAAAAAGCAAACCUUAUGAGGAAGGCAAAAAAUCACAUAUUAGAAAAAGUUUGGAUGAUAAGAGACUUUCAGAAAGUCCCUGCAGGAGUACUCAAAUAUAACAAUUGCACCAACACUUGUAUUAUAGCAAGAAAAUUGUUCUUUAUUCUUUUCUUCUUAAACUCCCAGAACAAUGGAUAAGGUAUCUUUCUUUUCUCUCCAUAAUCUUAAUCAUACUCAAUUCAAUUAAAUUGUUUGAUCUAUUCUAAUUUCUUCGCUUCUCUAACAGUAUUUCUCCUCUUCUUUUUUGUCCUAUCCUACAAAAAUCAUGUUUAAACAUCUAAACAAGCUAUAGAAAUGCACUUUCUCACUUUUUUUCUGCUAUUUCUCUCCAAUUUUAUCAUCUGAAUGAAGCAGGAGAUGCAUGGUUCAAAUUCCAUAAUAAAAUUAAAGUGCAUCUUCCUCAAAUUAAAGUUUUAUUUGGUAGAUCACUGUAAUUUUUAGUUUGCUAGGUAUCUCAAUAGUCACGAAUAUUUUGAAUUUGUACCAAAUAACAAUAAAUAGAACCCUUGUUGAGCUGCGGGGAUUGUUCAAAUAACAUUAUGCUGCUGGUCCAUCCACUAGUCAAAUCUACAAAUUUAGAAAAUUUGUUGAACAAGGUAAAUGAACAAAUCUUGUGAGCAUAGUUACGCAAUCAACCAAUUCCAUUGAUAGAAAACAUCCUAGCAAGGUUUUAAAACCGGGACCGGACUGCCGGUCGGUAAAAACCGGAACCGGUCCACCCAACGGUCCGGUUUGGACCAUUGAACCAGUUUUGAUCAAAAAUCGCUAAGAACCGGUGAAUCGGCGGUCUAACCGGUUGACCCAGUGAACCGGUUCACGGGUUUGACCGGUUUGCUCUUUUGGCAACCAUUUCGAGGGCACAGACGGUGGGGAAGGCAGCUAGGCGGUUGGUGCCGAAAACCUCACAAGCAGCAACGCACAGAACGGGGGGAGCUCGUUUAGCACCUUUAGCUAGAACAGAGUAGCGCAUGGCCUCAUAGAUCUGCUGAGGGUACUCGAAUUCAAUUGCUUCGUCUAGCUUCUGCUUAAUUUCUCCAAUCAGGGUUGUCCAAUGCGUUUUCAGAUCGAAUUGGGUGGUCGAAACUACCGAUGAUGAUAAAGAAGAAGAAUAAGAUCGAAUGAUGGUUCCUAAUUGGUUUAGAAAUUGUUGGGCGAUUGUUUAGAAGGCAGUAGAGAUUUGGUAUCGGAGAGGAAGACAUAAAUGUGGAAAACAUCAUAUUUGCCUCUGCACUCGAUAUAAACUAGUAUAAUUUUAUCUCUAUAUCUUCUCCUACUUAUAUACCAAUAGGGACUAGAGAGAGAAAAUGGUGGGAGGUUUUCUUCCUGUUAGUGGGGUUUGGGAAGCCACAAGUGUAAAAGCAUUUAUUAAGGAUUAUGUGUUGUGGGUGGAAAAAGUAUAGUGUUCACAUGGAAUAGGUCAUGUUUUUUUAAAGUAUAUUUGGGAUUGAAUUAUUUAUCUUAAUUUAAUAUUAUUUUGAAUAAAUUUAUAACAUGAUAAAAAAUUAAUAAUUCUUUAAAUAGUCUUAUGAAUUAUUUUUUGUCAUUCUUAAAGUUAUUUAUGAGUAAUUACAUAAUCUCAUUAUAAGUGUGGGAUUAAUAGUCCCCCUCAUUUUACGUUAUCAAAUGGGUUUAUGAGACUAACAAUAUCUCGUCAAAGAAUUAAAUAGUCUGAAAUAAUAUUAAAUUAACAGUCCUCCUCAUUUUAAGUUAUCAAUUGGGUUUAUGAGACUAAUAGUCCCUCGCCAAAGAAUUAAAUAGUCCGAAAUAAUAUUAAAGAAAUUUAGUUGCGUAAUCUAUACAUGCAUAUGAAAUUUUCGAAUUUGAAUGUAUUAUACAGAUGUUUAUGUUCAUUUGUGUUAGAUUUUAUCACUAUUGAAUUUUGAUUUUGAGUUAUGACUCAUGACCAAGAUUUAAUAUCUUUCUUUUCAUAUAAAUUUAGUAUUUAUUUGAAUUAUAUAAAGUAAACAUUAUACAAAUAGGUUUAAUUUUCUUUCUUUUUUUUGUAGAUAAAUUGAUUAAUUUUAUAUAUUUACUAAAUACUAUAUAUAAUAUAUAAUAAUUAAUUAUUUAUUAUUUAUUACAUAUUAAUGACGUCAUUGGGUCAAUAAUGGUUCGACUACUGAUUAGACCAGUAACCCAUCCACCCAAUAUCUUAUUUCUGGUUCGAUGAACGAUCCGGAUCUGAAAACCUUGCAUCCUAGAAUUGCUAGUUUUUUAAUCAUAAUUUCAACAUUUUUUUAAUAAAAAAAUUGCACCUCGCUAGCAAUUUAUUUCAACCCCAAGAAAAUUCUUGUCUAAGACGCCCAAAACUUUGCUCAUCAACACUUCACCCUAAGAACAAAAACCUUAGAAAGACAUUGUGAGAGGGAAUAAUACAAAGCUGAUGUUUCAAAUUACCUUUGCAGUUGGCAACCCAAGAGCAAAUCUCCAAUUUCAAACCAAACUCUCAAUGUCAAAUACUACAUCAAUUCCAUAAUAAUUGACUUUUUAGAAGAAAAAAUUAGUUCCAAUUUAUUUGUCGUUUACAACUUUCUAGGAGAAUAAUUAAUUUAUUUUCCUAUAUCACCCUAACUUCUCCCAUUAUCUCAAGAAAUUUUCUCCCUUGUAUUAGUAGUUUUUAACUUCCCAUAAAGGGGUAGUGAUGAAAUUUCAUACAAAUUUUAAUUAUUAAAUGACUUUCUUAAUUCAUGUGCAUGAAGCUAAAACGACUAUUAUUAUGUAAUGGAGGUAGUAAUUGAUCUACCCGUCAGUGUUCAAUUCAACACCAAGUUCCCAAAACAGGUGGUUGUCAUAUGUAGAAACUACUUUGCAGAACACCAACAGCUAAAGUACUAUGCAGAUCAAGUCCAUUCGAAAUCUCUUAUCCCCCAAAAGUGUAACUUUACUUUAGUCAACAAAACCCAUCAACAAAUCAACUUUGAAGUUUGAACCGUAUAAAUACCAAGUCUUUGAAUGUUCUGGCCCUUCAAACAGACAACAGUUCAAUCGUACAUGACACACAUCUAACUAAGAAGAAUUUCAACCCUGCUACUCAUUAAUUGGGGCAGAAACACCUUCACGCUAAGUGGCAGAACAAGGACCCUAAAUCCCAAUAGCCUUAAUAUUCCAAGUUGUCACUUCUAGAUAGGCAUUUAUUGAAAAGUAUGUAAUGUGUGUUAGGAACCUGUAACGUUUUAGAAAAAUUCACCAGAAACUAUCUGGUUAUUAAAAACUAGCAAUCUAGCUUUUAUGAGCAGAAAGAUAUUUGAACUUUAAAAUCAGCCAAUUAGACUAGGAACGCAACUAAACCCUUAGGUCAAUAAUCAGAUAAUUGUAGAAACCUCAUAAUAUAGCGUUACAGUCCGUGAGAUAUAUGCAUUCACUAAAAUAGACAUUCAUAAACAAUCAGCUAUACUACAAAAAAUGCAUAAAAACAAUGAAAAUUAACAGCAAGAAAUAGAGUUUAAACAUAAAGGUUACACUUUUCCACAAGGUUUUGGUAGCGCUAAUAUUGAGUUGUGACAAUGCAUGUCAUUGACUAAUUAAUUAAAAUGCAAAUGCAACGUCAAAACAAAAUCCACUAAAUAAGAGAACAUGAAAUUGAUUUUGGAAUAUAUAAAAAGGAAAGACAGAAUAUGAGACUUUUCUAUAAGAAAAAGCAGAAUUUGAGAUGUACUUCAGUAAUCAUCUCCAUAAUACAAAAAUAUCAAUGGCACCAUUGAUAUAUUUCCAAAAUACCAGCAAUUUCUAGCUUUGGCUUCAAUGUUUAAUUGAAAACUAUCAAACCUUUUCUCUGAAUCUCACUGUUAGGUAUAUUUAUCCUACGCCCUGUUUUAUAGUACUCCCUCCAUUCCACACCACAAGAAUAAUCACAUUUUUCCAAUUUUAUGUUCCUACAAAAGUCACAGUUUCUUAUGGCAGUAUAAAAUGAUACAAUGUCCUCUAGUUUACCAUCUAAUUCCACUAUUAUGUCAUCACUACUAAACUAAACAUAUAGCCAAAACAUAUGACUUAAUGAUAUCACUUGUAAAUAUUGCAAACAGAACAUUUAAGGAUUGUAAAGUUUGCAAAUAGAUAAUUCAAAGAGUGUAAAUUUUGCACCAAAAAAAAAGGACUCUUUUUGUGAGAAUAAAACAAACACUUUGUAUAACACCCCCUAUAACAGAAAACUCAAUCAACUGAACAAUCUCUAAUUCCUAAUCCUUAGUCCCUGAUCCCUAAAUUAAUCAACUGAAUAAAAAACAUCAACCUCAAUUCAAAGUACAUGAAACCAUGCAUAGAGACAAAACAUCAGGAAGAAAAUAUAUUUAUAGAAUUGGAUCAAAUGGGUACCAGGAUCCCUAGGGCGCUCAAGGAGAAUCUCCUCCGUAGAGACCAUAGUAAGCCGAGCACCGACGUCCUCAUGGACGGCAUCGCCGAACUUAGACCAAGAGCGCCGCUCGACUGCGCGCUUGCUAAGCCGCGCGUUGGCUAGCUUGCGGACGCGCGUGGUGGUGGUGAUUUUGACCUUAUUGCCUUCGCCGUCGAACUUAUGUUCCACCACCUUCUUCAGCCCGUUCUGGUCCGGUCCAAUUACAUCGCGCGGCUGCAAAAGGAAGUCCAAAUCCUCGCCAUCUUCCUCGUCUAGCUCGCUCCAUCGGAGCUUGCUCGGGUGAUUGUUUGGGUUCUCAAUCGGAACGGAAACUGCCAUGUCUAUCGCCAUUUUUCCUAGGGAUUAGUUUUUGUUUUUUUUCCUUUAUUUAUUGAUGGGCAAAUUUGGUUAGGGUUUAUGGCUUCAGAAAGGGAUUAUUCGCGUCAACUUAAACUCGGUUAUUUUUCAAUGACAAAAAAAAUACCUAUUCUAUAGGAUAUAUAAUGUGAAUAUUUAUCUCAUUAUUUGAUUGUCAUUUAAAUAAUAUUAUAAUUCAUAUCAAUAUCACGUAUUAAUAAAUUUUAUAAUUAUAAGAUGACAUAAAUUUAUGACAAUAUAUAGAAGACUCGUUGAAAUUAAUAGUACAUUGUAAAUUAUAUGAUAUAACAUAUAGAUUUUAUAAAAUUUGAGGGUUAAAUAGAAAAAUAAAUAAAACGGUUAUAUAAUUAAAAUUGUAGGUGCAAAAUAAGAAGAAAAAAAAAGUGGGACACAAAUUCACCAAAAUGUUUGAGAUAACUCGUAACUUGUAACAUCACAGUCCCACAUCAAAAAAUCGGGGGAGUUUGUAACACCCCAGUUCCACAUCGAAAGAUAGGGGAAAAAUUUUUCUGCAUAUAAGGAAAUAAGUUACUACCAAUAGUACCUUCAAGUCAUGACCUUUUAAGAGCUUGUGGUGGGCUAAGAUGACCCAAGAAGAUACUAUUGGGCCAGUAGUUUGAGGCCUUAUUUUGAUGGAUUUGAUUCAAUUCGGACUUAGAAUUUGACCCGAGAUUUAUUCCGGACUCGGGAUUUGACCCGAGUUGUUUCAUAUGGUAUCAAAGCAGUGGCCCCUCGCAAUGUGUUAGGUUGAAAAAUCUACAUAUUUUCUGGGGAGUGAUUUUGGGAGUUAGCUGUGGGUAAGAUUAUUGACUAAAUUUAAUGAUUUUAAAAUUAAAUAGAGAAUGAGGUAAGAAAUCUAUGUUUUGUUUGACGUUUGGUACUCGAGACUAAUUGGGUAUUUUAUUUUAUUCGUUACUAGUUUUGUAUAGUGUUGUUGAGUGGGAAUUUCUUUUUGUAGGGAAAAUGCCGCCUAGAAGAAGCAACCCUACUAACACCAAUUUUGGCGCUAAUGGUCUGACUCAGCUGGCUACUACUUUAGCUCAGCUAGUGCAGAACCAACAACCUGGGCAAUGUGGCAUAGUAGCGGAAUUCAAGCGAUUGAAUCCGCCAAUCUUUGAAAGGGCUACGGACUCUUCCAUCGUUGAGAAGUGGAUUCAAGAAAUGGAGAAGGCGUUUGAUUUGCUAGGGAGUAGUGAGGCUAAUAAGGUGACGUUGGCAGUUUACCAGCUUCAGGGUGGGGCGUAUAAUUGGUGGCUUAUGGAGAAAAGAAAGCAUGAAGGGAAUCCUGAACCCUACACAUGGACCAUGUUCAAGGAGGCAUUUACUAACAAAUACUUUUCUAGAACAAUUAGGGCACAAAAGGAGAGAGAAUUUAUUAGGCUCGAACAAGGGAGCAAGACAGUUGCUCAAUAUGAAGCCGAAUUCGCGAAGCUUGCCAAGUAUGCACCGACCUUGGUGGCAGAUGAGGCGGCAAAAGCGCGAAGGUUGGAGGAUGGAUUAUGGGCCGACAUAAGACAUGGUGUGGCAUCUUUUGAGCUGCCCGCAUAUGAUGCGGUGCUCAAUAAGGCGUUAGUGAUCGAGAAGGGCUUAGCGGAAAUGGGGAAAGGGAAGAACAAUAAGAGGGACGAACUAUCCGGUGAAGAGUCCAGCCAUGGAGGACCUACAAAGAAGUUGAAUACGCAAACCACUAAGUUUAGAGGAAACCAAUGGAAUCAAGAGAACAAAUUGAAGUGUUCGAGGUGUGGUAGAAACCACCUAGAUAAGGAAUGUCGUUGGAAUACAAGAGCGUGUUUUCAUUGUGGAGAUUUCGGUCAUAGGAUUGCACAAUUCCCCAAGAACCCUCCACCGAAAAGAGAUGAAAAGACGACGAAAUAACAUUGGCAAGCCUAGGACCAAAUCGAGGAUGUGUUCAGCUUUCAGGCAACCAAAAUUAAGGUGUGAAACUCUUUUAUUAAUUGCAUUUAGUAAUUAGAUAAUGAAUUUCUUGAUUAUGUGAUAUUUGUGUUUUCUUUGGAAUUGUAAUUUGGGAAUUUGGAGGACCAAAUUCUUUUAAGGUGGGUAGAAUGUAAUACUCAGUAAAAAAACAAGAUAAAAGAUAAAUAUAAUUAGAUAAUAGAAGUGUAACUAAUAAGUAUGUAUACAUAUCUAAAACCUAUAAGGAUAAGAUAAGUUAAUUAAGUUGUAACAAACUUUUAAUUUUAAAAGGACUCUUUUACUUGGUAACCUAUUUUGUAAAAUAAUUUAAUAUAUAUAAUGAGAUUGUCGUUUACUGCAUAAAAAAAUAGUGUAGCAGGUUGCGGUAAUCGAGAGAGAGAGAAAGGAACUGUUCUGAUGUUGUUAAAGAAUUAAUUUCAUAAGAAGCUAGGUUUGUCUUCAUUAUGUAUGAAUAUAAUUAUAAUAUUAUAUAUGGAUUUUUGAUGCUUGAUUGUACAUGUACAGAGUGUAGAUCAGCCAUAUAGUUCUAAUAAUAAAGACCAUGUUGUUUUAUCUUUUAAUAAUAGAAUAUAGAAUAUGUCAUUAUGAACAAGUAUACAUGAUUCUCUGAUAUUAAAUAUAUGAUGUGUACUAUAUAAAUAUGCAUGUAUAGUAAGCACAAAUUUGUCAAAAUUAAAGAAGGAUAAGAGACUUUGUUAAGGAUCCAAUAUUAAAUAUUGUGAACCAAAUUUAUUGCUAUAUAUGAAUUAUAUAAAUUUUGGUAUUCAAAAGUUAUGUGUGUGUGUGUGUAUAUAUAUAUAUAUAUAUAUAUAUACAUAUUAUAAUUUUAGAUAUAUUAAUUAAAUACAAUUAUAUUAUAAGUAUAUAAAUAUUAAAUAUUAGUGUGUGUUAGAUAUAAAAUAAAAUUAAAAUACGUUUGAGUUAGGAUAUUGUAUCCUAAUGACUUUUAUUUGUUCUAAUGUUAUAUUUAGGAUUUGUUCGCUUCUAAUUUCGUAUUUCGCAAUAGGCAAUAUCAAGGUAAGUGGCUUUCCGAACUAUUUAGUGUUUUUAAGAUUAUCGUUACUUUUAAGUAUGCCUUAAAAAUUAUUCGGAUGCCUAAAUGUACAGUUUCAAAAUUCGUUAUGUUUUAUUUAAGGCUUCCAUUUAAAUUAAAUUGUUAUGUUCUUUUAUUUCAAAAUUCGGACCAAGUAAUUAUUUUCGAACUGUGAAUGAGAUUAUAUGAUUUUGAACUGUGAAAAAGUAUCGUUUAUAUUAUCGAUAAUAUUGAGAAAAGAUUUUGAAAUCCUCAGUUUGACUAUGUAUAGAACCCGUUAUUGAUUACGUUUAGUUCUGGAGCUAAUAUAGGAGCUACUAAGGCGCACACCUUUUAGAUGCCCUUCGGGGAGCGUGCAUUUUUUAUAGAUACCUUAGUAGGGUGCGUAUCAUAACGUUAUCGAAUUUUUGGGCCGUGUUACAGGGCUAUUGUAACCUUAGUCGCUAAGGCUGUGGAUUAAAAGAGAUAUGAUAUACAUUGAAAUCAGUUUUGAAUUGUUUUAGUUUUGAAAGCUUUUGUACUAUUGUUAUUGAACAAAAAGUUAUUUCGAAAAAGUAUUUUGUAAAUUGUACUUGAUUCGGCUAGAUAGAGAGGAUUGCUACUUGCUGGGUUUCAUCGCUCACCCUCUUACAGAUUUUUGCAGGUUCCAUCGUUGAAAGCUGAGCUUUUAUUUGAUACGCUUGGAAUAGCUGGAGUUUAGUUUUAGAUGUUUUCUUUUGUUGAUGAAUUUUGAUAAAACUCUUAGUUUCGAGGAGCUGCGUCUCCAUUAUUUGAAUGUGGUAUUUAUUAGUAUUUCAUUUGGAUUGAUUUAAAAUAUAUUUAUUGUUGGGUUUUAUGUUAAGAUUAUUGUUAAGUUAUUUUUUUUUGGGCUGCGCAUUAUUGAUAUUGUUGCCUUGCGGGCCUAUGGGCUUGCGGCAAGUAGCACUUCGGUCCUAUAUCGGGUUCGGGGUGUUACAGAGGUGGUAUCAAAGCCGACUCUCGAAAGCUCGGGUCGGGUCAUCCGAUCGGGUUGCCGGAGGUGAGGACACGAAGGUUGGUGGUAUUAUCCCACAAUGGAGAGAUGGAGGUCCGGAGGUGGGAACACGAAGCCAGCCGGUAUUAUCCCACAAUGGCUAGAGAGGCAAAGAUCUUUGGGCCGUGUGUGUGAUCAAUUCUGACGGGGACGUCAGAAAUAAUUUAAGUGGGGGAGUUUGUAACACCCCAGUCCCACAUCGAAAGAUAGGGGGGAGUUUGUAACGCCCCAGUCCCACAUCGAAAGAUAGGGAAAAAAUUUGUCUGCAUAUAAGAAAAUAAGUUACUACCAAUAGUACCUUCAAGUCAUGACCUUUUGGGAGCCUGUGGUGGGCUAAGAUAACCCAAGAAGAUACUAUUGGGCCAGUAGUUUGAGGCCUUAUUUUGAUGGAUUUGAUUCGAUUCGGACUUGGGAUUUGACCCGAGAUUUAUUCCGGACUCGGAAUUUGACCCGGGUUGUUUCAUAACUGCUUUAUGAUAAGAGAUAAAAUUAUUCUUUAAAAACUAUUUUAUUAAGAUUUUUAAUUUUAGAAUGAAAAUAUUUAUAUUAAGAUAAAAGUAUAAAAAUAUAUACAUAUAAACUCAUUAAUUAAGGAGUAUUGUUUUUCUUACAAAAAACAAUAUACAAAAUAAUGUGUUAAAAUAUAAUUAGUACAUCAUUCACUAUAUAUGGGUGAAUUCAAUAAUUAUAAUCAACUAUAAUUAUACAAAUCAUUUCGUGUAUAUUUUUUGUAAUUGUUAACGCCAAGUUUCGUCGGCGCGUCCAAUCACAAAAUCCACGCGCUUGAACCUGCACAAUAACAGAUCACACACGAAGCUGGACGGCUUGUGGCAUCGGGGGAUAGCUCCGGUGUGAGAAUGAGUACAGGCCGUUCAUAAGGUUUAACAAUGAAGGCUUUAGUGUUUAGUGCUAAAAGAUGUAUUACCUGUUAAUUGUAGUCAAACCUUGUAUUUAUAGUCAUUCCCACUUCCCUAGAAUCCCUCUCCGAGUCGGAUUAGGACUCCUAAAUAUGGUAGUUACCUAUAUUUGAAUCUAACACAAUCUCCUUAAAAGGUGUAAGUAGAAUCCAAUUCAAAUACUACAUUUGGAGUUACCUUAUUCACAUAUGGUUAGGACUAGAGUCCUUAACCACGUAAACCCCUUAUAACUCCAGACUCUGCAUAUGGGCUACCCAACUGCGCAGGCCCAACCCCACCAAGCUUAUACACGUUGGUCUGGGCUUCGGCCUAAGGAGCUCGAAGGCCCGACCCCGAACACCAAUACUGAAACAGAACUUCGGCCCGGAGGGCUCGGAUAUCCGAACCCGAACACCUUCAACGUCUUGUAGGGAUUUGGCCCAACGGACCCAAUCUCCUCAGUUCCAGCCCACAUGAUGAUCGGUGAAAUACUCCCGAACAUUGCCCCCCCAGUCUCUUGUUAUAACAUGUUUAUAAUCAGAGACUUGAAAUGACACGAAUUUGAAGAGUCACGACAGGAAAUGAUGAGUUGUCUCGUGAACCCAAACGGUUCCUUUUCAAUUUUUGAACUGGUACACGUCUUCCCAAGACCGGGCCCCACUCGCCAUAAAUAGCCGCCCUGGAGAUCCGUGUUCGUCACGCUAUAUAAACCCCUAUCCAUCCUUCACUAUCACUUUUUUAAGCCUUUCCUCAUUUCAAAUUCCUCACUCAAUCUUUUUUGGCAAGGGCGAUUUCCGACGAGCACCUCAUUCUUGCGAUUCCGGUUCUUUUGCUUGUUAGAGCUCUCCAAAUCUCAUCUCUGUUCUCCUUCCUUCUCUAAUGGCUGAUUCUAGCAUUCCUCCUCCCGAGACGAUUACCCUAACUGGUACCGCUACCCUCGCCUUUGGUGAUCUGAUUCUAGUCGAAUUAUCGGCAUCCCUACUGAAAAUGCCGAAUUCAAGAUCUAACGCCUCUAUAUGUCAGAAACUGAUUUUGUUGUAGUCAACACCAAAUCGUCCAUCACUCCAUCCCAACUGUCUGACAUCCGGUCCGUGUUCAAUAUCCCCAAAGAGUACAAACUACGGGUUCCGAAACCGAAGGAAAGAAUGUUCUGGCGUCCCGAAGGCGACUGGAUGGCUGUUCCCCUCUACGCUUUGAGGUACGGGGUUCGGUUCCCCCUUCACAAAUUUAUCUCCUCUUUUCUCUAUUUUGUUGGGAUCAGGUUCGCGCAGCUAGUGCCAAACUCUUAUAUCCAGCUCAUCAGCUUCAUCGCCCUAUGCCAGGAGGCUGGUAUCACUUCGGGCUUGGAUUUCUUUUUCGUCCUAUUUUCUGUUGGCCGAUCGAAGGAGCCAGGCCUUCGACAUCUGAACCGGGUAUCUGGCCGAGCCACUUUCAUGAAAAACCCUUCUAGCAACAAGGGUUGGCAUCCACAGUGGUUCUUCAUGAAGGGAACUGACCUAAAACUCCUACCGAAGAUCCUAUUGUAAAGGUCACCAAAUUUCUGAAGGACCGUGCCGACGCCUUUAAGAAGUUUUAAAAGCUUUUGCAGAAAACUAGUUGGGGUCGGGAGGUCAUGUCUAAGGAAACCUGGCUCUACAAACACGGCCGUAAGUUACAAACCUCGAACUUUCUUGUAUCUUACUUUGAUCUUCUACUGAAUUUGUAUUGACUGUCUUGUCUACUUUUGCAGUGACCAUCUUCAAGCCCGAGGGGGCUGAUGCCUCCUUAACGCCUCUGCCGGUUGCUACCGAGCCCAUUCGUCCCCCAGUGGUAGAUGAUUCCCCCAAGGAUGAGGUCAUUCCAUUCACCGAACUCUCCAUCGGUUCUUAAUCGGGUCCCAUUCUGCCAACCUCUGGAGCUGAAGCUUCCACCAAGAAUGUUCUGAAGAUGGGUUGGGCUGAGAAGAUGGCCUUGUUAAAGGGGAAGAAAAAGAAGAUUUCCUUCAAAUCCACUCCCCCGAAGGUGUCGGCCUCAGCCCUUCCAAAACCUACUCCACCUCCACAACAAAACAGUUGUCGGUGCGGAUUCGGAGGAAACAGAAGAGGUUCUUUUGGAACCCCGACCCAAGAAGCCUCGACUGACCGAGGAUUCAGACCAGCAGAUCAUGGAGGUCGAACCUCUUCCUGCCUCGACCCCUACCUCAAAACUGACCACCGAGUCGAGUUCUUCUCCUGGGACGCCGAAGACUUUUUGGCCGAGGAGCCCUUCGGAGGUCUUUCCCUUUACUCAGCUCGAACAUUUUAAACUGUCUGGAGAUGACGAGCGGUUUAAGGGGUAUUCUUCUGACGAGUUUUUGGUAUCCUAUAUCAAGGCCCAAUGUCAGGUAAAAUUCGAUUCACUAAAUUGUUUCCUUUGCUGAUCACCCCUUCCUUCUAACUGACAUACUUGUGUACCCGAUUGCAGGCUAAUGCUAUCUUGGCUAGAGCCGUUCAUCCUCUAACCCGGGCCACUAAGAAGGAGGUUCAGCUGAGGAACAACGUGGCUCUGCUCGAAGCCGAUGUUCGAGGUUUGAACUCGGAUCUGCUGGAAGAGAGGGAUCUCCACGUCGCGACUCGCAAUAAAGCGACCAAGGCCGAACAUGAGACCGCUGAUCUUAAAGAGCAAUACACCCUUUUGCAGCAGGAGUUCGUUAGUCUUGAGGUUCAUUCCAAGAAGAUAAUCCAGGAGAAGAAUAUCUUAUCCGAAGAAGUCAAGAGUCGGGAGAAGGCCAUCGAUGCUAUCACUGAGAAGUUCUCUUGCUUUGACCGAGAAGAUCAUGGCUCAGUUUGCUGACGGCUAUGAAGCUUAUCGGGAAAAGGCUCGGGCUAAGAUGGAAGCUGCUGGACUUGAUGCCUCCGUCCUUGAUUCUUCUGAUGAAGAAUUCAAAGCUGGAGAUGCGAGUCCUAAGGAAUAGUUUCACUUAGGUUUCAUACUUGUGUUUUUUGUAAUUAUUUUUCUUUUCUUAGUUUGUAAUCUGCCCGAUCAGUUAUGCUUGUGAUAUCUUACCGAUCAGUACGUUGUUUUUAACUUUUUGAUUGGUUUAUGUUCGAAGCUUGUCUGAUCGGAGUUGUAAACCUUUUGGAUAUGAAUGAAAGAUAAGCAAUCUUAUUUUUUGAUGAGUUAUACUUAUGACUUUUACCGAUCUUUUGAUCAGUUUAUGCCUGAAGUUUGUUUAAUCGGAUUUUGUAAUUUUCCCCGUCAGUUAUACUUGUGACUUUUACCGAUCAGUUGGGUCAUUUCUGACUUUCUGGUCGGUUUAUGCCCGAAGCUUGUCUGAUCGGAGUUGCAAAGCUUUACAAAUUUAAAUGAAGUAUAAAAUUUUCCCGAAGAGGAAUUCUGAUUUAUUUCAUUGAUAAAAUGUAAAGAUUACAUACGUAAGGGAAAUAAUAGUAUAACUUUUAUUGGUAAUAUCUUCUAAGUCGCCCAGCAUGCCAUGUAUUCUUUACCUCCGAGCCAUCCAUCCCUCGAAGCCGAUAAGUUUCGGGCUUUAGCACCUCUACUACUUCGUAAGGUCCCUCCCAAUUGGGCAUUAGUUUGCCACUGUUUUGGGGGGUCGAUGCCUUUGACUCCCGAAGCACCAAAUCUCUAGCCUCAAACCUUCUUUGUUUGACUUUUUGGUUGUAGUGCCAGGCAGUGCGCUUCUGAUAGAUUGUUAGGAGUACCAGAGCUGAUUCUCGGACUUCCUCCAAAAGAUCCAAGUUGAGGCGCAAGCCAUCUUCGUUGUACAGGUCUUUAUACUGACUGACCCGAAGAGUAGGGGAUCCUAUCUCCAUAGGUAUGAGGGCAUCGGUCCCGAAGGCCAAUCUGAACGGGGAAUCUCCCGUCGUUGUUCUCGGUGUAGUCCGAUAGGCCCAUAAAAUGUUAAGUAACUCCUCUGGCCAGUGACCUUUCAAUUCAUCCAACCUUCUUUUGAUCCCGUUAAGUAAGGUUCGAUUGGUGACUUCUACCUACCCAUUUGACUGAGGGUGUGCUACCGAGGUCUUUCUGUGUUGAAUUCCCAAUUCCUUCAGAAAGGUUUCAAACUUCGAUCCCACAAACUGUCUGCCGUUGUCUGAGACCAAUGCCAUCGGGAUACCGAACCGAAGUACAACCCCUUCCUUAAAAUUUCAGACACUCAUGUUCAGUGAUUUUUUGUAGAGGUUUGGCUUCGACCCAUUUGGUCAUGUAAUCGAUGGCUACGAUCACAAAACUCACUUGUCCCUUGGCCUUCGGUAGAGGCCCCAGGAUGUCGAUUCCCCGUAUGGCAAAAGGAAUGGGGGAUAAGACCGAAUACAGCUCUUCGGGAGGUUGAUGCGGAAUGACACUGUUCAGUUGACACUUGGGACAUUUUUUGACAAAGUCCUUUGCUUCCUAAUAGAUGGUUGGCCAGUAAUAUCCCUACCUCAGGAUCUUAUGUGCUAGUGACUUCGCUCCCAUGUGAUCCCCACAAAUACCUUCGUGCACUUUCCCGAAGUGUAUAAUUUGCUUCUGACGGUGCCAAGCACUUGAGCAAUGGAGAACUAAAAGCUCUUCGAUAUAGAUCUCUGUCAAUAAGAAUGAAGUUUGAACUCCGAUGCUUGAUCUUUCUUGCUAAGAGGCGAUCCGAAGGUAAAACUCCAUCGGCCAAGUAGGAGAUGUAUGGUGUAAGCCAGCAGUCGAGUCAAUCCAUAAAUAGUACUUCCACCUUCGGAACACUUGGUUAUUCCAACACCUCUAGAUAUACCGAACCACUGAACGAACUAGCUUCGGUAGUUGCUAAUCAAGCUAAAGCGUCUGCUAUUGUAUUAUCGGACCGAUCAACUCCCUGACACUUGAGCAAAGUGAAGUAUACUAGUUUAUCCUUUACCUCGGCUAAAUAUCUCAUCAUUCUUGCACCCCGAGCCUCAUACUCCCCUGAUAUCUAUUUGAUGACCAACUGGGAAUCACUAUAGAUGACUAAUUUCUGUACCUCCAGGCUUCGGGCCAACAGCAGUCCGGCUAGAAUGGGCUCGUACUCUGCUUCGUUGUUGGUGGCUUUGAACUGGAACCGGAUGGCUUGUUGGACUUUGAACCCAUCGGGACUCGUCAGUAUGACCCUUACACCGCUGACAUCCGAAGUUGAUGAGCCAUCGCCAUAGAGUUUCCAUGAAGUCCGCCCGUGCUCUGUUUCAGUGACCGAUCCUACAUCCGGUUCUGUGAACGAACAUUCCACAACAAAAUCUACCAAUGCCUGUCCUUUGAUUGUUGUUCGGGGUAAAUAUUCCAGUGCAAACUGCGUCAAUUCCAUUGCCCACGCAGCAAGCCGUCCUGACACCUCUGGCCUGUACAGUACUUUCUUUAACGGUUGAUCCGUGUAUACCACCACCAACCAACCCUGGAAAUAAUACCGAAGUUUUCUACUUGCAAUGAUCAAAGCGUAGGCAAAUUUUUCCAGUAUCGGGUUUCUGCGUCUCGAAGUACGUGGCUGACAUAGUAUACCGGGAAUUGAUGUCCCCCUUUAUUGCGAACUAAGGCUGCUCCCACUGCCAUCGAGCUUGCAGCCAAGUAUAAAUACAGAGGUUCCAAAGGGAUCGGCUUCAUCAACAAUGGUGCUGAGGAUAAAUAUUUUUUGAUCCCUUGGAACGUAUCUUCGCAUUCCGAAGUCCACUAAAAACUUUUAUGGCUUUUAGGCCCUUUCAAGGUGUCAAAGAAUGGUAAGCAUCUCUCUGCUGAUUUUGAGACAAACCUUCGAAGGGCUGCGAUCCGACCUAUCAAUCUCUGAUCAUCCUUAUACGACUUUGGGGAUUUCAUAUCCAAGACUGCCGAAUCUUCUCUGGAUUUGCUUCGAUUCCCCUCUUGCUGACCAAAUAUCCUAAGAACUUUCCCGAUCCCAAUCCGAACAUGCACUUGGUCGGGUUCAACCUCAACUUACGUCUUCUAACUGUUUCGAAGAAGUUUUCCAGAUCCUCAAGAUGAUCACGGACUGACAUGCUUUUGACUAUCAUGUCAUCCACGUAGACUUUCAUGCUUCUCCCUAACUGCUUCGUGAACACGAAGUUCAUCAUUCGCUGAUACGUCGCCCCGACAUUCAAUAGCCUUAAGGUCAUCUUCCGAUACACAUAAAUUGCCCGAUGCGUGAUAAAACUGGUCUUCGGUAUAUCUUCCUUACUCAUUAAAAUCUGAUGGUACCCUGAGAAGGCGUCCAUGAAGCUCAGCAUGCCAUAUCCUGAAGUGGCGUCAAUCAACUGAUCUAUGUUAGGCAAAGGAUAUAAGUCUUUCGGACACGCCCUGUUCAAGUCCGUAUAGUCGAUGCAUAACCUCCACUUCCCGUUCUGCUUCUGGACCAAGACUGCAUUAGCCAACCACUCCGGGUAGUCGAUUUCGAAGAUGAAUUCUACCUCUAGGAGUUUGGAAAUCUCCUCAUCGAUGAUCUUCUGUCUCUCUGGGGAAAAAACUCUUCGUUUCUGUAUAAAUGGUUUUUUGUUUGGGUCCACAUGUAAUAUGUACAGGGCCACCGACUCGCUUACCCCUGGCAUAUCACUAGGCUCUCAUGCAAAGAUGUCGGCAUAUACUCGGAGCAAAUGUAUCAGUCCUGUCCAAAAUGGUUCUGCCAACCCCGACCCGAUCUUGAUCAUUUUCUCAGUAUUUCCCAGUACCAAUUCUACAUCUUCUGUUUCCUCGGCAGGCAGAGCAAGCAGUUCUGUACUACUCUCAGUGAAUGGCUCUAUUUCAAUAGCCAUUGUCUGUUUAUGCUUACUGACCCCGACCCCAGAAGAAAUUAAACUGUUCUGAUAGCACCUUCGGUCAAUGCCUAAAUCACCUUUUACCUCCCCGAUCCCGUUCGGUCAUGGAAAUUUGAUUUUGAAAUGGGGUAUGGAAGUCACUGCUUGCAGGGCUGCCAGGGUCGGUCGUCCGAGAAUCAUGUUGUAUGUCGAAUCCACCUAGACCACGAAAAUUCUGACCAUUAUCUCAACUUGAUUGGGUGUUGUGCCAAACUUGACUGGAAACUCAAUGGUACCAAACACAUAUACCGGGUCUCCACUGAACCCGUACAAAGGUCCUUCUCCACCCAGUUCCAUCUUCUUCCCCUCUAGGUCCAUCCUCUGAUAGGCAUGAGUGUACAAUAUGUCGACUGAGGAUCUGUUGUCUAUCAUCAUCCGUUUCUUGUCUACAGUUUCGACCUGAGCGGUUAUCACCAAUGCCCCGUCAUGUGGUUAUAUGAGAUCCGUAGGAUAGUCCUCGUCAGAGAAAGAGAUAGAUGUUCCCGGAUAGGCUCAAUCCUUUCUUGUUAUAGACCCCGUAACCGACAAUAUUGCAUCGAGAUGCCCGCUUCUCUUCCUUCCGGUUACACGUCCCACAGAACCACCUGAGAUCACAUCAAUUAUGCCUCUGGCCAGCGGGUUCUGUGGAGGCUGAAUAACCAGAUCUGGUGCUCUGCUUUCCUCUCUGGGUACUACCACAUUAUCCCGACUGGCUACGUAUUGAACCAGCUGAUCAUUUUGAACAUUCUUCUCUAUCAUGUCCAUCAAGUCAUUGCAUGUCUCUGUGGUAUGUCCGAAACUAUGGUGGUAAUCACAGAAUUUGUCUCGACCCCUCUUCCCGGGUUUUGUUCGUUUUGAGCAAGGUUCAUAGAAGGACUUAUUUCUUAUCUCUUCCAAUAUCUUCGCCCGAUCCAUAGUGAGAGGGGUGUAUACUUUACUGACAUUUCGGCUCGGAAGGGGAGGUCAGUUACUUCCAGAUCCUCCGCCAUUGUAAUUUUUCUUUCCAGGAUUGUCUGCCCUCCACUGGUUAUUGUCCUAAAGCUGAUAACUUUGUUUGUCCCGAUCCUUAGACUUCUCGUAAGACUGGUAGUGUGGCUUAAAAUUACCCAUGGCCUCUUCUAUCGCAAUAAAUCCUUCGGCUCGAUGGAAGGCUUCGGUCAGAUCUACAGGAGGGUUGAUCACCAAGUCUUUCAUCAACUUCUUCGACCUUUCGAUGUCUAGACCCGUUGUGAAAAAUCCCAAGGCUUGCGGGGAAUAUAAUUCCGCCACCGAACCCACAGCCUCCUGAAACCUCUUAACGUACUGUCUAAGGCUUUCAUCUGAACGUUGUCUUACUUGCAUGAGGGAUGCAAUUAUUUUUAAUCGUCUCCUGUUACUCCCAAACCGAGCAUGAAACUUUUCCUGAAGGUCAUUCCACAAACUGAUCGAUCCGACUGCCAAAGUUCCCAUCCAUUCUCGGGCGCUCUUUUUCAACGUUGUCACGAACAUAUGGCAUUUGGCAGCAUCUGAAUGCCAUAGUAAGACAUCAGACGGUCAUAUCCAUCCGAAUGAUCGUAAGGAUCCCCUAGCCUGUCAUACGUAUCCAUUGGGGGCAUUUUCUUCUUUGGAUCGAUUGUGACUUGAUUAAUUUCAGGUGAGAAGGGUGAUCCUGGACAACUCGAAGAGGUUCCUAUCGAGCUCUUAGCCGCUAACAACUUUUCCAAUUCUGCGACCCUUCUAGCAAGGGGAUCGGCCUCCUCUUUAAGGGGAGACGACCUAUGUCUGUCCCUCUCGUAUUCGGGCGACACGAUCCUCCUCUUUUGCCCCGAUCUUCCUUGGUGCCUAUAUUUUAUGUCGUCCGAUCGACUCCUUCUUUGGCUUCUACCUUCUCGGGAGCGACUCCUGGGUCAGCUCCUUUCCUUUCUAGCCUCGUCCUGUCGAGGUGAUCGGGAUCGGCUACGAUGUCUAUGCCUCUUCAAGGAGGCUUCCUGUUCUCCGACCAUUUUGGCCAUCUGCGCUUCGAGUUCCUCUUGUUAUAGCCGUAGUGCCAUCAUGGCAUCUUUAUUCUGCUCGAUCUUCUUCUGAAGAAUAAAUUCUCGCUGGUCUCGGCUGCCCUCUGCCCGAUCCGUUCCUUUCCUUUCGUCAGCCCGGGAAAGGUUUUUACCGGCAUGGCUGACUGGGAUGAGCGUGUGCUGACUAGCCAAAAACAACUAUUGUCGAAGAGAUGGGAUGGGUUCAGGUUGGCCUCCCUAUGUCCUUGAACCCAGCCUAUCUUUUACCGACCCCCUCACCUGAGUUGUCUGAUGAGAUUUCGUUUUUUCCUGGACAGAAGCAUUAUUACCUUCACUCGCCAUAGCUUCCUACCGGAAAAGAUCACAAUGAUUGCAAAAAAGCACUAAAAGCCCUCCUUCUAGCGCUAAUGUUAACACCAAGUUUCGCCGGCGUGUCCAAUCACAAAAUCCACGCGCUUGAACCUGCACAAUAACAGAUCACACACGAAGCUUGACGACUUGUGCCACUGGGGGAUAGCUCCGGUGUGAGAAUGAGUACAGGCCGUUCACAAGGUUUAACAAUGGAGGCUUUAGUGUUUAGUGCUCAAAGAUGUAUUACCUGUUAAUUGUAGUACAGCCUUGUAUUUAUAGCCAUUCCCACUUCCCUAGAAUCCCUCUUCGAGUCGGAAUAGGACUCAUAAAUAUGGUAGUUAUCUAUAUUUGGGUCCAACACAAUCUGCUUAAAAGGUGUAAGUAGAAUCUAAUUCAAAUACUACCUUUGGACUUACCUUAUUCACAUAUGGUCAGGACUAGAGUCCUCCUUAACCACGUAAACCCCUUUUAACUCCAGACUCUGCAUAUGGGCUACCCAACUGCGUAGGCCCAACCCCACCAAGCUUAUACACGUUGGUCUGGGCUUCGGCCCAAGGAGCAUGAAGGCCCGACCGCGAACACCAAUACCGAAACAGAACUCCGGCCUGGAGGGCUCGGAUAUCCAAACCCGAACACCUUCAACGUCUUGUAGGGAUUUGGCUCAACGGGCCCAAUCUCCUCGGUUCCAGCCCAUAUGAUGAUCGGUGAAAUACUCCCGAACAGUAAUAAUUCUUUAGUCAUCAAAAAAUAUUGUUGUUAAUUAAGUAUUAAUGCAUAUGUUUUAAGAGUAAUUUUAUAAACACAAAUUAUGCAUCAAAUGUGUAUACAAACAGAAAGAAAAUUAAUAUAUGAAUCUUACCGGUUAAAUAAUUGAUAAUGUUCAUUAAUAUAUUAUAUUAUUUUUUUUAAAUUAUUUUUAAUACAUUAAAUAGUAAUAGGAUUUGUGCAAAGUUUGUGCAGAUAAAAUUAAUUUGUUUUAAUUAGCCUUCAUGACAAUUAAAAUCGCCGGAACUGAAAUAUUCAAGGCCGAAAAAACUAGAAAUUAAAGCGAUUUGCAGAUAUCAUCGUUAGGUCAUUCAUACCUGCAAAUCCAUGGCGUCACAUCACGCUUCCUUAGGUCGACGAAUAGAUGAUCUUCACUGUAACACCCCGGUCCCACAUCGAAAGAUAGGAGAAAAAUUUGUGUGUAUAUAAGGAAAUAAGUUACUACCAAUAGUACCUUCAAGUCAUGACCGUUUGGGAGUCUGUGGUGGGUUAAAAUGGCCAAAGAAGAUACUAUUGGGCCAGUAGUUUUAGGCCUUAUUUUGAUGGAUUUGAUUCGAUUCGGACUUGGAAUUUGACCCGAGAUUUGUUCCGGACUCAGAAUUUGACCCGGGUUGUUUCAUAUGGUAUCAGAGCCGACUCUCGAAAGCUCGGGUCGGGUUGCCGGGUAUUACAUCACCUACCCCUUAAAAGGAUUCCGUCCUCGGAAUCAAAAGAAUGGAAAGUACCUAAUUAUCAAAAAGAUGUGGAUACUUCGCUCGAAUAGACUCUUCCAUCUCUCAUGUAGCUUCCCGCUCUGAAUGAUUCUUCCAUAAAACCUUAACAAACGGAAUAGUCUUCCUCCUCAUAAUCAUUUCUUGANNNNNNNNNNNNNNNNNNNNNNNNNNNNNNNNNNNNNNNNNNNNNNNNNNNNNNNNNNNNNNNNNNNNNNNNNNNNNNNNNNNNNNNNNNNNNNNNNNNNUUCCAAUUUUGAAAUAAUCGUUAAAAUUAACUAACGGAGUAAAUGGAAAAUUCUGGCGUGGAUAAAGAUAUGCAUAUGGGAGCAUGAUACAUCAGUUUUGGAGGGAAUUAUACUUCUCAUGUGACCAAGUGAGGAAGAAAUAAGGGUUAGGGAGAAAGAUCCAACGGGAGAGACAAAAUACAGAGAGAGAAUCGCUUCAAAGUCGACGCGAAGAGAUUCAAGCCUUACAGUGGAUUCAGCCAGAUUUAUCUCCAAAUUUGUUCGACAACAAAAAGUAAGCACCCAAACCCUUAUUUUUUCUUCUGUGUUUUUUUUCUUCUGUGUUUCCCAUUUUGAGUAAGCACCCAAACCCUUAUUUUGAGUGUUAAAGAUUUCUUCUAUGCACUCAAUUUUGAACCUAAUCUUUGUUUAUGCUUACUUUAUGUGGUUAAUGCCCACCUUGUUGGAUGUUUGUGGUCGUUUCCCCCAAAAUUUAUGCUCUUGUGUUGAAUUAAUGAUAUGUGUUGAAUCUACAAACAAGAACACCUCUUGUGCUCUUGUGCAUAAUGUGACGCCCCCAAAAUAUGUAUACAUCACCCAUCUUGAGUCGCCAAAUACAUGGUACAUAAAUCAAAUACAAACUAAAUUAUACAACUGUCGGGUAAUAUACGAUAAAACAUAGCUGAGAGUUUAAAUAAGAAUAUUGCCUUCUAGACAAUAUCUACACUCAAUGGAGUCCUCAUUACAUUUAUUGUCACACUAUUUAACAGAAUAGUGAUGACUACUAAUGCUAUCAUCUGGACCGUCACUCCAUUCCCCGACUAGUCCCAACUGUAUUCUCAUUUCCUGAAGAGAACAAUAAAAGUAAAGGGUGAGCUCAACUAGCCUAGUAAGAAAUAUUAUGACUAAGAUAAUGCAGAAUAAAUUAUCCUUAGCCUUCAACAAUAUAACAACUGAUAGAAUACAAUAGACAACAAGUUUUAGAUCAAUAACUGCAGCGAAAUAAGCAAUCCAUUAGAAGAGUCAAGUAGAGCAUAAAAUCUACUAUCUUCUAUGAUUUAAAAAGUUUUUCAUCAACUUUAUCGCUGAGACUCAGCUUAAUAAAUAAUCCACAUCAUCGAAUCACCCCUGCACUACUGCCAAGGAUAUUCUUUAGUAUCAUGACCACAAAUUAUCCAUGCACUACGGGCCAAGGAUAUUCGUGUAUUCAUCAAUGGUCAUGAUCAUGCCAACAACUGUCCAUGAAUGUAUUACGGGCCAAUGAGGACCUUUCCCACAUCAUUUGUAACAUUAUGGUCAUGAUUAUACCGAAUAAUCCCUGGACAUAAUCAUACCAAGUCCAUCUAUGCACUACAGGCCACAGGUGACUUUCAACAUAAUAUAAACAUGAGGAUGAUGACAAGUUCAAGGAUAAAUUUUUAAAGAUUUAUAAUUUAAUUUAUCCAGAAAUCAAUGUCCAAAUUGUCAACAUGAUACUACUUUGUGGAGUAAAAUUCAAGAAUAAUAUUGUAUCAAAAAUGAUUUGGACUGAAAAGAAAUCAAUUUUUGUCAUGAAUAGUACUCCGGGUGAAUAGUACACCGUGAAUAGUACUUCAGGAAUAGUACCCAGUGAAUAGUACUUUGUGAAUAGUACUCAUGAAUAGUACUUCGUGAAUAGUACUUUAUGAAUAGUACCCCGUGAAUAGUACUUUGUGAAUAGUGCCGUAAAAAUGAAUACUUCUCAUGGACAGUACUCCGGCAUGAAAAACUUAAAAUUUAAGAAGAAUAUGUAGAAAAUAUCCUUGUGAAGCGAUACUAGAUGAAGUGCAAAUUUCAAGGAUAUUCUACUAAUUUUAUGGAAUAUAGAAGCAAUACUUUAACAGAAUAAGGGUAUAAUCAGGAAUACGAGACGAAAUAAUAUUACUCACAUACUACAGAGUAUGGAAAAAAAUAUUGAAUACUGGAAAAAAUAAUAUCCCUUACAACUGUUGAACGAAAAUAAUAUUCCAAUGAAUAUUUAACGAAGAUAAUAUUCCAACGAAUAUUUAACGAAUAUAAUAUUCCUACGAAUAUUGAACGAAGAUAAUAUUCCUACGAAUAUUGAACGAAGAUAAUAUUCAUACGAAUACGAAAAAUAAUAUCUCUUCAAAAUAUGAAAUAAAUAAUACCCCUUACGGCUAUUGAACGAAUAUAAUAUUCCUACGAAUAUUGAACGAAGAUGAUAUUCCUUACGAAUAUUGAACGAAUAUAAUAUUCAUACGAAUACAAAAAAUAACAUCUCUUCAGAAUAUGAAAGAAAUAAUAUCCUUUACCUCAGAAGAAGACUGGAUAUUUGAAUAGUGAAGUAGCAGACUUCGCUUCUUCUUUCUCUCUAAAGCUUCUCUCUCUAUAAUUGCUCUUGUGAGACUUGGUGAAUUGGUGAGAAUGAAGGAAGAAUGAGCUUCUAUUUAUAGGAAAAUAUAGUUUCGAUAAUUGUACGUUUUGGGGCUCGAAAUAUUACAGUAUAAUACCUUCCUCUUUUUCUUCAUUUUUAAUUUAGUCCUGCAAGUAUUAUCAAACUUGCACCACCUCCCCUAAUAGUAAAUAAUGUGAAUUAAUAGUUCAUUCAUGUGACUCAAUAGUAUAAUCAUGUGAAAAAACUAAUUACAGUAUAGUACCUUCAUCUAUACCUCCAUUUUUAAUUUAGUCAUGCAAGUAUUAUCAAUCUUGCACCAACUCCCCUAAUAGUAAAUCAUGUGAAUCAAUAGUCAAUCAUGUGAAUCAAUAGUUCUAAACAUGUGAAAAUACGAAUUACAGUAUAGUACCUCCAUCUAUACCUCCAUUUUUAACUUAGUCAUGCAAGUAUUAUCAAUCUUGCACCAACUCCCCUAAUAGUACAAGAAUGUGAAUCAAUAGUACACACAUGUGAACAAAUAGUUAUAAUCAUGUGAAUUAAUAGCAAUUAAUUGCUCAUUUAUCCGGUUAAUUACCCGAUUGGUCAAUAUAACCUCCAGACAUCAAUUAUUAUCGAAAUAAAUGUCGAUUUCCACUAACACUAAUAAUUCCAACACAAUGGAACUAUCAAUUUCAUCUUUAAUCAACACGAACUUAUUCAUCAUUAAUAUUAUAACUCACAAUAUUUAACAACCAGGUCGUUCCCAGGAAAGAGGGGGCUUUCCGAUAAGGAUUUCUCCUUAUUGGCGCGCAAUUAGGUGACCAAACCUCUCCUUGACAGAACUUCUAGACAUUGUCAAUAUUGCAAAUAAUAAUAUGAAUAACUUUGUCGUCUCAAUUAUUGAUUUAAUAAUAUAAAAUAUUGAUACUCUGACAAUAAUUGAAUCAAUAAUAUGAGAGAUAUGAUGCAGCAAUUACUGUAGCAAUAAUUGAGUAUAACUGAAUGACUUCUUAUGUAAGCAUCAAUAAUCAAUACCGUGUGCUACUAUGCAACCACGCGUAUUACUGUACUUUUACUACCGGGUAGUUCAACAGUUUUAACGGUAACACUUUCGUCGUUAUUUUUAUAAAAAGAUAAUUCUGUCGUUUCUAACUACGACAAUACUUCCAUUGUGGGGUCCACCAAUGAUUGUUUCGUCGUAUGGAUAUUCCGGACAAAAAGAAUAUUCCCCAACCAAACGAAUAUUUUAUAACAACUUGCUUAAUUUGCAAAAAUUUUCACAUAUCACCCUUAACUUUAACCUUUUAUCAAUUUAACCAUUUACGAAAUAAAAUAAUAAUUAUAAAAAAAUUGAAUACUUUCAUUUUAUAAAAUUCUGGGUCUUACAAUCUCCCCUCCUUAUAAAAUUUCACCCUCGAAAUUUACGUACGUACCUGGUAUGCCAAAAAGGUGAGGAUACCUCGACAAAUUCUAACUCUUGAGAUAUAACCUUUGAGUGUCGAAUAUGAUCCUUUUUAUCCAAGAUUUUAACACGUAUCUCAUCAUACGUUAAAUCUUCUGCUAUCUCGUCUAGUUCUAAUUCAAUAAUGUGGUUUGGGUCGUCCACAUAUUUACGUAAUAUCGAUACGAAAAAAAACGUUAUGAACAUGAGACAUUCUUAGCGGUAAGGCGAGUCUAUAGGCCACAGUUCCUACUCGAUCGAAUAUUUCAAAUGGGCCAACUAAAUCGAGGGUUGAGAUCGACUCUUGCUUCUAGAAUAACGCCCUCUUUAACCUUUUUCCUUGUAUUCAUCAGCUCCGGGUGUGUAGCUUGAGCGGCUUUAUCUUUAUCAAUUUAAAGUCGGUUCAAAUCGUAUAUUCGCUAUCUUCACGUGGGUCCCUAGAGUCUUUAACUCUAUAUUCAUCAUUUGUAAGUUAUAUGAAAUAGGUUUUUGUGUUAACAACAUCGCACUCGUAAACGCAUACGAUCUUCUACUCAACACGUCAGCUACCAUGUUAGCUCUUCCACGAUGAUAUUGAAUGGUAUAGUCGUAAUCUUCAAUAGCUCGAGCCAACGUCCUUGGCGCAUGUUAUGUUCAUUCUAGGUGAAGAAAUAUUUGAGGGAUUGAGAAAUGUGUUUUGUACUGGGGUCAAUACAAAAUUCGAUUUCACGCUAUAGGGGUAGGCUAGGAAGUCUUCAGGAAUACGUCAGGAAAUUUAUUAACAAUAAAAAUAUCAUUCAAAACUGUGACUCUAAUCCAAGACUUGGAUAGCACAUGUAAUGAAGGUUUCUCCUAACAGAGUUUCAACCGAUAAGUCAAAGUCUAAUUUCUCCGGAGUCAAAUUUAAACGUUGAGCGCAAGCAAGAGAGAUAAAAAAUGGGUAGAACCGGUAUCUAAUAAGGUAUAGACUUCGCAAGAAUUAAUAAUUAACUAACCCAUGCUAACUUCGUUCGGGUUACUCGCUUUUUGAGAAGUCAUGAAAAACGCUCUCCCUGAAACCACCGACUUUGUUUUGUCCGUAUCCGCCUUUGGUGCCACCGUCCCAGCUGGACUUGACUUUGGUGCACAAAAAAAUUGGGCUAGGUGACCUUAUUUUCCACAAUUGUAACAUGCUUUGGACUGCAUCGUGCAGCUUGGACUGAUAUGUCCCUCCCCUCCACAUUUGAAGCAUACAAUUGGUGGUCAUUCUCCUUCCUUGAAAACGGGUGUUGGUGCUGCUAUCUUUCCAUCGUUGUUGAACCUUCUCUUCUUGAAAUUUCCACUCCUAUUAUCUUGGCCAUGAUUACCACCGAAGUGGUUACCAUUCUUGGCAUGAUAAUUUCCCCCACGAUGGUUAUCAUUGUUCCGAUGGCCGUUGCCACCGGUAUGAUUAUUAUCGUGUUGUUGGUCGUUGCCUUUUGGUUGUGCUGACUCAUUAUCGCGCUCCAAUAACUGAGCCCUAUUCACAACAUCUGAAUAUAAACAAAGUUUGUGAGAAAUGAGGUAUUGACGUAUAUCGGGUUUCAAACCUCUUAGAAACAUUCUCGUCAUUCGCUCCUCAUUAUUGGCCAAAUGGGAUGCAAACCGGGAUAACUCCGCAAAUUUAACCUCGUAUUGUGACACGGUCAUAUUGUUUUGCUCCAACUUGAUAAACUCCACCUCCUUCAUGUGACGAAUACUUUCGGGAAAGUACUUGUCGUUGAACAUCUCUUGGAACUUCUCCCAAGACAUCUUGAGUGCGUCAGGCUAGGUACGUUUUACAGAUUCCCACCAGUAAUCUGCCUCUUCACGCAACAUAAAGGUGGCGAAGGGAACCUUUUGCUCCUCGGAGCAUCCCAAGACAUCAAAUAUCUUGGUGAUCUGCUUUAACCACGUCUCCGCCUUAAGUGGUUCUGGCUUUCCCAAAAACUCCGACUGUCCCAGCUCCUUGAAUUGUUUAGCAGUGACCAGCCAUGGGUUGCCGUUGUUUCCACCUGCAUUUUGAACAGGAGUCUCUCUCGCCUGAUGUUGCAUAAAUUGCAUAAAGCCUUUGAUCAUCCCAUCGUUCAUCAUCUGAUCGGUGUUGUUGUUUACCUGAGGAUUAUUGUCUUCCUGUUGCACAAUAUUCUAGGUAUUGAUCGUUGGUGACUCAACUAUCUAAUGUGCUUCAUUGCUGAUCUCAACAUUUUCAGAUGCCAUUCUCAAACACUAUCAAAAAACAAGGGUUAAUUGACAUAUCACAUAUUAUCCCUAUACUCUGACCGACCAAUUAAAUACCAAAUAAACUUAGGUAGGUCAUACUAGCGAAGGAAUUCUGUGACAACCCCAAAAUAGGUAUAUAUCACCUAUUCUGAGUCGCCAAAUACAUGGUACAGAAUACACAUACAAACUUAAAUAUACAACAUGAGCUGUGAGUUUUAAUACAAAUAUUGUCUUCUAGACAGUAUUCAAACUUAAAAUAAGUCCUCAAUACAUUUAUUAUCACACUAUUUCACAGAAUAGUGAGGACUACUAAUACAAACAUUUGUACCGUCACUCCGUUCCCCAACUAGUCCCAGCUAUAUUCUCAUUUCCUGAAGAGAACAAUGAAAGCAAAGGGUGAGCUCAACUAGCCCAGUAAGAAAUAUUAUGACUAAGAUAAUGCAGAAUAGAUUAUCGUUAGCCUUCAACAGUAUAACAACUGAUAGAAUACAAUAGACAAUAAGUUUUAGAUCAACAACUGCAGCGGAAUAAGCAAUCCAUUAGAAGAGUCAAGUAGAGCAUAAUAUCUACCAUCUAAGGAUAUUUAAAAAGUUUAUCAUCAAUUUUAUCGCUGAGACUCAGCUUAAUAAAUAAUCCACAACAUUGAAUCAUCCCUACACUAUAGGCCAAGGAUAUUCUUUAGUAUCUCGACCACAAAUUAUCCAUGCACUACGGGCCAAAGAUAAUCGUGUUUUCAUCAACGGUCAUGAUCAUGCCAUAAAACAAUUCAUCUUUGCACCAUUGGCCGAAGAGAAUCCAUGGCCAUAAUCAUACGAAAAACUGUCCAUCAAUGCACUACGGGCCAAUGAGGAGUUUUACCACAUCAUUUGUAACAUUACGGUCAUGAUUAUACCGAAUAAUCCCUGGUCAUAAUCAUACCAAGUCCAUCUAUGCACUACGGCCAAAGAUGACUUUCAACACAAUAUAAGCAUGAGUAUGAUGAUAAUUCAAUAAAACAAGUUCAAGGAUAAAUUUUAAAGAUUUAUAAUUUAAUUUAUCUAGAAAUCAAUAACAUCCAAAUUGUCUACAUGAUACUGCUUUGUGGAGUAAAAUUCAAGAAUAAUAUUGUAUCAAAAAUAAUUUGGACCGAAAACGAAUCAAUUUUUAUCAUGAAUAGUACCCCAGAUGAAUAGUACUCCGGUGAAUAGUACCCCAUGAAUAGUACUUCGUGAAUAGUAACCUGUGAAUAGUACUCCGACAUGAAAAAUUUAAAACUUAUCAAGAAUGCUCAGAAUAAUAUUUCCAUGAAAAGAUACUGGAUGAAGCGCAAAUAUCAAGGAUAUUCUACUAAUUUCAUGGAGUAUAGAAGCCAAAACUUUAACCAAAUGAGUAUAUAAUUCGAAAUCUGAAACGAAAUAAUAUUACUUACAUACUACAGAGUAUGGGAAAAAAAAUUAUUUCAAGCGAAUAUUGAACAAAAAUAAUAUCUCUUACGAAUAUUAAACGAAAAUAAUAUUUCUUACGAAUAUUAAACGAAAAUAAUAUUCCCUACGAAUAUUAAACGAAAUAAACUUUCUUACGAAUACGAAAAAUAAUAUCGUAAGCGAAUAUGAAAUAAAUAAUAACCCUUACGAGUAUUGAAAGAAAAUAAUUCUCUUCAUGAAUACGAAAGAAAUAAUACCCCUUACCUUGAAAAGAAGAGUAUUCCAACUGGUAUAGUGGAGAUAUUCUUGAAGAAAACUUUCACUAUUUUCUAUGCUCAAAGCUUUCUAAAACUCGAAAGAAAUACGCUCAAUAUUAUAGAAGAAGAAUUCUCUGAUUCUGGUGUGAUUUUCAAUUCUAAAUAAGCAUCUUAUUUAUAAGAGAAUGGAAAGAAUACUAUUUGAAUGCACAGUAAGGAAAGAUUCACAAGCGAAAUUGGCCGAAUUUUUGUUUGAAAAUUUUGAUUUUACUAUGCAGCACUAUGCAAUAAAAUAUUCUAAUAAAACAGAAACAUUUAAAUAAAAUAUAAUAUAUCCUAUUUAUAAUCUAAUAAAACAAAUAACUUUAUAAAAAGUAUUCUGUUGUAUAUAAAAAGUUUUCUGUUUUAUUACUAAUAUAAUAAUAAUAAAAACAAAAUUUAUAUAUAUUUCAAGAAAAUUAAAUCUUUAUUCGUAAAAUUUGGGGUCUUACAAAUUCCCUGUCUCUCCCCUCCUAGUUCUUGUCUCACAUCUCAACCAUGGAUCAUAUCCCUAAGCUUUGAUACCAACUGUGACGCCCCCAAAAUAGGUAUACAUCACCCAUCGUGAGUCGUCAAAUACAUGGUACAUAAAUCAAAUACAAACUUAAUUAUACAAUUGUCGGGUAAUAUACGAAAAAACAUAGCUGAGAGUUUAAAUAAGAAUAUUGCCUUCUAGACAAUAUCCACACUCAAUGGAGUCCUCAUUACAUUUAUUAUCACACUAUUUAACAGAAUAGUGAGGACUGCUAAUGCUAUCAUCUGGACCGUCACUCCGUUCCCCGACUAGUCCCAACUAUAUUCUCAUUUUCUGAAGAGAACAAUGAAAGCAAAGGGUGAGCUCAACUAGCCCAAUAAAAAUAUUAUGACUAAGAUAAUGCAGAAUAAAUUAUCCUUAGCAUUCAACAGUAUAACAACUGAUAGAAUACAAUAGACAACAAUUUUUAGAUCAACAAUUGCAGCAGAAUAUGCAAUCCAUUAGAAGAGUCAAGUAGAGCAUAAAAUCUACUAUCUUCUAUGAUUUAAAAAGUUUUUUUAUCAACUUUAUCACUGAGACUCAGCUUAAUAAAUAAUCCACAUCAUCGAAUCACCCUUGCACUACGGCCAAGGAUAUUCUUUAGUAUCACGACCACAAAUUAUCCAUGCAUACGGGCUAAGGAUAUUCGUGUAUUCAUCAAUGGUCAUGAUCAUGCCAACAACUAUCCAUCAAUGCACUACGGGCCAAUGAGGACCUUUACCACAUCAUUUGUGACAUUACGGUCAUGAUUAUACCGAAUAAUCUCUGGUCAUAAUCAUACCAAGUCCAUCUAUGCACUACAGGCCACAGAUAACUUUCAACAUAAUAUAAACAUGAGGAUGAUGACAAUGAUAUAUGAAUUCAAUAAAACAAGUUCAAGAAUUAAUUUAUCCAGGAACUAAUAACGUCCAAAUUGUCAACAUGAUACUUCUUUGUAGAGUAAAAUUCAAGAAUGAUUAUACCGAAUAAUCCAUGGUCAUAAUCAUACCAAGUCCAUCUAUGCAUGUAAGCCAAAGAUGACUUUCAUCACAAUAUAAACAUGAGGACGUUGACCAUGACAUAACAAUUCAAUAAAACAAGUUCAAGGAUGAAUUUUUAAAGAUUUAUAAUUUAAUUUAUCCAGAAAUCAAUAACGUCCAAAUUGUCAACAUGAUACUGCUUUGUGGAGUAAAAUUCAAGAAUAAUAUUGUAUCAAAAAUGAUUUGGAUAAAAAAAAAUCAAUUUUUGUCAUUAAUAGUAGUCUGGGUGAAUAGUACCCCGUGAAUAGUACUUCGGGAAUAGUACCCCAUGAAUAGUACUUUGUGAAUAGUACUCGUGAAUAGUAUUUCAUGAAUAGUACUUUGUGAAUAGUAUCCCGUGAAUAGUAAUUUGUGAAUAGUACUGUAAAAAUGAAUACUACUCAUGGAUAGUACUCCGGCAUGAAAAACUUAAAAUUUAAGAAGAAUAUGUAGAAAAUAUCCUUGUGAAGCGAUACUAGAUGAAGCGCAAAUUUCAAGGAUAUUCUACCAAUUUCACGGAGUAGAGAAGCAAUACUUUAAUAGAAUGAGGGUAUAAUCAGGAAUACGAGACAAAAUAAUAUUACUCACAUUAUACAGAGUAUGGAAAAAAAUAUUAUUCCUUAUGAAUACUGGAAAAAAUAAUAUCCCUUACAAUUGUUGAACGAAAAUAAUAUUCCAACGAAUAUUUAUCGAAGAUAAUAUUCCAACAAAUAUUUAACGAAGAUAAUAUUCAUACGAAUACGAAAAAUAAUAUCUCUUCAGAAUAUGAAAUAAAUAAUACCCCUUACAAAUGUUGAACGAAAAUAAUAUUCCUACGAAUAUUGAACGAAGAUUAUAUUACUUACGAAUAUUGAACGAAUAUAAUAUUCAUACGAAUGCGAAAAAUAACAUCUCUUUAGAAUAUGAAAUAAAUAAUACCCCUUACCUCAGAAGAAGACUAGAUAUUUGAAUAGUGAAGUAGCAGACUUCGCUUCUUCUUUCUCUCUAAAGCUUCUCUCUCUAUAAUUGCUCUUGUAAGACUUAGUGAAUUGGUGAGAAUGAAGGAAGAAUGAACUUUUAUUUAUAGAAAAAUAUAGUUUCGAUAAUUGCACGUUUUGGGGCUCGAAAUAUUACAGUAUAAUACCUUCCUCUUUUUCUUCAUUUUUAAUUUAGUCCUGCAAGUAUUAUCAAACUUGCACCACCUCNNNNNNNNNNNNNNNNNNNNNNNNNNNNNNNNNNNNNNNNNNNNNNNNNNNNNNNNNNNNNNNNNNNNNNNNNNNNNNNNNNNNNNNNNNNNNNNNNNNNNNNNNNNNNNNNNNNNNNNNNNNNNNNNNNNNNNNNNNNNNNNNNNNNNNNNNNNNNUAAGCAUCAAUAAUCAAUACCGUGUGCUACUAUGCAACCACGCGUAUUACUGUACUUUUACUACCGGGUAGUUCAACAGUUUUAACGGUAACACUUUCGCCAUUAUUUUUAUAAAAAGAUAAUUCUAUCGUUUUCUAACUACGAUAAUACUUCCAUUGUGGGGUCCACCAAUGAUUGUGCCGUCGUACGGAUAUUCCCGACAAAAAGAAUAUUCCCCGACCAAACGAAUAUUUUAUAACAACUUACUUACUUUGCAAAAAUUUUCACAUAUCACCCUUAACUUUAACCUUUUAUCAAUUUAACCAUUUAUGAAAUAAAAUAAUAAUUAUAAGAAAAUUGAAUACUUUCAUUUCUCAAAAUUUGGGGUCUUACACAUAACUUCAAUAAAAAUUCUUCCAUGCCCUAGCAUGCAACUUAAGAAUCUCAGUAGCUUUCACCUUGGUCUUACUUCCACAAUCCAUUUGCUUAUCACUGUUUUUGAUGAGUUGAAUUAUAUCAUUCAUUUAUAUAUUAGUUUUCUGUUUUGGAGAAUUAGACUUGACAUUUUGUCGGAUUGCUUACUUAAUCUCUCAUUGUUGACUCUAUGUUAUUUUUUUGUUUUAUUUACAGUGACAUAUAUGAUUUCAUUAAUUGUGCACUAUGGUGAAGAGUUCAUCAAUGAGCCCACAGAACAUUAUGUAGGAGGGUUGAAAAAGGUUGUCUCUAGUGAUCCUGAUUUCUUGUGCACUACACGUAUAAAUGAACAAACGACUCAUAUAUUAGGGUACCAUACUACUGCUAAGGUUUUCUUUAAAUAUGGUGAAGGGUUUAGAUUAAUUCAUGAUGAUGAUUCGAUUAGGGAUUUAAUUAAAGCUUCUGCAAAAGAUGUGACUGUAGAAGUUUUUGUGGAUCAUAAACUUGACAAGGAUCACCCUAAUUAUUUGAAGAACCUUGAUCUACUUAGUAAGCUCGAAGAAAAUGAAAAAUGAAGAGAACAAUGGGGUGAAUGCUGAGGGGAACAAUGAUGUGAAUGGUGACUUCACUAGUGAUGAAAGUUCUGAGGACUCUGAUGCUGACUUGACUGGUGAUGAUGAACAAUUAAGCAGUGAUGAAGAGUACCAAAAUGAAAGAACAAAAUCUAAGGAGUAUACUAAACAAAUGACAGAGGUUGGAGAUCCUGAUGAUGCUGGUGGUAUUGAUCUAGAUGAGUUGCAAGAGGAGGGAGAAAAGGAGGCUGAAAAUGAGACUAAUGUACAGACAAGUACACAGGAAGAUGAGACAAAUCUACACUCAGGUACACAGGAAAAUGUUCAGCAACAACAGACUGCAAAUUCUGAUGAUGAUGGAAAAGAUACAGACAUCACUGAUAAGUAGUGGUUACCUAGUGAAUAUGAAGAUUCAGAUCAGCUGAGGUCUAUGGAUGUAGACAGUGAUGAAGAGAGUGAAGAUGUUGAAGAAGUAGAUCAACCAGAUAGGCUAAGUAGGAAAAAGAAUGUGGAAAGAGUAAUGAUAACAUUUGACCCCCUGACCAAGAGGAAAGAUAUUGACUUCUGUGUUAGAAUGAUGUUUACUGGACCUCGUGAAUUCAGAGAGGCUAUUAGAGGAUAUUGUUUGGGAAAAGGAAAAGAUGUCAGGUCCUUAGAAAUACUGGGAAAAAGUUUCAGCUUAAGUGUAAAAACCCAAAAUGUCAUUAGGAGCUGUUUGUAAGUAGAAUGGAUGACUCAUCUGAGACACUGCAGGUUAAGACAUACCAGAAAAAACAUACUUGUAGCAGGGCUUUCAAAAAUAGGAAAGGAUCAGUCAAAUUCAUGGCUGAGUUUUAUGGCAACAGAAUUAGAAAAAACCCUCAGUGGAAGUUAAAAGACAUGCAAGAUGAGACGAAGAGGAAGUUUCAGUUGGACAUUACUAUAUGCAAAUGUUCUAGGAUUAGAAGCAGGGCUUUAAGAAAUGUAUGGGAUUUACUAGUGGAACACUAUGAAAAAAUUUGGGAUUAUGCCACUGAAUUGAUCAAGUCCAACAAGAACAAUACAAUUGAUGUUCUUCCACACAGAAGCAAUCCUACUGAUCAGCCUUACUUGCAGAGGUUCUAUGUAUGUCUUCAUGCUUUGAAAAGGGGUUGGGUUGAGGGAUGUAGACCCAUAAUUGGGCUAGAUGGAUGUUUCCUUAAGACUGCUGUUGGGGGACAAUUGAUCUCAACCGUGGGUAGAGAUAGGAACAAUCAAAUGUAUCCUAUUGCAUGGGCUAUUGUGGAGACUGAAAACACCGAUAGUUGGAGAUGGUUUCUAAAAUUAUUGGUUGAAGACCUGUAAGGAGGUGAUGGGUCUGGGUGGACAGUGGUCAGUGAUCAACAAAAAGGGUUGAAAGUGGCUAUCGAUGAUGUUCUUCCUUUUGCUGAGCAUAUGAAUUGUUCAAGACACAUAUACGUAAAUUUCAGAAAAAAGUUCUCAUCCUUAGCAUUAAGGAAGGCUUUUUGGGAAACAUCAAUGUCAACAUAUGAAGCCGAGUUCAAGAGAAACAUGAAAGAGGUGAAUAGAUUCAACAGGGAUGCACAUGAUAAACUGCAAGAACUAAAUCCUAAGGUAUGGAGCAAGGCUUUUUUUAAGACUGUAUGCAAAUCAGAUGCGGGGGAGAAUAAUAUAUCAGAAUGCUUUAACGCUUGGAUUAUGAAAACAAGAUGGAUGAAUUGUAUUGAUAUGUUAGAAGAAAUAAGGAGCCAGGUUAUGAUUAGGCUCCACACUAAAAGGGAUGCAAUGAAGAAGUCAGGUGAUAGUAUAUGUCCUAGGAUCAGAAAAAUGCUUGAUAAAGCUAUUGAUGAGUCUGGUUAUUUUUCAGCUAUGUAGGGUGGAGGGAAUCAGUUUCAGGUUAAGAUGAGAGGAGACACAUAUGUUAUUAACUGUGAUCAGAAGACAUGCACUUGCAGAAAGUGGGAUUUGACAGGGAUUCCAUGUGCUCAUGCAAUUUCAGCAAUAUAUUUCAAGGAGGAAGAGCCUGAAACUUAUCUUGCUCAUUGGUACAAGAAGGAAACAUACCUAAAAGCCUACACACAUGUUAGAGGUUAUAAGCAGUUUUUGGGGUGAAACAAGUUUUUAGAAGAUGUUACCUCCUCCAAUAUGCAAUAAAGUCAAGGGAAGACCUAAGAAAAUGAUAAGGAAAAAAGGAUGGGAGAAUCCAAAAAAUCCUACAAGGAUAACAAGGAAGGGAAGGAAAAUGCAUUGCUCAAAAUGUAGACAGACAUGGCACAAUAAGGGUAAUUGUCCUACCAUCAGUGGCCAAACAGAUGAACUUCAGUCAAGCAAUGUAAGUAUUAUAGCAUUCCAACAUUAUUUUUAUGUAACAGUUUUGUUUACCUGAGUUAAAUAUUAUUAAUUCUCUGUGUCAGGCAAGUAGGCAGGUCAAGAGGAUUUGCAUCAGCAGAUCCAAAAAAGAAACAUAACAAUGACAUGGUGCAGUGUGGUAAUUCUAACAAGGUAUUGUUAUAUCAUAACUUCAUGAAGUUGAUAUAUUUAUUUGGGAAUGAAUAGUAGUUAUGUAUAUAUAUAUAUAUGUAAAUCUACAAACUAAUACUAGACCAAAGUUGCAAGUUAAGAGGAUAAAGACCCGCGCUAAAGUACCAGCAGGAUUUGGUGUUUAUGUUAGUCCUGAAGGAGCUGUAAUAGAUAAUAUGAAUGGACACAACUUUGGCUUAGUUUUUGUGAGUUAUAACUUUUUUUAAAUUGCAAGUAUUUAUGUUACUUUUAUUUGACAUUUUUCAUAUGUAACCAUACUUGUGUUUGGUUAUGUCAAAUGCAGAUGCCAACUCAAAGAGAAGUCAUAUAUCAAGAUGGAUCAAGCAGAAAUAACACACCUCCUGCUACAAGAAUGUAUAGAACCCCACUUACAUCAAGCAACAAUCCACCAACUUCAAGCACAACGAAAACACUUAAUCAGUCAAGUCAGUUGGAGAACAUGAGAGAUUAAGUUGGAAGCCAGUAGGAACAUGAGAUAUCAAUGUUUAAUUUUUAAGAACUUUGUUUAAUAUUUAUGACCUUGUUUAAUAUCAAGUUUGGACAGUGUGUUCAUUGAAAUGGUUGGAUAUUGAAUGAUGGCAAGUUUAUUCAUUUUUAUGAAAUGUUGACAAUCUCAGUUUUCAUUUUUAUGGUUGGAUUGAAUCCUUUUCAUUUUUAUGGUUGGAUUGAAUAUGAAAUUUUUAUCUUGGAUAUUGUUAAUGGUAGUUAUUUUCAUUGAAAUGGUUGGAUUGAAUGAUGGCAGUUUUAUAGCUCAGCAAAAGGCUAACUAUCUGAAAGAGAGGUGGAAUAUCAUAACUAUAAAACCAAAAAAAAACAGUUAUAAGGAAACCUUACAAUGAAGAAAAAUAGGCAAAGCAACUCAACUCAACUUCAGCAAUUAAACUAGUUGGGUUAGGAUGGAGAUGAAUCCCAUAUGACAGCAAAAAACUAGAAAGACAAGAAACAGAGCAUGCCAUUCAUUCAUUAAUUAAAACAGAGCAUCAUUCAUUCAUUGAAACAACAACAUCAUUCAUUCAUUGAAACACCAAACAACACCAAACAUCAAAAUCCAUUGAAACACCACCAGAAAUAAACCUUCAAGCUAACUAAUACAUUGAAACAGAGCAUCAUUAAUUCAAAUUCUAACACCAACAACACCAGCCAACUAACAUCCAUGAGCAAAUUAAAAGAAACCAUAAAAAAUAUUCCUUUUAUUGAGCUUUGACAUUAAUCUUCUUCAGCUUUUUAACCUCCUUCUCCAAUUUACCAUUUUAAGAAACUGUAGUAAGCUCUCCUGUCCUAUUACACAGCAACACACCAACCAUUAACAUAAGCAAUCAUAUGAAAAGAAAUAAAAAAAAACAUCUUUCCAAAAUCUUACCCGAUAAUUAAUACACCCAAUGAAUCGCCUUCCUCAAUGUUUUGUUCCAUCCUUCCUUGCCUCCCACAUUUGCACCAUUGCUCCACAGUGGCACCGACUUGGGAAAUCUGGUGUAAUCCAUUCAUUUUUGUUGCAUAAACUACAAUCUUCUUCCCCGAUUUUAUUUACGAUUCCACUCCAAGACGAGCUCAUCCUUUCAAUUAAACACUGAAAACCCUUUAAUAAAUAUAUGGGAACCAGUAAUCAAUGGAGAAUUGAGACAAGAAGAAUGAGAGAAGAAGAAGGACGGAAGUAUAGAACCCUAGGUUUUUCCCCCAAAUAUCGAUCUCUUCGUUUUUUGCUGAUCAGCUUUUAUAAAUGGGAAAUACACAUCAAUUCAACUUUGUUGCCCAGUCAUCGCCAUGCCAUCCUUUGCAUUUGACCUGUCAAAAUUUCAAACGGAAUAAGGAUGAAACCCUACUGUUUAACGGAUUGCAACAAUUUUCAAGUACAAUCACCAGUUUGUAACUUUUUUUCACUCCGGGUACCAAAUUGUAAGUCGUGUCCCAGUACAGGUACCAAAAGUUGAUUUAUCCCUAUAUAUAUAUAUAUAUAUAUUAAUUUUCCCCGAACUAUGAGACUAUUAAUCAGACUUUGAAUUUUUUAGUCAACUGAUUAACUACUUUUAUAGAUAAAUUAUAAAUUAUAAUAUUAUAUAUUCAAAACCUUAUAUUGUGGUUCUGGUCAUUUUCCUUGGAGACAAUUGAGAGGAGCCACUCAAAGUAAUAAAAUGAAUUAAGUUAUUCUCAUUUUCAAAAAAUUGAUACCAAUGUAUGAUUAAGUCAAUAAGACACAUGAGUGUAAUAUUAAUUAAUUAAUCAUCAAACUUAUUUAACAUUAUUUUAUCUUAUAGUAAUAUUGUUAAUUUAUUAUAGUUAAUAGGUGGAAGGACAUGAGAAAAUAAAUGAAUUAAUAUCAUCUCAUAUCAAGUUUAACUAGUAUUAACAUGCUUCAGAUUUCAAGGUUGAGGGGUCAUAUGACCCCCCUCGCCCCCCUAGUUCCGCCCAUGAGUACUAUUAGGAUUAGAAUUUGUUUGAUUUCUGUAGAAAAAAUGGAAUAAGCAAUAUUACAAUAUAAUUAGAAUUUGGUUUAAGAAUGAAGUGGUAUUAUUGUUGAAGCCAGAUCCAAAUUUUAAUUCAGAGGUGAUUGGAAGGAAUGAGUCCUCACAAUCGUAAUCAACGUUUGAUUGCCGCUACGAAUAAUUUAACGGGGUCCGGGGGCAGCACCCUCGGCCCAAAUCUGGAGGGGUAGUUUUAUAAUUUCGGGUGAAUGAGGGUUACUUAUAUUCGUUAUAUAAAGAGGGGAUCCUGUAAUUGUAUGAUGUACAAAUUUUUAAGAGAUAAUGAAACUGUCAGCCGUUGACCGUGAAAUGCUUAAUACAUGCAAGUCGGACGGGAAGUGGUGUUUCCAGUGGCGGACGGGUGAGUAACGCGCCUGCCAUUGGGAGGGGAACAACAGUUGAAAAUGGCUGCUAAUACCCCUUAGGCUGAGGAGCAAAAGGAGGAAUCCGCCCGAGGAGGGGCUCACGUCUGAUUAGCUAGUUGGUGAGGCAAUAGCUUACCAAGGCGAUGAUCAGUAGCUGGUCCGAAACUAGUCCAGAUAUUUUGGGUGAACCACAUAAAUUUUGUGUCUUGAUUGUUUUUCUUUUGUUUUCUCUUUUGCUAUUGUUUUGUGCUAAGUUGUUAAUCUUACACGUCGCCCAUAAAUGUUAUAAAUUUUGUAUCAUAUUUAUACAGAAGAAUCUGAAGCCAAUUUUAUUUUGAACUAAGACGUCAAUCUGGCUGUUAAUUCUAGUAAAAUAAUUCAUAUUGGCAACUGCCCCAAAGGAUGCCACAGCCCCAAAGUAUGGGAGUGGGCCUCUUGGCAACUGCCUCUUUGUAGGUACUUGCCAUGGUUUCAAAACUCCAAAGCAUUUUGGGCCCAUGUGGUUUACCGUGCACUCCUAAAAGCAGUGUUUGUUGGUGCCUCAAAAACAAUUAUGUUCUGGGAAUUUUCUAGAUCUAGAAUAUAAAAUCGGCUAAAGCUAAAAAAAUCAUUUUUUUUCUCACCCUCUUCUAUUCGUUGGAUUUAUAGAGUUUUUGAUAUAGGAACUAGAUUUUUGGUAGCCGAUAGGAGAACUGUAUCUGAGAAAAUAUAGUUCAAAUAGAAUUUUUUUUAUGACCAUUUAUCGACUUGUAUGGAACGUGAUAUUAAUAUAAGUUUAUUGGGAUUACAUCGCAGAAUGACAUUUUGCGGUUUAGUAUCUCAGUUAAAGGACAUGCAGAGAAAGAAUUCAGAACUGGAUGAAGAAAAUAAGAUAUUGAUUUUGAAGGUAUUAUUGUUCAUAUCGAGCAAGGAAGCUAAAGACUAAAAGGUACGGAUCCUCCCUUCUCGAGCCUUCUGUAGAAGACUGCCCUUUAGGAAACUCCGCAUUGAAAGAGACCUAAAGAUAAAAAAAAAGAAAAAAAACGCAACUAGCGAAUUCAAGGUAGUGCUAUCUACGGUACAAUCCAAAACUGAAAAGACAGUUCUUUUCUAUUAGAUUAGAUUAGUAUUAGUUAGUGAUCCCGGCUUAGUGAGUCCUUUCUUCCGUGAUAAACUGUUGGCGCCGGUCUUACAUUUUGUAUCUGUGGACCGAGGAGAAAGGGGGCUCUUUUGUUUCAGCUCCAGGCAAAAGAACUAGAUAAUGACAUGAUGCAGAAGCGUCUAAAUGACUUGGUAAAUGAAAAAGCUAUCAGUUCUACAAAUUAUUCAUUAAAGAAAAUUGAUGAUACUUAUCUGUGGCAUAAUGAGCUUGAUUUGUCAUUUCUGAAAUAAACAGUUACUCCAUCUGAUAGGAUGGCUCUUAGUGUUAAUAUAAAGUGCUGCACAAGCUUAUCAACAAAUGUCUCUUUUUUAUUCCGAAGACCCUCUUAGGCUUGUGCGGCUAUCUUUGCGUCUUGAAAAAGUGGCUGGAUUUCCCCAUGGGAGAAAUUGAAUUGGAAUCACUUUCACUCAAAGAACAUAUUCACCUAAUCUGUACUGGGGUUUCUCUCCCCCCUCUCCCUCUUUUUUCCCCUAGCAGAUCUUUUUUUGUUGUGGGAAAGAAUUAUUUCAGUCAAAUGAUAUUUUACAAUGUUAUCGCUUUCUUUGAUCAACCAGUGCACAGGGCAUUGUCUAUAGUUAUAGUUUAUACAUAAAAUGGCACCACCAGAUGAUGAACAUCCAAUUAAAUCCCUUUGCCUAUCUGUCCCAUAAGAUAAUUUAUAACAUCUAGUUAUCAAUGGGGCAAAGGCUUAAGGAAAUUGUACAUAGUUACAAUUAUGUUUAACUUUUCAAUUUAUGCAUGUAAUACCUAAUCUAAUUCCAUUUUCAUGAAGAAAAAGGAGAAAUUCAAAUGUAAUAGGGUGAUUUUAUUUUGGACCUUGUAUGUGCUUUUAUUAGGUGCAACUGACAAAUGAUGUUGUACAAUGCAUAACUGGACAUAGUUUCUGCAACUUGGUCGUAUGCUUAUUCAGCUUUUUCUAUUUUCGUUAAACUCACAGGGGAAUACUGUACCAUCCUUAAGGAGAGCUCUGAAGGAUGUUGCAAUGGAAAAAGAUGCUGCAGUUGUUGCACAGGUAUACACCACCAUCACACAGUUCUUUUAAUGAAAUUUUACGUGCUCUAUUCUUUACCAACAAAUUCUGAUAUUUUAGUGUAGGAGGAUCUCUCAGCCCAGCUUCACACAAUUAAGAAACAUCUGAAAGAAGCAGAAGAAGAACAAUAUAGAGUAUGGAAAUGGUUUUAAUGUUAAUUUAAUGAAAUCUGGCCCCAUCUUUAUAUACUCAUAAUCCUCUCUAAAUAGGCUGAAGAAGAUGCAGCAGCAUUGAGAGCAGAACUUAAUUUGUUACAGCAACAAGCAAUAAGUGGUUCACUUGGUUCCAAUACCUCAAUGGGGAAUUCACCAGAUCACUUGCAAGCCCUGGAGGAGGAGCUAGCCAAUUUAAAAUCUCAGCUAGAGGUUGGAGGAGGAGCUAGCCAAUUUAAAAUCUCAGCUAGAGGUUAGGCCGUUAGAAUAUGUUCACUGAUAUUUUCCAACUUUGAUUAUAUUUUCCAACUUUGAUGUCAUAAUGCUUGUGAGGAGCAUCUCAUUGUUGGUUUAAACUGUAGCAACAGUCACUGCUGAGGCAGCAACAGCAAGAACAUUUCACGGAACUGCAAUCCCGAACAAUUGCCCUUGUGUCUGAAAAACAGGAAUUGGAAGAGAAGUAUGCAACUGUAUCCAAAAUUGCCUUAGGUAUGACAAGGUCAAUUGUCAUGGGUCAAAUAUGAAUUUGAUUUGGAGUCCAUAAUAAACUACUUAUUCAACUGCUGUAAUGCUUGAUGAAUUUGGUUUGUUUGAUUCAUGAUUCCAUGCAUUGAUAGCUUAUUACUGAGCAACUGUGAGGCAUGGAUUCAUGGGUUACUGAGAUGGCUCAACAUAUACAAAUCCUAAACAAACCUAAAGAAGUAGAGGAUGGACACAUCGAGUAGAUGUGAAUAAGGAAAUCAGUUGCAUAUAACAGAAAGUUAUAAUAACAAUAAAGAAGGAUAUGUAAAGUAUCUUUUAUGGUAAAAAAAUUUAAUAUCAUAUGUUUUUUGCUAAAAAUUUUAUUCCAAGAAUUGUACUACUGAGUUAUUAUCUUGUUAUUUAAAUAACAAGGGAGAUAUUUAAAAAUACUAGAGUUGUUAUAUAAACACCUAACAAAUAACUUGUGUGUGUGUAUAUAUAUAUAUAUAUUAUAUAAUAUAUCCCCUUCUUUUUUCUGAUAUGUAAAUGUAUUCUUUAAAAAUCCCAACAGGGGGCGUAACCCAUGUGCACAUGGUGUAACAACAAGCAUGUGGAGAAAAAGGCUUAUAUUUACCUAUGAGACGGACCUUGUACACUCGCCAAUCUAACUCUCCCUAAAGUCCUACAAGAAAAAGAGGCACACUAUCAUCUAUCUAUAUUAUAAAGCGGGAGAGGUUUGUAAUGGUUACUUUUUGUAAUUUUGUGUCGAAGCUUAUGAUACAAGUAAAAAAAAUUCUACUUGUUCUUAUCUACUAUAAAUCUAAAAAUAGUUAAUUCUAUCUCUCUUUUUUCCUUCUCACUUUCUCUCAAUUCCUAUCGGAUCUCAAAUUUCUUUCUCUCCAUUAUCCCAAAUUUCUUAAUUACUUACAAUUUUUAAUAUUAUAAAGAAAAAAUAUGAACACAUUUGUUAUUGUGUGCCAUUAGACUAGUAUAUCUAAAGCAAACUCUACCAAAAUCCACGAAGGAUAAACAAGAGCAGGAUACAUUGCCAAGAUUUAUGAUAUCCCUUUUUAUGGUAUUUUUUUCUUACUUGCUACUUUAAUAAGUUCCUUGGUAAAAGUACUUUUGUUUUUCCAAUGAUUAUAUACUUUAAUGGCAUACUUGAACAAAGUCAUAUUUAAGAUUUCAUGGAAACGUUAUUUCAAUAUCUAUUGUUUCAUUAUUGACAAGAGGAAUUUUGUAUUCAAAUUAUCACGCAUAAGAAGUGUAAAUUACGUCUAAGAGUGUCUGUGAAGUAUUGGUGCUGGACACGUGGAUGACAGCGAGAAAGACAAUGAAUAUUUGUCCACAUUUCAUAGCUCAGAAACAUUUAAGCUUUAGGUCAAAUUGUUUUAAAAAGUGUACUUUGAACGUAUGAAUAUUGAGGUCAUCAAUGCGUGAAUUAUGCAAGUGGGAUAGUUUAUUUGUUGUUAGUAAUCCCCUCAUUAUUGUCACAGGUCAUAUGAGAUUGUAAUAGUGUUUCUCAAAUCUGAUCACAUACUCUGAGAUGGUUGUUUGGUUCCUUUCUGUAUUAGCUACGAAAUCGCGUUGUGCAUGUUCUUAUUUGUGAGCCUUUGAAAUAAUCGUUUUACUACUAAACUAGUCACCUAAGCAAAUUACGCAAAUUGCCCAAGAUAUCAAUAUUCCAUCAAGAUCUUAGAUAAGACAACGUUUAACAUGCUAAAGGAGUCAUCUUUUUUGCUGCAGUAGCAUGCUGCAAGCUUCCAAAGGGAUUCUAUUUAUUUACAUUGUAAUAGCAUUCAGGAACCUAGUUGCAUGUUAUUGUCAUUUCUUUAUGGGGAAUAAAUUAUAUACGGAUGGCCUGUAAAACUAAAGUUUUACACCUCCAAUAACAUGUCACGUAGGGAAUUUAGGAGAAAAUUAAGGAUUUUUAAUUGCAUUGACAGAUUUUGUAUUAUAAGUUGUAACUUAAUCUUUUGCAGUAUACUUUUUAAGAAAUUUUCUUUUAGUCCAAAUCUAGUAAUGUGUGUUUUGACUCUUUAUUUUGUAAUGCAGAAGAAGUUACAGAAAUAGCUCCCCACAAGGCAAUCUCAACAGUUAGUGAUUUAGCCAAAACAAAUAAAAAUCUCAACGGUUAGUGUAUACUUUUGGUUGUUAUCAACUCCAAAAGCAGCAUUGUGGUCUGAUAAUAUUCUCCUUUGCAUGGUUUUAGAAAGUAUAUAUGUAGUUUUUCUUUUCUCUUUUCAUUUUUCUCCUUUUUCUUUCCUCUGGUAGUCCGCUUGCAAUCGUAUGUCUGCAUGCGUGCAUUUUUGUUCUUUCAGAUGGUGAUGAUUUUGUGAAUAUGAUAAUUAUCUAACAAAAGUCUGAUUUUUUUUAAUGCACCUGUUUGACCUGUAUAGUUUUGUUUGGUUUCUGAAUACAUGUUCUUUUGAUUAGUAGUAUUAUGAUUUGAGUUUAAUGCAUGACAACUUUCAAUAUGACAUAUGCCAGCUCCUUUUUCCCUUUUCUCUUUAUUUCUCGCCACCUGCCACACCCAUUUCCCCUUUAGUUUUCUUUAAGUUGUGGCCCUUUCCAAAGUUAAUUUUCUUUGAAUGCUUCACUGCAAUGCACACAUGGAAUGAUAGCUUAGAGUCUGUACCUUAGGCCUAGUUUAGAAUGGCCAUGUGAGAAUGUAUUCUCUUUCAUUGAUAUUUUGUAUUUCGUCAUCCUUUUGAUUAAAAUUUUUAUUUAAGUAAUUCAUCCUAGUUUUCGUCAUCCUUUUCUAAAAGAGCAAGUUUUCGCUACUUAUAAUUAUAAGUUGGAGGGGGUGUUGACAUUGAAGAAUGAGGGUCGUGAUCAUGUGGACAAUCAUCCUCUAAAACCUCCUUGGCAAACGUCUUCCCAUCUAUUACGUUUCUGUCAUUCACUUUAGUAUUUCUCUUUUACUCAAGUUCAUUAACCACUAUAUCUAUGAAGAUAUUUGUAUAUAAUGAAGCAACUUCUUUGGGUUCCACUUCUGAAGAGGGCCUUAAAUAUCAUCUUGUUAUUGCAGGAAGACAAGGAAAGACUUGAGAAGCAAUUGCAUGAUAUGGCAGUUGCAGUUGAGAGGUUAGAGAGUAGCAGACAUAAACUACUAAUGGAGGUACCAUCUUUGCUUACUUUGCAUUUCCACCAUUGCCCGAAAGUGUAAUAUAUUUAGUUUGUUUCUUAAUUCUGUCAACAAAUUGAUUCUCAGUCUUCAGAGAUAGAGAGGCUUUUCGAGGAAAAUUCUGAUUUGUCGUCUGCUUAUCAACAAGCGACUAGUGUUGUUGUUCACUGGGAGAAUCAGGUAUGCGGUGCCUAACUUUUUGGAAAAUCUGCUCAAGAUACGAGAGGAAAUUUUUCUUUCAACUUUUUCAGAGUGUAGAUUAUAUGUUCCCCUGCCUCGGUGAUUCAUUAAGCCAGAAACUACCAUAUCUUACUUGGUUUGUAGCAUAAAGUUUCUAUUACCUUCCUAUGGUUUUGAGCAAGUUGUAUUGUCUCUAUUUGGAAAGAGGUGACCAGACAAUCCUUGACCCCCUCGUGGUCUUGGUGAAGUUCAACUAUUGAUAUGUUUAAUUGGUUGGGGUUGUUUGAUAUAGAGGUCUAGCUUGGUUGAUACUUUGAUUGGUUGAUACUUCAUUCCUCAAAGACGUGAAAAUAAAUCAGUAUGCUUUGUGAGUUAUGAUGCAGCAUGAAGGUUAAGCACUGAGAUGUAGGUUCUAUUGAAAUAUUACACUUUGGGCACCCAAAAGUACAAUUGUUCAAGUGGGAGAAAUGGAAAUACAUUGUUUAGUUGUUUGACAACAUAAAGUUAUGUGUUCCUCGAUACUCCCUGGCUUUAGAAAGAGACAUAGAAUGUGGUCAGACUUGAGGUUUAUUGUGUAUUAUCCUUACAAAUUAACCAAAAAUUCAACUUUGUUCUCCCUUCUAUAUGGCUCUUAAUACAUCCCUUUAUCUCAUGGUAGUCGAUGUUGAUGGGAACUCCAAGUCAAGAACAAAGAAAAGAUUUGUUAUGUUUAUUAUUUAGAGUUUUUAUUAUGUUUAAUAUAAAAGUAGUUGAUGUGAUUUAUGUAUUUUAUUUAUUAGUGGGAAUUUAAGAUAUUAAUUAGUAAUUAGGAAUUAUUAAUAAGGGUAUUUUAGUCCUUUAGUAUUUUAUUAUUCCCCAAGUAAAAUUAGGUUUGUGUCUUUUUAAAUAGUGAUGUAAUCCUCACAAGUUAUUUAGACUACAGAAUAUUGAUAUUGAAAAUUGAUUAUUUCAUUCACACCAUAGAUGUUUCACAUUGUAGAGGUAUUUAUAGGUGAUCCUAGUUUAUUUUCCGUUAAUUCUCCAUCCUAGAUCUGUCCUACAUCAUUUUGGUAUCAAAGCCUAACCUGGGCAAUCGCUUUCAAAAUCACUGUUCAUCGUCCGAAGCCUCGCACUACUUUCAACAUCAAAUCAGAAGCUAACCGCUGCUACAAUCAUACGAAAUCUCAUCACCGUCGCUAUAACAAUAACAACAAAAGCAUUAUUGCACCAUCAAUUCGGAACGACCCAACUCGGACCCGACCCGGAUCAAAAUAUAACAAAUCUCUUCUUUGUUCUUGACUUGGAGUCCCCACCAUUAAUUUUUCAAUUUUUGGGAGAUCUUGGGUUUUCAAAAAAAAAAGUCGGAAGUACUGUUCACUGGUCGGAGUACUGUUCAUCGCAGGAGUUACUGUUCAUCGUCGGAGUUACUGUUCAUCACGGUUAAAAGAAAAAAAAAAGAAGAAGAAAAGAAGGUUGUUCUGCCUUGUUGCUACUGCUACUAUUCUCUAGGGAACAAGAGUAACCCUAAUCUCUAAUUUAUAAAUAUUUUGUCAAAAUUAUAGUUUAAACCCAAUGGUUUUCGUAACUUUUCAAUUUUAGCCCCGUAGUUUGUAAACUUUUCACUUAUACCCUUUCAUCUUUUUUAAAUCAGCCCUACACUUUUUUAAUUCCUAUUUUAGCCCCUAUUUUUUAUAUUAUUUUCAGUUAGGCCCCUUGAGUUAUAAAAAAAAAUCACUUUAUUCAUUUAUUAUUUUAUAACCCAUUGUCUCAAACAUCUAAUGUCUCAAGCCACUAAAGAAUUGAUUGUCGAAGCAAAAGAGUAUAUUUGGUUUCUUGUCAGUGAAAGUAAUCGAAUAUACUACCUUAUUAAUAUAUGUGGUCAUAAAUAUUUGAAACACAAGUAGGAAGAGCUUAGAUGAGAUAUGGCUGAUGUACAAAAUUAUCUUGAAAAAUUGGAAUGUCGGUAUCGAGAUGAACAAAGAAAAGCUGAAGCAAAGAAACGUCAACAAGUUAAAGUAAGAGAGGCUAUACAAAGAGUGAUUUUUAUAUGGUCAUCUAUGAAAGAAGGCCUUAUUGACUUGUGGGCACAUUUUCAAGUAGAGCAAGAGAAAGAAAAAGAGGAUGUUCCAAAUUUUGGGACUACAAACAGUUGUGACAUGUCAUGGAAAUUAUUGAAGUCUCAAAUGUUGAACUAGAGAUUAUGUAUGAGGAGUGAAUUGAAAAAACCUCUAACGUUGCUUUUGAGUUGUUCGUUACCGAGGAAAAGACGAUUUGAGAAGUUGAUUCAAUCCAAGUUGACGUUGUUGAUUUCGUUGUUCCAGAAAGUUUCUUUUUAGCACCUUUGAAUACAAAACCAAGUCUUACCAAUUUUCUUUCAAAAUUUUUUUGAGUCAUACCACGUGAUGAUGUUGUCAAAGGUGUUUCAAGAUGUUCUUCCGUUGCAGAGUUCAUUGCUUAUUCUCUCAUAUUAUAGAACUCGAGGUCGAGUUUUCUCUAACAAGAGAAGAAUGAUUGGGGACUCCAAGUCGAGAACAAAGAAGAGAUUAUUAUAUUUAUUAUUUGGAGUUUUUAUUAUGUUUAAUAUAAAAUUAGUUGAUGUCAUUUAUGUAUUUUAUUUAUUAGUGGGGAUUUAAGAUAUUAAUUAGGAAUUAUUAAUAAGGGUAUUUUAGUCGUUUAGUAUUUUAUUAUUCUCCAAGUAAAAUUAGGAUUUGAGUCUCUUUAAAUAGUGAUGUAAUGCUCACAAGUUAUUUAGACUACAGAAUAUUGAUAUUGAAAAUUGAUUAUCAUUCAUACCGUAGAGGUUUCAUACUGUAGAGGUAUCCAUCUUGGUGUUGAUACGCGGAGUUGAUACACUUGAGAGAUCCUAUAGGUCUAAACAUAAAGUUUAGAUCUUAGUUUAUUUUCCGUUAAUUCCCCAUUCUAGAUCUGUCCUACAUCAGAUGUACUCCCUUCUCAGUUCUCACUCUAUAGAACGUGUCCGCUUCAAGGGCUGUGGGGUUAAAUUUCUAGUCCUUAUUAAGUCAAAUUAUCUUACUUUGUUCUAUCCCGGAGGCGUUAAAUUUUUCACUACGGCCCAUCAAUUUUAUAGGAGUUCUGUGGAGUGUUUCUAUUUUCAUUCUUGAAUAUAUAAUCUGCCCAAUGUUUAAUUCACACAGGUGAAAGAUUGUCUGAAACAAUUAGCUAAAAUGAGAACAGAGCAAGCUAAUAAGCCAGCAUUGAACGAGACGCAGAGACAAUUAUUGGAUUCCACCAAAGGUGUGGUAAUGAGAUAAGUGCUCAGGCAUAUGAUGCUGAUGUUGUCUCCCUCAAGGUUAGGUUCAGUUUGUACUGGUCAUUAGAACACAUACCCAUUAGUUGAUAUACUUUUUUUUGCAUUCCUUAAAAAAUUAGCAUCUUUUUUUCCCUAAAUGUUUGUUGGGAGUUGGGGGAGUGGUGCAGCAAAGUAUCCAAAAAUUUGUAACUAAUACUGCAAGCAUUGCAGUUUACAUCCUAGAGGGUUAAAAAAUAAAUAACAGAGAAGAUGGCAAAGGUUAAGAGCGAUUAAAGGGGAACACAAGUUAAUAAAUCUUUUAAGGGAACUAACUUCACAAGAAUGCUACGUUCUAUACUCUGAAUAGAAGUAAUAAAAAUUACAGCAACCAAUGAUAAAAGUCAUGUACAGUACAACCUAACUUAAGCGACUAAUAUGACUAGUUUCUAGCAUUUUAAAUUAAAAGGUGUGUCUAGCAUAUGUCCUGCUAAUAGCUGGAGCCCUAGUAAUAUAUAAGAACAUAACGUGACUAGAAAAAGAAAAUGUUGCUGCUUUCAUUUACUCCUGCAUCAGGGAGUAAGCCACUUUCACUUAGGUUGAUAAUCAGGACUAGGGGAUUUCUCCCAAGGGUGAAACUUGUAGACCUGUCUAUGUUGGUUAUAUGAUAAUACGAAAUAGUGUUCAAGUAGAUACGUGAUAAUUUGUUUUUGUCCACUGUGGCUUGUACACUGGUCACUCCAUGACGUGGGAUGACAUGCCACUUGAGCUAGAACUCAUUUGGCCCAACUGAGACAUUGACUUGCCAACAGUGAAUUGGCUUGGGACUAGCAUGGGUAAUGCACUAUGCUUGUGAUCCUCCCCUCAUCCUUUUAUUUUGCUACUUCUCUUUGCUGUUAUUUUGAUCAUAAUUACUACGCUGCCAAAUGGUAAGGCUUUUGUAGAAAAACUAUCUUUUGAUGAAGGAAUGUAAGUUGUUUGAUUAGUGUCACCUCAGAACUACAGACCAUUACUCAAGUUGCUAGAGGCACCGACCCCAGGUGUUGUGUUAAUAGUAUGCCACAGGAGGAUAGUAUGUAUGUUCACGGAUUGCUGAUUCUAUUGGUGCAUUGUGCCUGUACAUUUUGCUAGUGUUAAAAAGUAUGUAUGUGCAUAUGCUCGUCAACUUUCUGAUGUAUAAGAAAAGCCAACAAUCAUCUGUUAUAGGGCCUUAGCAAUGGGUAAAUAUGGUCUGAACUCAUCCUCAUUAAAGAAUUUUUAGUAUACAUGUGACCCCCUUUUGUUUUUUAUUCAACCACUUAGGAAACUAUAUAUUUAAAAUGUGAAGUAAAAAAAUACUAAUAUUCUUACUACCUCUUUGGGUUGUAAUUAUCCUUAAUAGGGUGAACUUGUUAAAGAACAGAGCAAAGCAGAAGCACUAUCAGCAGAGGUUUUGCAGCUCUGAUCACGACUCCAGCAAGCCACACAAGCAUACAACAGUCUUGCACGCCUGUACAUUCUCUUACGCUCUGUUUCUGAGUUUUAAAAUGGACAAAAAAGAAAAGAAAUGGACGGAAAACUUAAGUUUUAUUUUCAAUUCUUAUGUUUCUGAGUUUUUUAAUGAAAGGAAAAGAAAAGAAAUGGAUAGAAAACUUGGCUACUUUUCUUGCCAAAGUUUUCCGUCCAAAAUUGGCCUGAUUUGGACAGAAAAGAAAUUUGAAUAAGUAAUAUUUUUAUAAUUCCCAUAUUAUCCUCAACUUUUAAUAUAAUAAAUUUUAAAUUACAACUCAUGUCCUCAAUUUUAAAUUUUCUAUUAAAAACUGAGAAACAACAUAAAGGAAAAUUUCAAGUUUUGUAUUCUUUUCUUUUCUGUUCUAAUUUAAGUUUUCUAUUCUUUUCUUUUCUGUUCAAAACUCAGAAACAUAGCGUUAGUCCUUUCUUUUUGGUCUAAAAUUUUGUCACUAUAUCCUUUGCCGACAAUCUGGAUUCCCCCCUUGAUUUUAUGUUCAAAAAACAAUAUUGCAGCUAUAAGCCUGUUCUGCGGAACAUUGAGAAUGGUCUCCUGAAGAUGAAGCAAGAUGGUUCUGUAAGGGUACAAUAAAGUGGCGUAUCCGUGUAUAGGUGUUCAAUUUUGUGCAUGGGAUUCUAACUUUUUCUAUGUGAUAGACCCGGAUGAGGAAAAUCGGAUCAGAAAUUUAUUCAAUGUAAGCCACAAACAAUACAAAUUAAUAAUAGCAACUGGAUGACAAAGCACACCAAGAGAAAAUCACAGUACCAUCAAAAAUUAGACAAGAAAUCAUAGAAGAAACCCAAAUUAAACUGAAAUGAUACACAAAGUAGAAAUUACUAACAUAAUCAGCUAAACCCUCACCUUCUAUUUGGGUAAUAAAGUGAAUAUUCAGAAGAACCCAAUUAAACCUAAAUUAGACAAGAAACACAAAGACGAAACUCAAACGAACAAGAAAUCGCGGAAGAAACCCAAUAAAACCCAAAUUAAACAGUACCAUCAACUGAAAAUAGAAAUUACUCAAAAAAAUAUUUACCUUAGAGCUCCACAGAUUAACUAUUAUGUGGAGCAGAGCAUGGUUCCUCUUUCUCUACGAGGUUCAAGGAGGAAAGAGAGAUUUGCGUGAAUCUAGUAUUUGACCGGAGAAGAGCUAUCAACUAUGUUGAUCCGGCGAAAUCGAGUUUAGUCGGACAUAGAGUGAAGGAGUUUUUGGGCGGGAGUUGUAGGAGAGUAUUACACGAGUUUGCAGCGGAAGGGGGCAAGAAUUAAAAAAAUAAAAUACUCAAAACGACUCUUCUUCGUGCGUAUCGGGAAGCAUGUUGUAAAAUUGAUGUACAUGUAGAUUUAUUCUUUCAUGAAAUGAAAUAUGUACAAAUAGUACUUUGGAAUAUUAUACUAAUACAAAUACUAGUUUUAGUUGGCUUUUGGGUUAUUCUUAGAAAAGUUGAACGUUUUGGCUGUAAUGCAGAAAGUUGGUUGUCAUUUGUGCUAUUAUUGGAAAAUACUCGGGAACUAUGUGUACAACAUUACCAAUAAUCACCACAUGAACAAACCCCGUCCCUAAAAUGGUGUAUGCGGUUUACAUCUCGAACUAGAAUCUCUCUAUAUGCAAUAUUGGAAAUGAACUUUGUAAAAGAAUGGCAAUCUUCACAUAGCCUCAAGUUCUUGGUGAUCUUAAUGGCUCCCCCUCGUUUGCAAUUGAUCAGCCCAAAGGCAAGUGCCAACUUUUCACUAUGACCCAGUACAAUUAUUUCCUUUUCCUCUUCACCAAUAUCAUAGAGCACCGCUUUGGUCUGUGGCACGUAGCCUAUCUCCCUCAUAUCCGUUGACAAUUUUAGUAAUAGAGCAUGGAUUUGUUCAAUUUGUGGAUUGCGCUUGUUGGUUGACAUGAAUGAGUAAAUUUUCCUACUCACUUCGAUCCAACUACAGCCUGAGAGAUUUUGAAUUCCUCGAGCCUCUUGAAGCUUUUUUAUUCUUUUAACUUCAUCCAACAUCUCUGCUUUUGCGUAUAUUUCAGCCAUUACUACAUAGUUGCCAGCAUUUUCCGGCUCAAGUUCAAAAAGCCUUUUACUUGCCCUCUCCGCAAGCUCAACAUUGCAAUGAAUCCUACAUGAUCCAAGAAGAGAACCCCAAACUGUGGGUCCAGGUUCCAUUUGCAUAUCUUCUAUAACCUUGGCUGCUUCAUCCAAUCGAUUUGCUCUACCAAGAAUGUCGACUAGACAAGCAUAGUGUUUAACACUAGGAUACAUCCUAUGUUCUUUUACCAUUGAUUCAAACAAACUCUUCCCCUCCUCAACAAGCCCUUCAUGACUACAAGCUCCCAAAACACUAACAAAUGAUAUAAGACUUGGCCGGACUCCCAUGAAGAGCAUCUCUUCGAAAACUUCAAGAGCUUUUCUGCCAAAACCAUGAAUCCCAUAACUUGAAAUCAUGGAAUUCCAUGAGACCACAUCUCUCCGAACCAUUUGAUCAAAAACACGACGCCCAAGUUCAAGAUCACCACAUCUUGCAUACAUAGUCACCAGAGCAUUAAUAACAGGCAAAACUGAAUCAAGACCUUUCCGAAGUACAUAGCCAUGUAACAAUUUUCCUUGCUCCAAAGCAGCUAGUGCUGUACAAGCUUGGAGAACACUAACCAUCGUCACUGAGUUUGGCAACAAGUCAUGGGUCUCAAGCAUCAUAUCCCUGAAAUACUCCAAUGCUUCAAAGGAACACCCAUUCUUUGCAUAGCACGCAAUUAUUGCACUCCAUGAAACCACAUUUCUAACCGGCAUCUCCUUAAAAACACAACUUGCAUUCGAUACACGACCAAACUUGGCAUAAAUAUCCACCAAAGUAGUCAUAACAUGAACAUGGCUCCCAUACCCAUGUCGUAAAAUGUGGGCAUGAAUCUCUUUCACCUUAUCCAAUAACCAAAUCAAUGACUCCCCAGUAACACAUGCCUUUAGCACAUAAGUAUAAGUAAAAUUAUCCGACAAAAUCCCAUCCCCAUUCAUCCUACUGUAAAGAUUUAACACAUCUUCACCAUCACCAGCAUAUGUCAGCGCCCGAAAGAGCACAUUCCAAACACAUGUAGUUCUGUUGUGAAUAUUAUCAAACACCUUUCGUGCAUGUUCAAGUGAACCCAACUCAGAGUACAUAGUAAUGAGUUUAGUCGCCGUGUAAGGAUCCUGAUCAAGCCCAUUAUUACUAAGUUGGCGGUGAACAGCUUCUGCGUCGGAUAAAGAUUUUUGAUGGGAGCAUGAGAGGAUUAAGAGCUCGUAGGUUUGCGGGUUGCGCUCGUGAGGGAGGACUUGGAGGGUCUGUUUACGGUUGCCUUUUUGAAUGAGAGAUUGUAUAAAUUGGUUGUUGCUAGUGGCGGUAGUGGAAGGACGAAGGGUGAUGAAAUUAGGGUUUAACCGUGAGGAUUGGUAAGAGAUUCGAAAUGGGUAGAGGGAAAAUAUUCGUCCAAGGGUUUUGGGGGCCACCAACAUCACAAGAACGUUUCCGUUGGUUUUUGAAUUUUAGUAACAAACUGUCAGUGGGUCGUUCUAUUUCUAAAAAAAAAAGAGGUAACCUACUGAGUCGAACCCAUUAUUAAAUUGCUUAGAUUUAGUUUAUAAAACUAGAUACAAACCCGCGCGUUGUGGCGGGAUUAUUUAAUUUUUUAAUGAUAAAUGUGUACGUACAAUUAAUAAAUUAAAAUAUAAUAAAAAGAUGGUAAAUUGUUGUGCCAUGAUCAAAUUUUAUACAGAAAAAUAAAUGAAUAUACAUUGUAAUGGAUAAUUGAGAGUUUACCAGUUUGUGCAUUACACUCUAAGUAUGUGACUAUUGCCGGUUUGUGCAUUACACUAAUUAUGUGACUAUUGUUUCUGAGUGUGUAAAGAGAGUGCAUGGGGCAUAUGUAGUAUAGCGUGUAAAUGUUGUUAAGGACAAUGCAGCAAAAAAACACUAGAAAGUUAAGCCUCCAUAUCAUCUGCGAAAGAGAAGUGAUGUCAUCAGAAACAUAAAAGAAGAGAACUUGGAAUAAAAUCUAAAGGUCUAAAAAGAAACCAUGUAAAUGGAUAAUUGGAUUCCGUCCUUUUGCUUCAGCUGGUUGAACAGAUUGCAAUCUUAGCUUAUCAAAAUCAUCAGUUUUAUCCCCAGUAAACUACAAAAGUACCAAAGAUAAGGUAAAUUUCUGGAGGAUUUUUGCAUAACAGACACUACAACAAAAAGGGUUAUUUCCGACGGAAUGUUCCGUCGGUAAUAAGCAUAUUCCGUCGAGGUUUAUAUUAUUUCCGACGGAAUGCUCGGUUGAAAAUUCGGUCGUAUAUAAGCAGGUCGAAAUUAAGUCCAUUGAUCUUUCGGUCGGGGGUACUUUACCUCGACGGACUUAUCAUCGAUUGAAUAUUCGGUCGAGGGUACUAUAUGUCCGACUGAAACUAUUCGGUCGAUAGUAUUCGGUUGGUGAUAAUCAUGACACGUGUCAGCUUACCAAAAAUAGGGAAGUUCGUAUUUCCGACGGAAUUCCGUCGAUAAUAGUAACAUUUCGUCGAGAAUAAUGAUUUUUUUUUAAUAUUUUAUUUGUUUUUGCAAUAUCCAGGGAUUUAACCCACAUCUUGUACCUGUACCUGUAUUCCAACAACACAUACACAUACACAAGCUAACAAUAUAACCUCCAACAGCACAUCACAUACACAAGCUAACAAUAUAACCAAUAACACGAAUUACAAUUACCAAGGCCGACAAUAUGUAAAAAACCAACUAAAUGAUAAGUAAAAAGGUCAAAAACAUCCCAUUAAUCUAAACUAAUGUAUAUCAAACAUCUAAUUAAGCUAAAUUAAACUAAAUGCCAAGGUUUAAACUACAAUACAUCAAAAAUAAUGUAAACUACAAAUUAAACGAAUGUAAACUAAGUAAAACUAGUAGAGCCCCCGGUAUGAGGAGGAUCAUCGGGCGGGCGUCGACGCUGCUCUGGAGUAUGAAAAUCGUCACCAUCGUCAUCCCGCUCGUCAGUUCGCUCGUCACCCUGUUGAUAUAAUAUAAUGCAACUCAUUAGUCCAUAUAUAUGAUUCAGUUAAAGAUAACUAAAUGAAAAUUAAAUUACAUGCAGAAUAUAUAUUUGAAUUUAAAACGAAUAGUAUACCUGAGCAGUCGAGGGCUGACUCAACAUCGGCCCAAACGCGUCCUCGACUAAGGUAACCACCAUCCGAACAAUCUCGUCGCGUAUCGCGGCCCACUGCUCCGGAGGGAUACCCGUACUCUCGGCGGUGGCACCAGCUGCAACGUCCUGCGCAAGCUGAUGGAGGCGAGAACGGCUGGGAAGGUCCUGACGAUGGAACAGCGGAUCGGUCUCAAACCUCUCCGACACCGCAGCCAUAACACGCUGGAACAAAACAUCGUCUAAGCCAGCGCCCGUAUGUGAUGGUCCCACAGGGGCUCUCGAACGCAAACGCUGGCUAGAGCCUAUAAAAAUAAAUAUAACAUGAAUAAUAUGGCAAAUUUUCUUUAUUCAUAAACAAGAAAUAAACUAAAAAUAUUAUACCUCCUGGCAGUGUAUAGGCUGGUAUCCUCGGUAACCCCAGCACUCGAUACCGCCCGCUAGUACUAGUGGGAGUAUCCUGAGACGCGACCCAAAGAGCCGUCUCCUCGUCCUGAGAUAAACUAAUCUCAGGCGGAGGGACGGUGGAAUCUAACGUCUCAGCAUUGCCCCUAGCAGCCUGCAACUCCGCUAUACGCUGGCUGCGGAUCUUCUCAAACCGCUCCUGUAAUUUGAUAUAUGUACAUAUGAGUUACCUUGGUAUCAUCAUAUAAAUUACGUAAUAUUAUCCUAAAUAAUAUUUAUUAUAGUAAAUGUAUUACCCGUAUAGCUAGUGCUGCUGGAGACAUCGUCGACCCCGAAAUAGAGCCCUUCGGCGUAUGGACUCUAUCUCAGAACUCCAUCAUAAUACUUCGCAUGGCCUAAAUCAUAUACAUUAAAUAAUAUCAACUUAAAUUACUAUAGUUGCAGUUUAAUAUUUAACUAAACUAAAGAUAAAUACAUACCGCUUUAACCUCCUGAAACGACUGCGAGCCAGAAGUAUGUACAACUCGCAGCUUGCCUCGAUUCUUCUUCAUCUGCUCUGACUUGGUCUUGAACGCAACAUCAUCCCAGUACGCACACAUCGCAGCCCAUGCUGGAUCUGAUACUUCCGGCGGCUGAUGAUCUCACAAAGUAGUCCCGGGCGAUUCUUCUAUCGCCCGGACUGCCCUCUGUCGCAUCUCGUACAGCCAGCCGGCAUAAUUCUUCGAGAUGUGGGCAAUGAUAACGGCAUCACCAUCUGCCCUCUGAAUCAUUUGGCUUUUGUUGAUCAGCACUGCUUGAUGCAGGCUCAUUUUUUGCCCAGUCAAUAUUCGUAGGGCCAUACGCAUCUACCAACAUCUCCACGACAUCAUAGUUAUCUGACUGGUCUACAGUACUGUCUGAAAGUUCUCUAAACUCAACUGAUUCCCCGUGAUGAAUCCAUAUCGAAUACCCAUCCACAAACUCACGUGAAUACAAGUCAAAUUCACUUCAUCGGCAGUCUUCCAUAUCAUGUUCUUACACUUGAGACACGGGCAUCUCAUCUUUCUGUUCAGAUCAUCAGCAUGUUCUAUUGCUUUGUUCAUUAAAUUAGACACCCCGUCACGGUACACAUCAACUAAUCCCCUCCCAUCAAUCUUUAUCCUACGGUACAUCCAACUCCGAUCGGCAUCCAUCUUUAAUUGAAGAAAAUACCCAAUUAGAUCAAGAAUAAUCAUGAAUGUGGUCCAAGCAUGAAAUUUAGUUUACCUAGUUUAUAUCUCCACUCUACAGGGGUUAGGCUUCUAUCCCGUUCCUGGAUGCGUCUCCUCACUAGUGCCAAUCUUAAGCACGUUUCUACUAUUUUCAGAAAUUUUCAGCAGCACCUCCCCAUGGUCUCCAAGUACACGAAAUAGACCAAGAAAACUUAGUCUAAGUAUGCACUCGGAGAACAUUAGAGACACCAGCUGAAAGUUCCUCAAAAUUUAUAAAAACGCACCAUGUGUAUUGACACCGACCUAAGUGAGAGACAUAACAUCCAGUAACAGUCCCAAACUGGGGACUAUUCGACAUUCACUCCUAAUGAGUGAACGUUGAACGGGUUUCUAAUUGUAUUUAAUUGUAUUUUAUUUUAUUU